RNAcentral lists this long non-coding RNA (92324 nucleotides) under Erythranthe guttata (spotted monkey flower). Its description in RNAcentral is "long non-coding RNA (EGUT_LNC001246)". The record is from RNAcentral. Lineage: Eukaryota; Viridiplantae; Streptophyta; Magnoliopsida; Lamiales; Phrymaceae.
UAAACAACACCCUUACGUAGUUUCCAUGUGCAGCAUAGUUCUUAAACAGUUCCAUUACAAGACACAUCAUCACAUUAAUACAAAAUAUACAGACAGUGUGUUUUUUUUCUUUUUUUUUUUUCUUUUUUUUCCGAAAACACCAAAUAAACUGCGAAAUAAUUCCACACAUGCGCGUUGCUCGUAAAAAUCUUUAAAAUCCAAACGCACCUCUAGAAAUGUAUCCUACUAGGCUGCGACUUCUCCAUUCUUGUCUCUCCAUAAGGCUCGUCUUUAUCGAUCCUUUUGUUGUGCCUAAAAGCAGCACAAGCAACCACAUAGAGUAUGACGAGGAUUAUCAAGACAACUAUGUUAAUAACCGACACUUUUCUCCAGCUCUUCUUCAAGCUAGCCACUACCCCAGCUUUGCAAGAAUCGCACCCGUAGCAUAGUUGCUCCUGGUCGUUGCUCCAUUUUGUGCAAUCUGCGUCGGGCCACACGAGGCCGCCACCUGGCGUCCACACCGUCUCGUUUAUGUACACGUAGCCGCAUGAUGUAGGCGGCUUGCAACAUCCAGACUAGCACAUGUAAAACCAAUGUUAAGCAUGCCAAGCUAAGAGUUAUAUUUGACUUGCCAAAAAAUCUAGAUUUGCUAAAAAAAUCUUCAUGUUAUAAUAUUAGCAAAAGAACCCCAUGGUGCAUUUUUUUUAGCACACGGCCCCCCUAAAUGGUGUGUUUAAGGGGGUAGUCUGCUAGUUAAAAAAUAGCAUCAUAAUUGAUUUUUGCUAAUAUAUACAUAACACGGAAUCAUAGGGAUGCUAAAUGCAAUAAAGUACCCCGUGCUAUCCUAUUAAGGUCUCGUGUGGUUGUCACAAUGGAAUAAGCCAAGAUAUACACAAUCUUAUUAAAUUCCGGAUUGUAUAAUUAGACCAGCGUGUCCCAUUCGUCAAAAUAAACAGAUAAAAGAGCAUGGACGAAACCAAAUUAAAGCCCGUUAAUUAAUCAUGGCAUAUCUACUCAACCAACCAAACCCGGACUAGUUUCGAGAAAUAGAUACCGAGUGCAUAGAAGCAGGAGAUAAGCCAAAAUAGUAUUAUAUGUUAUAUAUGCUUUCAAGAACCAGAUAAAUAAAUUCAAGAAAGAGAAAAAAAAGUGUGCAUACUUUUUUAUGUUUGAUUCCAUGUAGUCACCAAAUCAAUUAUUGCCCUUUUGAAUAUCAAGAAAGUGUGAAGAUGAUCUAAUAAGCUAUCUCCUAUAACUACCGUUCGAUCACUUCCAUCAUCAAACUCGUCUUUAUUUAGUCAUCACAAAUACUAUUAUUUUGAUCUGAUGAUAUAUUUAUAUAAUACGACAUCGGUUAAUUAUAUAAGCAGGUUGAGUCUUUUUCCCAAUUUCAUAUUUUCAAUUGAUUAUACAACCAUGCACACAUGAGUAAAGUACAGAAAAUGGUUAACUUUAAUCAUUAUAAAAUCUAUCUUCAACAUUAUUUAAAAAAAUAAUUAAAAAAAAAACACAAACAAACAGAACUAACCCCAUAUGAUUUUUAUCACUUACAUCCCGUCUCAAAAUAUUCGUCGUUUGUUUAAUGUUUGGCAUAUGUAUUAAGAAAGUAAUUAAUUUUUUAUUUUUUAUUCUUCUGAAAUCAUCCUUUCAAAUGAAAUACUCAACCAACAAGUUAUAUAUAUAUAUAUAUAUAUAUAUAUAUAUAUAUAUAGAGGCCUAGGGCGAAACUUGAAAAAUGUGGCCUCUCUAAGUUAAAUGAGCAAAAUGAUUAACUUCAUUGCAAUAAACGAGUUUACAAAAAUUGGGCGAUUCUUUGGGCCUCGUUAAAACCUUCUUAGGAAAAACUGAUGGGACAACCCCUAAAGAAGGAAAAAGAGUACCCUAACCCAAAAAAAAUGUAAAAUAAAAAAUAAAAAAUACAAUUAAGAUUACAUGAUACAAACAUCAAAUUAUCAUUCAAUUUCUUGUAGCUUCAUCUUCAACACCUUGGUAUAGCAUCACCUACAAAAAUAGUCAAUCAAAUAGCAACAUAAUCAUUUGAAAUGUCUUCUUGUUGCACUUUUAGAAGCAAAAUCAUCAAUUAUACUAUCAUAUGAAAUAUUUUCCAAUAUAUUUUUUUCAAUACAUAAUAUGGCUAAUGUAUUCAGCCUUUCUUGAGCCAUUGUGGUUCUUAAAUAAGAUUUCAACAACUUUAAUUUGGAAAAACUCCUUUCGGCGGAUGCCACAGUAACAGGGAUAGUCAAUAAUAUUCUAUAAGCAAUCAUAACAUUUGGAAACAUAUCCAUACUUUUUACGAACUCUAAUAUCUUAAUGGAAUUCCAUGGUUUAUUUAUUUCAUACGAUUCACUUGGUAACAUAACUUGCAAUACCUCUAAUUCUGAGAGUAAAUCUCUAGCAUUAACAUCAGAAACAUCAUCAAAUUUUAAAGCAUUUUCAAGAUUCUCACAACACCACUUUAAUUCUUCACAAUCUAAUGAAAUUAAUUUUAUUGCAUUGAAUAAAAAUCCAAAAAUAGACUGAAACAAUUGCAACUGUUCAAACCUACUCCUCAGUUGAGAUAGAGCAUUAUCCACAAUUACAAGAAAAUAAUCCGUUCUAAAAUAUUCUUCUGGUGAUGCAUGUUCUCUUUCAUUAUUAGAAGUUUCAUCGAAAUGUCUCUUUCGACAAAGUCUUCUUCUUAUGACAAAUAUAGGCUCAAUUUCCAUAUCAGUUGCUAUCUUUUUAGCAUCUAUAAUUGCUGAAUUCAAUCCAUUUAUUCUAUAAUUUUAAAAAAAUGAAAUAAGCCCUUCCAAUUGUUUAACAACAAUAAUCAAUAUCAAGACACAUAUCUUCGGAUUGUAAUUUUUUGCUAACUACAUUAAUUCGAAGCAAAACAUCAUGCCAAAUGACUAAACUUAGUAUAAAUUCAAAAUUUGAAAGUUCUCCUAAUGCUAAUGAUUCAGCAUCUCUACUCAGUUUGGCAUCAUCACUAACUUCUACCAACUUAAGCAAAGCUUCUCUAAUUUUGGAAACUUGAGAUAAAAUUGCUUUAACACUAUCUAUAUGGCUUUCCCAACGUGUAGUUGACAAUGACUUUAAAGUUAGUCCAUCAAUAUAAUCAAGUAAAACAUUCCAACGUUUUGUGGAAUUAACAAACACAGUAUAUAUGCAUUGACAAGCUCCAAAAAAUUUUUUUGCUUUGAUACUAGAGUUUGCCAUUUCACAAAGAAUCAAAUUAAGACAAUGAGAAGCACAUGGCAUAUAAAACGCUCUUGGAUUAAUGUUAAGCAAUCUUCUUUGAACACCUAUAUUUUUUCCUUUCAUAUUAGAGCCAUUAUCAUACCCUUGUCCCCGAACAUUAUGAAUAUCAAGUGAAAGAGAUGUUAACACAGAUUUCAAUUCAUUAAAAAGUCCAAAUCCAGAAGUAUCAACCACAUUUCUAUAUUCUAAAAACUACUCUUCUAUUUUUUUGGAGUAUUUGACACAUCUACACAUCUUAUGAUUACUGUCAUUUGUUCUUGAUGACUUGCAUCGGGAGUACAAUCAAGGAUUACUGAAUAAUAUUUUGCAUUUUUUAUAAUUUUAAUAAUUGCAUCUUUGACCCUUGAAGCUAGAAUUUGUAUCAACUCAUUUUGUAUUUUAUGGCUAAGAUAAUGAUAAUGAAUUUUUUUAUCUUGAAUAAGACGAAAAUGAUGCUGCAUCACUGGAUCAAACUCUCCAAUCAUUUCAAUUAAACCGAGAAAAUUUCCAUUAGUAUCUUCAUAAAGUCGUUCAUUUGUACCACGAAAUGCUAAAUUAUGUAUUGCAAGACAUUUCACAACAGCAAUAUAAUUAUUCGAAGCAUAACUUGUUUCCAAUGUUGAGUGUCUUGUUUAAUUAGCUCUUGUAUUUCUCUAUCAAUUGUUUGAUUUUUGCUCAAUCGAAUUCGUAACUCAACACAACUUCUUAAGUUCAUGAGAUGUUCUUUACUAUUUUCAUGUUGUGUAAGUUUCUCGCUAAGAUGUUUCCAAUCACAAAUUCCUUCAGUUGCUAAUAAGCUUCUACUAGGCAUUGUUUUAAAUAACUUGCAACAAAAACAAAAUACUUUAUCUAAAUCCUUAGAGUAAACAAGCCAAUUUCUAUCAUGUUUUUCACCAUUCGAUAAUACACGAAUAUAAAAAUUUGACGAGAAAUGCCUACCAAGUUUGUCAAUAGGAUAUUCUAAAUUUGAUUGUCUUUUAGGACCUUUUUUUACGAGCAAAUCUAUAAACUUUGCAUCUAAACCAUCCCAAACCCUUGGGUCAUAAAUAUCAACAUCUAAAUUUGGUUCUUUAAGUAUAUGAUCAUUUUUUUCAUUCACAUUCAUUUCAGUCUCAUUUUCAAUUAUAUCACCAAUUUCUUCAUCCACACAAGUUUUAGUCUCGUCAUUUACUUCAUUAGCAUUUUCUAAAUUCUCAACUAUUGUGUCACCUAAACUAUCACGAUUUUUUAAAAUCCAUUUACCCAUAGUUUUUCUCAAUACUUUAUUCUCUUCUUCUUGUUUUUUCUUUUUUUGCUUUUUUUCAUAACCAGAUGCUUGUUUUCUAGGAAACAUAUUCAAUUUUUGGUGAAAAAAAAAUAGACUCUUGCAAUACUAAAACACUAUCAAAAUUCAAUAAAAACAAAAUAAAGUCAAGUAAGGAAAAGAAACGAUAUCACCUGGUGAUGUCAAUUUUCUUCGUUCUGAAAUUCAAAAUGCAAUUCGAAGUCACAUGACGGAGAUAAGACUUCCCAGGUAUCACUCUCGCUUUCAAAUUUUCAAUGUAUCAGCGUGUGCCUGUGUGGUUUUCAUAAUUAUUAAUUAGUGAACAAGAUUAAUAAUUAUUAACUAAUUAAUUACCAUUGGUUAAGAAAUUAUAUACUGGACAAAAUCACUGAUUUGAAAUCAUAGAAAAAUAGAAAAUAAAAUUAAUUACAUAAUGAACAAUUACCUUUGGUUGAGCACUUGAGCAAAUUAUCCUCUCCUGAUUGCUAUGCCUUAUUGAUUCUGGAUUUUAAAAGUAAAGACAAAAUAAAUAAAUAAAACAGAAAAUUAUUUUUUUCCCGAACAAAUCAGAGAAGAAUAGAAACCCUAAGGGAGAAAGAAGUUAAAAAAAAAUCGUGAAGACCUUAAAACUUAACAAAAAAAACAGCAGAAAGUGGGGACUAUCGAGCUUCGACCGGAAAUAAGACGGUGACGCCGUGACGGUGACGAUGACGGUGGAAUAAUGCAAAAAAUUGGGUAAAAAAAAUUAUUGUCAAUAAUAUUUUAUGCUUUGAAAUCGAAUGAGGAAAAGAGAUUGAGGAAAGCAACCAAUUUAUUGACAUUUGAAGAAGAAGAAAUUGGAACGUUAAAUCAUGAAAAUUGGAGAAUGAGAAAUAAUCGUCAUUCUGUUUCAUUGAGAAGAGAAAACCGCGUUUUGUUAAUUGAGAAAAGAAAUAAAGAAUUAAGUGCGGCAGAACAUAAGAAAAAAAAAGACCUAAUAUAAAUACAUAUAUAUACAUAUAUAUAAGUAAAAAAUUAAAAAUUGGGGCCCCCUUAUAAUAAUGGGCCCUGGGCAGAGGCCCAGCUCGCCCUGCACCAGGGCCGGCCCUGUAUAUAUAUAUAUAUAUAUAUAUAUAUAUAUAUAUAUAUAUAUAUAUAUAUAUAUAUAUAUAUAUAUAUAUAUAUAUAUAUAUAUAAUCCUAAAAUUUAAUAUAAGAAGGAAAUAUCUAAUGAAAGGACCCCCUAUAUAUGUUGUCAGGCCAUGUGAACAAGUUAUGGAACACGUUCUUAGCAAUUACUCAAUUAAUGCUUGGAAAAUAAUUAAUGCCAAUUAUUAUCUCAUGAGAAAAUUAAAAUACUAGGUAAAAAAAAAAACUUCAAGUGUAGACAAUGACAAUAGCCCUUUGGCUUUUGGUAAAAGACACAAUAGAAACUAUGCAUAAAUAAUUAUUUUAUUUUAUUUGAUGAAAGCCUAGCUUUCGUAUUAUUGAUGUCGUUUUCGUUUUCUUGUAAUACGCAUCGUUUUUUCUUCGACUAACUAGGCCAUUUUACAUUAUGAUUAAAUGAAUGUUUGAUGAAAAAUAAAAUAAAAUUGGUAAAUUACGGCCAAAUUACGAAAACACCCUAAUGUUUGGGUAAUUACAACCACCCUUCAACUAUGAUUCUUCUUACACGUUCACUUAAAUUCCACAUAAUCUUUUAGAUUUUGUGAAAUGUUCUCUAAUUUGUACUCGUUUUGCACAAAAAAACAGUUUCAGAUACACCACAGCCUGAUAUUUACAAGCCAAGAGACAUAUCUUAUGAUUAUCUUGUUUUAAAAUGUGGAGCUAGAAUAGGAUAAAACGGGUACAGACUGAAGAAUAUUCCUCAAGAACAUUACAAUAAAUUUGACAUCAUAAGGGUGGACGUGUAAGAAAAUACAUACUUAGGAGGUGGUUGUAAUUACCCAAAAAAUAGGGAUUUUUUUCGUAAUUUAAUCUUACCUCAGGACGUGGCCGUAAUUUACCCAAAAAUAAAAUAAAUUCCAACCUCUUUGCAUUUCAAGAAGAAAAACAACAAAAAGGCACAACAAGAAGGAUGUUUGAACAAAAAGUUUAAAGGGCAAAAGGGACUUUAAAUUUAACCAAAAAACUCAUAUAAAUAUCUAGUUUAUUGGUAGUAGUAAAGUAGAUUAGUGUAUUCUCUCUCUAAUUCAAAUCAAAGUGUUAUUACAAAACGACAAUAAAAAUUUGUGGUUAAUAUAUCUUAUCCUCUAAUAAUAAUAAAGACUGAUUUUUUAUUUAAUUUUUAAAUAUAAAUUAAAAAAUGGGCAUGUUUACAUAAUCACCAAAUUAAGAGCACCAAUUAAUUCAAAGCUCCAAACAUAUAUAUAGAUUAAUUAAUGAUAUCUAAUAGUUAUCAGAUUUUCAGAGAUUCAAUAAAUAAAAAUCAACAAUUAAAUUCAAAUUGUUUUUUUAUUCUGACCUGAAUAGGGUUGAGUUUUCUGAGGUAAAACAUCUCGGCAGAUUCAGGAACGCCCCCAAUAUUUCUGCCCAUCUUUCUGCACGCGCGUGAAUCCCUAAUGCAGGACCUGAUUUUGCCCCAGUAACUAUCACUCGCGACCCGAUCCGAGAGCCAACCCGAGUAGUCCUAGAGUGAGUAGUCGAGGUAGGCCCGGUUCAUCACGGACUGGCCGGAACCCUUGCCGGUGGCGGCGUAGGCGAAGAUGACGAAGCCGAGAAGGGUGGCGAUGAUGAUGAACAUGGCCCACAGGUAGAGGUACAUGAGGAAGUUGUUCCGGUAGCAGGCGCCGGCGAAUCCGGCGAGCGAGACGACCAUGAUGGAGACGCCGAUUAUUAUGAGCGGCCACUGGAGGAACUUCAGGCAGUUGGUGUUGUUCGCGCGGCUGCUCAGCCAUAUUCCGCCGCCAAGGAUGGGUAUCGACAGGACGAAGGUGAGGAAGUUCAGGGCGCCUAUUAGGUGGUUGCUCGUUCUCAUAGCGGCGGCGGUGGCGGUGGCGGUGGUUGUGAAUUUUUUUGAAAUUUAAUUUUGUCUUACAAGAGAGAGAGAGAGUAUUUAUUGGGGAGCAGAUAUAUAAUGGGAAAAAAGCUUUGGGGAAAAUCAAAAUUUGUGGGAAACAGAGAUAAGCAUGCUUUGGUACACAGUUAAUGACUAAAUUACCCUCUGCAGAAUGAGUGAUUUACUGAUUUUGUUUAAAUUUUGGUUUAAUGGCACUUUGCCCCCCAACUAUCGUGUGUUUUGCACGUUAUCUCUGGACAAAAAACAUUUACAACAUUUUACCUAAAUUGUGCACGGUGCCUCCGUUUUACUAAUUCAGCUCAUUUCUCGCCGGAAUUGUCCACAUGUGCGUCACAUGUCCAUUCACUUCAAGUUUUUUAGGGCAAAAAGAAGAAAACAACGUGGGGAAAUAGAAGUACGAAUAAAUUUGCAGUGAAUAGACGUUUAUAGCCUAAAAAACCCAUAUGCAGACCAGAAAUGAACCGAAUUGGUAAAAUUGAGGCACCGUGCAACAAUUUAACGAGUUCAGGUAAACUUUUGUAUAUCUUUUUGUUAAGGGGGUAACGUGCAAAGCACGCGAUAUUUUAGGGGGCAAAGCGCCAUUAACCCUUAGAUUUUUGUUGAAACAAAUUUUUACAAAGAAAUGACUAAAUUACCCUUUGAAAAUUGUUGUAUCCACCAAAUUCAAUGCAAAUAAGAAGUGUGUCCCUGAAAAUCGAGCAUAUUUCCUGGAAGUAAAAUGUGGAACUAAAAAGGAUAUUUUCAAAAAUUACUAUUAUUGCCUAUUAAAAACCACUUAAUUGUUUGUGACCCCACCAUACAAAAAUAGUUGCACAUGCAUAUGAGUUUCUCCCAUGCAAAGAAGGUCAAGUGGUCGGUGGUUAGAAACAGUGGGUCCCAUUAAGUAAUCAUUUAAAAUUAUUACUAUGUUGAAACUCUUGCGACAAUGAUCAAAAUUAAUAAUCUACUCUUUUUUAAUAUAAUUAAAUUAAUAAUCUACUUGAUAAUUAAUAAUACUAUUCAAUAAUUUGAUAUGAAGUUAUCAGCACUUUCAAACCAUAGUUUUGCAAAGACUUUAAGGCGUGUUUGAUGCCUUACAACCUUAAAAAAUUUAAAAUAAAUGAAAAAUAUUUAGUAAAUGUUGCGUUAUUCAGUACAGUUAUGGUAUACUGGACAUCAAUACCGUAUACCGUACUAAUACCGAAAUUCAAAACAAAAUAUAUUAGUGUUGAUUUAUAUUAUAAUUAAAUUGUACAAUCUUAUUCGAAUCUUAAUUGAAUUAUCAGAUUGGACUUUAGAAAAAAUAUCUAGGCAUCCAUCAAUAGUUAGAAGCCCAAUUCAGAAAACAUAUAUUAUUUCUGGCCCAAAUUUAUCUAUAAAUUACAGAAAUUCUAGGGCUUCAAAAUCCACAAUUCAGCCGCACAAACCCUAAUCUGAGAUUCACGGCAGAACAAGAAACUGAGAGACACACAAAGCUGCAAGCUUUCGAGCUAUACGUGUUUGUUGUAUCGUUGAAAACUCGAGCAGUCCUCGAUCUUCUUUUGUAAGUUCUUGUAUUAACUGAAGCUUGAAGAUUUUCUAAAUCUUCUUUUUUAUUUUCUUUUGUCUUGGUGAAGCUUUGUGAAUAAAUUUUGUUUUGUUGAUAUGGUGUUUGUGAUUUAGCCCCUUUUGGAUUUAUUUUUAUUAGAAAAGGCCGUGGAUGAAUUAUUUGAAGAAAUUGUUUAUUGUGCAUGCUAGGUGUUUGAUGAAUUGAUUUGUGGUAUUAUUAUUGUAAAAAGUCCAUCUUGGCAAAUCAGUUGAGCCUUUUUAAGGGCAAAUGAGCUGCUUUGAAUGCUAAUGGACUAAUAUUAAAUCUCUCUCUUUCUCUUAACUAUUUUUCGCUUCUUCAAAUCUAAAAAGUUUGCAUAUUAGUCGAGAUGAAACAUAUUAAAAAAAUAUUGAAUAGUUGUUUGUUGAAAUUGUAAAUCUUUUGUAUGCAAGGUGUUUGAUGAAUUGAUUCUUUGGUGUCGAAUUUAUUUUUUUCUAGUCCAUCUAGGCAAAUCAGUUGAGCCCUUUUAAGGGCAAAUGAGCUGCUUUUGAAUGCUAAUGGACUUACAGCUAAAUCAUCUCUUCAGUUUUGUUCCUCACCACUCACCGGAACACAGUUACCGGUAACCACCGCCGCCACUUCCGGCCGUUCGACGUCCUCAGCGAAUCCCCUAUUCAAUUGAAAUCACGCGUUUCAGCGUUCGUCGUCCAAUUUUGACCGGAAAAGCGGCGAUCGAACGCUACUGCAGCGGCAAUUGAAAUUUGAGUCUUCAAUUUUAAUGUAAAUGGAUUUCAUCUCACAUUUACGAUCUAAAAUUGAGUGAAAGUUCCUUACACUGGGUUUUGGGCAGUUGCGAGUUGAGUUUGUUCCCUUCGGGCAUCGAUUUCUAAAUUUAUUCCCAACCAAUCAUUUUUCUCUGUGGUGGAUUUGAAUAAUUGGAGUUGUUGAUGUGAACAGAGUAGUAUAGCCCACCUAGAUGGUAUUGCCAUCGGAAGUGGCCCGGAAUUGUGCAUUCAUAUGGAAUUAAGUGUUAGAUUAGAUUACAACAUUCUACGAUAGAUUAAGAUCAGUGGGAUAACCUUCUCAAUCUGGGCAGGUUGUUUUAUUCUACGUAAAUGCGCAGCUCGUUUUCUAGUUUAACAUUGGUUUUUUUUUGGACAUGGUUUUUUAUGUGUUCGGAGAUGUUUUCAGUGCAUUCAAACGUCUAAUUUGGCGUGCUAUUAAUUGUACAAUUACAAACAGUGGUUUCAACUAUGCCACGAGGAAGCUUUUUACCUUUUCACCGUAAUGAAAUGCAUCAAGAUUGUAGGUCAAAAUAGCUGCGUAAAAAAAGAGGAAGAGCUGUGGGAUUACAUGUCGUCCAAGAGAGUGAAUUUCCCGGUUCUGUAUAAAGCGUAUUCGCAUCUUCGUACGAAGAACUGGGUGGUUAGGGCGGGGUCUCAGUACGGAGUUGACUUUCAUUCCACUCUUAAUCUCUGUGGCAGUGUUGCAAAAACGUUGUUGGUUCUCCACAUUAGCAGAAACUGUAACGAUUUUGACGGUGCUAGUUCUUCUCCUUGGAAUAUUAAUUAUUACAGCGUCGAGGAAAGAAUCGUUGCCAGGUGGAAUCGCGAGCAAAGCCGGGAGAAUUGUACGGUUGUAGAGAAGGAAUCGUGUAAGUCGUCAUAAGCUUAACUUAACUCCUGUUUAUUGUACCAGUUACUAUGUUGUAAGAUUUCGCCAUCUUGUAUAAAUAAGAGAUUGCUGCAGAAAUUGGUAUGCUGAUUUUGGGCAGGAAUCUGCUGCAUGCACUGUAUCUAAGUAAAAGAUUUGCCAGUACAUCCAUAUCAUGUACUAAAUAUUUUAGAUUUUUUUAUUUUACUUUUUAUUUUUGGUUUUUCAUGUGCAAAUGUGAUCAGGAAAAAAUAUUAUGGAGAAAACAAUAUGGCAAAUUAUGGAUACCUCCCUGAUGUAAGAUCAAAUUACAAAAAACCAUCUUAUUUCAGUAAUUACAACUAUCCCCUCAACUAUGUAUAAUCUUACGAAAAACCCCCUCAUUCAGUAGGUAAUCUUGACACCGUAAGGAUGGACGUGUAUUAAAGGGGUGGUUGUAAUUACUCAAAUAUAAGGGGGGUUUUGUAAUUUGAUCUUACUUUAGUGGGGUGAUCGUAAUUUGCCCAAAAUAAUAUAAGUAAAAACCCAAAGAUUAAAUACUCUCCAAAAAUAAAUUGAAUUUGAAGUGAUUAAACAACAAAAUAUUAAUUAACACUCUUAAUUAAACACCUUUCAUGGAUCCAUGUCUACUCAAUGAUGCAUUGUGCACAUGCAGUUGCUUAUAAACCUAUUUUAAACACGUAACAGAAUAAACAACACCCUUACGUAGUUUACAUGUGCAGCAUAGUUCUUAAACAGUUCCAUUACAAGACACGUCAUCACAUUAAUACAAAAUAUAUAGACAGUGUGUUUUUUUUCUUUUUUUUUUUUUUUUCCGAAAACACCAAAAAAACUGCGAAAUAACUCCACAUACGCGCGUUGCUCGUAAAAAUCUUUAAAAUCCAAACGCACCUCUAGAAAUGUAUCCUACUAGGCUGCGACUUCUCCAUUCUUGUCUCUCCAUAAGGCUCGUCGUUAUCGAUCCUUUUGUUGUGCCUAAAAGCAGCACAAGCAUCCACAUAGAGUGUGACGAGGAUUAUCAAGAUAACUAUGUUAAUAACCGACACUUUUCUCCAGCUCUUCUUCAAGCUAGCCACUACCCCUGCUUUGCAAGAAUCGAACCCGUAGCAUAGUUGCUCCUGGUCGUUGCUCCAUUUUGUGCAAUCUGUGUCGGGCCCCACGAGGCCUCCACCUGGCGUCCACACCGUCUCGUUUAUGUACACGUAGCCGCAUGAUGUAGGCGGUUUGCAACAUCCAGACUAGCACAUGUAAAACCAAUGUUAAGCAUGCCAAGCUAAGAGUUAUAUUUGACUUGCCAAAAAAUCUAGAUUUGCUAUAAAAGUCUUCAUGUUAUAAUAUUAGCAAAAGAACCCCAUGGUGCAUUUUUUUUAGCACACGGCCCCCCUAAAUGGUGUGUUUAAGGGGGUAGUCUGCUAGUUAAAAAAUAGCAUCAUAAAUGAUUUUUGCUAAUAUAUACGUAACACGGAAUCAUAGGGAUGCUAAAUGCAAUAAAUUACCCCGUGUUAUCCUAUUAAGGCCUCGUGUGGUUGUCACAAUGGAAUAAGCCAAGAUAUACACAAUCUUAUUAAAUUCAGAUUGUAUAAUUAGACCAGCGGGUCCCAUUAAGUCAAAAUAAACAGAUAAAGAGCAUGGACGAAACCAAAUAAAAGCCCGUUAAUUAAUCAUGGCACAAACGAGAACUAGUUUCGAGAAAUAGAUACCGAGUGCAUAGAAGCACGAGAUAAGCAAAAAUAGUAUUAUAUGUUAUAUGCUUUCAAAAACUGUGUCGUUCCAAUCAGCAUCUCCCAUUGUUUUCUUUUCCAUUUAAUUUUGAAGCAGCUCGACCGCGACACGCCUGCUUGAUUUUUCCUUUUCAUUUAACCUGCUUGUUCCUAAACAACGUCGUUUAGCUGUCUCACACAUGGCCAACAAUUGUUGACCUCCGCCGCUUCCAUGCCCGCCACCGCCGUCGCUCUGUUCGAUGCCCACCGCCCCUGCCGCCAACGUCACUUCCCACCUCUUUUUCAUCCAAUCGCUGAUUUGUCCCUUUCCAAUCACAUCCGAAUUGGAUAACUCAGGAAUUGUAAAGUCAUAAAUUUUACAAAGACGAGUUCCAGCCAUGAUUGUUGGAAGGGCAGGACUUCCGCUAGAGCUCCACCGAACAAGAAGAUUCAGUCCAUCAAUUCUUCAAUAUUUUAUUGUUUUAAUUGCUUUUCUUCUAAUAAAGCUCGGUGAUGGUCGACGCUGUUUGUGUCUAACUUUGUUCAAUUUUUUCCCUUUCUAUAAAAUUUUGGGUCAAUGUUGAUUUCGAGUUCCUCUUCGGGCAAGGUUAGCCCUGACACUAUGUGAAAUAAAUUUGCAUUUUUUGUGAUCUUUACAUGAAGAUCGAUGAUUUUCUGUGCUGUUUGCUGGUGGGUAGAGUCAUGUUGGUCGUGUGCAGACUUGGGUCGAUGGGAGCUGUUGUUACUGGUAAAGGCCAUGUUCCUAAUGGUUGUGCCUAUUGUUUUUUCGCUGUUUCAUUCGUACCUUUGUUUUGUCUUCUUUUGGCCAUGAAAAAAGCAGGAAGAGGGGGAGUUAUACGGAUAUCAUCAUGUUUCACGAUUUUCUUCUCCUUUUUUAGUAUAUGCAAAAUUAAUCGAAUACUACCACUCUGCCUUUUGGUCAGAAAAAAGGAUAUAAUCCUUUGACCUAUUUGCAGCUUCUUAUUGCAUGUUGUUUGGUUAUGUCGUAAUUAUAUUUACUACUCAUUCUUAUCUCACUAUACAUCCUUACAUUUUGAUUGUUAGUCUACAUAUUUUUCAGGAAAGAUGACACUUAUUCAUUGUUAUGCUUCUUCUCUAUGUUUUACACUGUUGUAUAGACUGCACGCACUGCGUGGUUUUUUUUUACUAGCUACCUAACAUGAUUAUAUUUUUUUUCCAAAAACAUAUUUAGCCGCUUGUUCAUGGAUAUAAAUGAGCCCUUUAGUUUGUAUUACACAACUUUAUUAUAACAUAUGCAAUUUUCUCUGUCUAGAUUUUCAUCCUGCAGGCAUUGGCGGUGAUGGUCUUUUCCGCUAUGGGACAAAUUUCCAUGAAAUUGAGGUUUGGGAACCAACACAUAAUUGUUGUAUCUUGAUUUUUCAAAAUGCUUGUCUACUGUGAGCUGGUGCUUUUUUGUUUCCAGAAAAUUGGUUAUGGAAACUUCAACCUGGUUUACAAAGUCUUGAAGAGACUUUAUGGUUGCAUGUAUGCCGUAAAACAUAGCAUGAGACAAGAUGCAAAAAGGUAAUUUAAUUUAAUUUACUUGUAAUAAUCAGCUGCUUGUAUUUACGCCACUCGCUUUUUGCAGCAAACUUAUGUUUAACACUGUCACAGGUGCAAGGCUUUGAUGGAAGUUCAAGCUUUGGCAGCUUUAGGUUUGUUACAUUAUUUUAUUCUUUUUAUUUUUAUCCAAAGAUUGAGAUUUUUAAACUUUUCGAUUCCCAUUUUUCUCAGGGUACCACGAAAAUAUAGUUGGCUAUUAUUCUUCGUGGUUUGAAAACAAGCAACUUUACAUCCAAUUGGAGCUAUGCGAGCAUAGCCUAUCUCUCGAUAGAAUACCUAAACUAUUCACAGAAAGAGAAGCUUUAGAGGCAAUGUAUCAGGUGAAUGAUUUUGAAUCUAUAACGUGACGUAAUUGUAGCUGAUUAUUAACUUUCUGUGGUUUGUUUAUUUUAUCUUGAUGAGUUAAAUAUUUAAUUAGAAUUGUUAAAGGCUGUUAGAUGGGAUUGACUAUGACCUUUCCCAGAGGAGAUUUUUCAUUGAAAAAAUUGCAUUCGUGCAGAUUGCUAAAGCAUUGCAGUUUAUACACGGGAGAGGAGUAGUCACUUGGACGUAAAGCCAGAAAACAUUUAUGUAAAAAAUGGAGUUUAUAAACUUGGUGAUUUUGGUUGUGCGACUGUCGUUGAUAAAAGCUGGCUAAUUGAAAAACGUGAUGCUCGGUACAUGCCCCAAGAAAUCCUGAACGAGAAUUAUGAAAAUCUAGACAAAGUUGAUAUAUUCUCGUCAGGAGCUUCCAUCUAUGAACUUGCAAGAGGGUCACCGUUACCUGAAUCAGGUUCUCAUUUCCUUACUUUUAGGGAAUGAAAGCUGCCCCUUCUUCCGUGUCGUUCAAUCCCGUUUCAGAAUUUAAUCAAGCUAAAUUACCUUCUGCUUUUAUGAUAUGAAAAGUAGGUCUUAAUCGAGGAUAUCCAAUCUGUCUUUACUAUUAAUGUUUGAUAAUUUUGGUGAAAACUAUCGUGAUAAUUAUGUUAAUAUAACAUUCGUUUCUUUGAGUUAUAUAGACUUGGUGUAACAACCUACAGAGCAAAAUUAAAAAUUCGAGUUUUCAGAAAACUAUAUGCAGGGAAAGCUUGAGUUGAGCAUUUUAAAUGUUAAUUAUUAAUUUAUAGUGAGCAUGUUCGAUAAAAGCGCUUUGCAUUGCUACAGAUUAACUUGCGUACUGGUAUUCAAUUUUCUUUUGAUUUGUUAAUCGUUCAGAUGAUGAUUGAUGCAGAUCCUGUUCGUAGACCAACAACCAAAGAAGUAGUUAAGAAUCCAGUUUCUUACACGACUGAGCAAUUAUCGAGACUCAUUCACUCCAAGACGCAUUGUCCGUAAACAAGUCUCGAGGGGGCGAUUGUAGACGCAUAAAGUUAAUUAAUUGGUUAAUUAGCCAAUUAAAUUGCAUCUAAAUUAAAUUAUAUCUUGUCUUGCAAGAUAAGUCAUGGAGAUAAUUAUCAAUUAAUUAUUGGCCAAUAGGAUUGUUUCUUCUCUUCCAAGUUAUAAGAGAUAAAUAUUAAUUUAAAGAGAGCCAAUCAAAUCACGCCACGUCAUCAUGAAGACUUUAUGUAGGACUCUAAUUCUACCACUAUAAAUAGGGACCCUCCCUACACCAUUCAAAACACAACUCAAGAAGAAGAAAAACUGUAGGAGAAAUUCUCUCUACAAUAUUCAAGUCAUCUUCAUCAAACUCAAGUCAUUCUUCAUCAAAUUCAAGGCAUUCUUCAUCAAAUUGAGGGCGUUCUUAAAAAAAUCAAGAUCAAAGGAAGAUUGAAGGGUCAAAUCCAUCAAGAACUCCAAGAUCUUCAAGUCAAAGUUCGUCAAAGUUCAGCGUUCGAUCCGAGAUUCAAGUCGCAAGACCCUCGGAAGACGUUAUUCAAAUCCAAAUCAAAUCCAAAUCAAAUCCAGAGAAGAUCAAGUCAACGACCCGACUCCGAAAUUCAAGGUCGAACGCAUAUUGUUCUUGAGAGAAGAAUCAGAGGAUUGAAUUAGAGUUUGUAAUCCGCACUAUUUUAUUUUAAUUCAAUAAAUUAUCUUUCUGCAAGUUUUUCUUGUUUGUCUAAAUCGCAGAUAAGAAGUUGUUGUUACAAACUUUGGCACGCCCAGUGGGACAUCUCUACCUCUCAUCUCUUCUCUCUCUCGAAGAUCCUCAAAGUGUUGCAGUGACUGCUCUACGUUCGCAAAGAAGACUGCUACUUCGGAUUCAUCAAGUGUAGGCUUUGUUACAAGAAGUAUGGCUAAGAAGCUGCAAGCAUCCUCCAAGACUAGCUCGACGCCCCAAACCGUUCAGAAAGGCUUACCACCUCUUGUCAACACAAGCGCGGACGUGGAAGGCUCAAAACGAGAGAUUUCACAGCCCACGCCUCAUUCAACAUCAAGCUACUCAAAGGUGGCAUCCAUCAUGACAACAAACGCUACAACCAUGGAGGAGCAAAUUGCAAGUUUGACAAAGGCCAUUGAGGGACUCGCAAAGCAUGUUCAACAACAUGAUUCUCAAAUUGCCAAGUUGAUCAACAAGAUGGACAAAGUCGAUGCUAGUCAAGCUGUGGAGAAUGAGAUAGAGGUUCAAGACGAAGUCAAGACAUCCACAAAGCAACAGCUAGUUGAAAACGAGAAAGCUCCAGCUCAAGAACUUCAAGUUUCUUCCGAAGGGGUGAUUCAUGCAGAUCAAGUGAUGACGCUGAUCAGUGGAGCUAUGAAAGACAAGUUGGAAGGAAGCUCGAAGUCACCAUCAACCUAUGUCAAGCCAUACACACAAAGAAUUGAUGAUCUAAAGAUGCCAAUGGGCUAUAUACCUCCAAAGUUUCAACAAUUUGACGGCAAAGGCAACCCCAAGCAGCAUGUGGCACAUUUCGUUGAGACUUGCAAUGAUGCGGGGACGUACGGAGAUCACCUCGUCAAGAAAUUCGUCCGAUCGCUCAAAGACAAUGCGUUUGAUUGGUACAUUGAUUUGGGAGCAAACUCCAUCGAUAGUUGGAAGUACUUAGAGAAAGAAUUUCUCAACCUCUUUUACAGCACUCGAAGAACAGUCAGCAUGAUUGAGCUCACCAAUUCCUGCCACUGGAAGAAGGAACCUGUCAUCGACUACAUCAACCGUUGGAGAAAUUUGAGUCUUAAUUGCAAGGAUCGACUUCCUGAGACAUCAGCUAUUGAACUUUGCAUCCAAUGAAUGCAAUGGGGACUCCGAUAUAUCCUUCAAGGAAUUCAACCUAAAAGUUUUGAAGAGUUGGCCACUCGAGCACAUGAUAUGGAGUUGAGCAUAUCUGAAAAUGGAUUCAAAGAACCUUCAUUCCAAAAGUCUUACCCGUUCAAUGAAGAACAUGUCGAAGAAGAACAAGAAGAUCAUGAGGAUAGGGGUGAGUCUUUUGAAGAAGCAACACACUAUGCAAUAUGACAAGUCAAAUCAAAUCAAUACUCCUUACACAAGUUUAAAAGUUCUACAUGUCCAAAUCAAAUAAAGUACUACUUGACACGAGUUUAAAAAGUCUACAUGUCCAAAUCAAAUGAAACACUCAUUGACACGAGUUUAAAAGGUCUACAAAUUCAAGUUCAAAUCAGCACUCCUUGGCACGAGUUUAAAAGAUCUACAUAUCCAAGUCAAAUCAAGGCUCCUUGAUACAAGCAUAAACUAUCUAUAUAUCCAACUCAAAUCAAGGCUCCUUGAUACGAGCAUAAACUAUCUACAUAUCCAAGUCAAAUCAAGGCUCCUUGAUACGAGCAUAAACUAUCUAUACAUAUUCAAAUCAAGUCAAUGCUCCCUGAUACGAGCAUAAACUAUCUACAUAUCCAAAUCAAGUCAAAGCUCCUUGAUACGAGCAUAAACUAUCUACAUAUCCAAAUCAAGUCAAUGCUCCCUGAUACGAGCAUAAACUAUCCACAUAUCCAAAUCAAGUCAAAGCUGCUUGAUACGAGCAUAAACUAUCUACAUAUCCAAGUCAAAUCAAGGCUCCUUGAUACAAGCAUAAACUAUCUAUAUAUUCAAAUCAAAUCAAUGCUCCUUGAUACGAGCAUAAACUAUCUACAUAUCCAAAUCAAAUCAAGGCUCUUUGAUACGAGCAUAAACUAUCUAUAUGUCCAAGUCAAGUCAAGGCACCUUGAUACGAGCAUUAACUAUCUAUAUGUCCAAGUCAAGUCAAUGCUCCUUGAUACGAGCAUAAACUAUCUAUAUAUCCAAAUCAAAUCAAUGCUCCUUGAUACGAGCAUAAACUAUCUAUAUAUCCAAGUCAAAUCAAGGCGCAUUGAUACGAGGGUAAACUAUCUACAAAUUCAAGUCAAAUGCUCCUUCAGCAUGAGUUUAAACUGGACAUAUUUCUCCUCGUCCACAUGAGUAUAAACUGUGCACAACAUCCUUCAAAAUGAUAUAUUUUGAACUACGUUAUGACUUGAUCCCUUUAUAGCGUACCUAGGCAACUUAGAAUCUCUCUAAGUUCAGUCAUGAUUUCAAAAGAUAUAUGUGAUUUGCUAGAUCAAGCUGCAAUAGAAGUUGAGCAAUUAUCGAGACUCAUUCACUCCAAGACGCAUUGUCCGUAAACAAGUCUCGAGGGGGCAUUUGUAGACGCAUAAAAUUAAUUAAUUGGUUAAUUAGCCAAUUAAAUUGUAUCUAAAUUAAAUUAUAUCUUGUCUUGCAAGAUAAGUCAUGGAGAUAAUUAUCAAUUAAUUAUUGGCCAAUAGGAUUGUUUCUUCUCUUCCAAGUUAUAAGAGAUAAAUAUUAAUUUAAAGAGAGCCAAUCAAAUUGCGCCACGUCAUCAUGAAGACUUUAUGUAGGACUCUAAUUCUACCACUAUAAAUAGGGACCCUCCCUACACAAUUCAAAACACAACUCAAGAAGAAGAAAAACUGUAGGAGAAAUUCUCUCUACAAUAUUCAAGUCAUCUUCAUCAAACUAAAGUCAUUCUUCAUCAAAUUCAAGGCGUUCUUCAUCAAAUUGAGGGCGUUCUUCAAAAAAUCAAGAUCGAAGGAAGAUUGAAGGGUCAAAUCCAUCAAGAACUCCAAGAUCUUCAAGUCAAAGUUCGUCAAAGUUCAGCGUUCGAUCCGAGGUUCAAGUCGCAAGACCCUCGGAAGACGUUAUUCAAAUCCAAAUCAAAUCCAAAUCAAAUCCGGAGAAGAUCAAGUCAACGAACCGACUCCGAAAUUCAAGGUCGAACGCAUAUUGUUCUUGAGAGAAGAAUCAGAUGAUUGAAUUAGAGUUUGUAAUCCGCACUAUUUUAUUUUAAUUCAAUAAAUUAUUUUUGGUCAAGUUUUUCUUGUUUGUCUAAAUCGCAGAUAAGAAUUUGUUGUUACAGCGAUGAUGUUGAACAUGGCCCACGGGUAGAGGUACAUGAGGAAGUUGUUCCGGUAGCAGGCGCCGGCGAAUCCGGUGAGGGAGACGACCAUGAUGGAGACGCUGAUUAUUAUGAGCGGCCACUGGAGGAACUUCGGGCAGUCGGUGUUGUUCGCGCGGCUGCUCAGCCAUAUUCCGCCGCCGAGGAUGGGGAUCGACAGGACGAAGGUGAGGAAGUUCAGGGCGCCUAUUAGGUGGUUGCUCGUUCUCAUGGUUGCGGCGGUGGCGGUGGCGGUGGUUGUAAAUUUUGUUGAAAUUUAAUUUUUUCUUACAAGAGAGAGAGAGAGAGUACUGCUGUAUUUAUUGGGGAGCAGAUAUAUAAUGGGAAAAAAGCGUUGGGGGAAAUCAAAAUUUGUGGAAACAGAGAUAAGCAUGCUUUGGUACACAGUUAAUGACUAAAUUACCCUCUGCAGAAUGAGUGAUUUACUGAUUUUGUUUAAAUUUUGGUUUAAUGGCACUUUGCCCCCCAACUAUCGUGUGUUUUGCACGUAAUCUGUGGACAAAAAACAUUUACAACAUUUUACCUAAACUGUGCACGGUGCCUCCGUUUUACCAAUUCAGUUCAUUUCUCGUGCGUCACAUGUCCAUUCACUUCAAGUCUUUUAGGGCAAAAAGAAGAAAAAAACGAGGGGAAAUAGAAGUACGAAUAAAUUUGCAGUGAAUGGACGUUUAUACCCUAAAAAACCCAUAUGCGGACGAGAAAUGAACCGAAUUGGUAAAAUUGAGGCACCGUGCAACAAUUUAACGAGUUCAGGUAAAAUUUUGUAUAUUUUUUUGUUAAAGGGGUAACGUGCAAAGCACGCGAUAUUUUAGGGGGAAAAGCGCCAUUAACCCUUAGAUUUUCGUUGAAAUAAAAUUUUACAAGGAAAUGACUAAAUUACCCUCUGAAAAUUGUUGUAUCCAGCAAAUUCAAUGCAAAUAAGAAGUGUGUCCCUGAAAAUCGAGCAUAUUUCCUGGAAGUAAAAUGUGGAACUAAAAAGGAUAUUUUCAAAAAUUAAAAUUAUUUCCUAUUAAAAACCACUAAAUUGUUUGUGACCCGACCAUACAAAAAUAGUUGCACAUGCAUAUGAGUUUCCCCCAUGCAAAGAAGGUCAAGUGGUCGGUGGUUAGAAACAGUGGGUCCCAUUAAGAAAUCAUUUAAAAUUAUUACUAUGUUGAAACUCUUGCGAUAAUGAUCAAAAUUAAUAAUCUACUCUUUUUUUUUAUAAUUAAAUUAAUAAUCUACUUGAUAAAUAAUAAUACUAUUCAAUAAUUUGAUAUGAAGUUAUCAGCACUUUCAAACCAUAGUUUUGCAAAGACUUUAAGGCGUGUUUGAUGCCUUACAACCUUAAAAAAUUAUAAUAAAAAAAAAUAUUUAGUAAAUAUUGCGUUAUUCAGUACAGUUAUGGUAUACUGGACAUCAAUACCGUACACCGUACUAAUACCGAAAUUAAAAAAAAAAAAUAUCAGUGUUGAUUUAAAUUGUAAUUUAAUUGUACAAUCUUAUUCGAAUCUUAAUUGAAUUAUCAGAUUGGACUUUAAAAAAAAUAUCUAGGCAUCCAUCAAUAGUUAGAAGCCCAAUUCAGAAAACAUAUAUUAUUUAUGGCCCAAAUUUAUCUAUAAAUUAUAGAAAUUCUAGGGCUUCAAAAUCCACAAUUCAGCCGCACAAACCCUAAUAUGAGAUUCACGGCAGAACAAGAAACUGAGAGACACACAAAGCGGCGAGCUUUGGAGCUAUACGUGUUUGUUGUAUCGUUGAAAACUCGAGCAGUUCUCGAUCUUCUUAUGUAAGUUCUUGUAUUAACUGAAGCUUGAAGAUUUUCUAAAUCUGUUUUUUUUUUUUCUUUUGCCAUGCUGAAGCUUUGUGAAUAAAUUUUGUUUUGUUGAUAUGGUGUUUGUGAUUUAGCCCCUUUGGAAUUUAUUUAUAUUAGAAAAGGCUGUGGAUGAAUUAUUUGCAGAAAUUGUUUAUUGUGCAUGCUAGGUGUUUGAUGAAUUGAUUUGUGGUAUUAUUAUUGUAAAAAGUCCAUCUUGGCAAAUCAGUUGAGCCCUUUUAAGGGCAAAUGAGCUGCUUUGAAUGCUAAUGGACUAAUAUUAAAUCUCUCUUUUUCUCUUAACUAUUUUCCGCUUCUUCAAAUCUGUUAAGUUUGCAUAUUAGUGGAAAUGAAACAUAUUAAAAAAAAUAUUGAAUAGUUGUUUGUUGAAAUUGUGAAUCUUUUGUAUGCAAGGUGUUUGAUGAAUUGAUUUUUUGGUGUCGAAUUUAUUUUUUUCUAGUCCAUCUAGGCAAGUCAGUUGAGCCCUUUUAAGGGCAAAUGAGCUGCUUUUGAAUGCUAAUGGACUUACAGCUAAAUCAUCUCUUCAUUUUUGUUCCUCACCACUCACCAGAACACAGUUACCGGUAACCGCCGCCGGCUCGCAUCAACACCACUGCCGCUUCCGGCCGUCCGACGUCCUCAGCGAAUCCCCUAUUCAACUGAAAUCACGCGUUUCACCGUUCGUCGUCAAAUUUUGACCGGAAAAGCGGCGAUCGAACGCUACAGCAGCGGCAAUUGAAAUUUGAGUCUUCAAUUUUAAUGUAAAUGGAUUUCAUCUCACAUUAAGGAUCUAAAAUUGAGUGAAUGUUCCUUACACUAGGUUUUGGGCAGUUGCGAGUUGAGUUUGUUCCCUUCGGGCAUCGAUUUCUAAAUUUAUUCCCAAGCAAUCAUUUUUCUCUGUGGUGGAUUUGAAUAAUUGGAGUUGUUGAUGUGAACUGAGUAGUAUAGCCCAGCUAGAUGGUAUUGCCAUCGGAAGUGGCCCGGAAUUGUGCAUUCAUAUGGAAUUAAGUGUUAGAUUAGAUUACAGCAUUCUACGAUAGAUUAAGAUCGGUGGGAUAACCUUCUCAAUCUGGGCAGGUUGUUUUAUUCUACGUAAAUGCGGGCAUCUCGUUUCCUAGUUUACCAUUGGUUUUUUUUUUGGACAUGUUUUUUUAUGUGUUAGGAGAUGUUUUCAGUGCAUUCAAACGUCUAAUUUGGCGUGCUAUUAAUUUUACAAUUACAAUAUAUGUAAAAUGUUGCAAUUUUAGGAUCCGAUUAUUGAACCCCCUCUCUGGUUUUACUCAAAGUCUCGACUUUGUGUACCUUGCGUGCGAAUCAAAUGAAUUCUUCUUCAUUUUCUUGACAUUUGUGCUUUAUGGCUAGAGCCUAUAGUUGUUGCCUUGUUGGUACAUUACGAUAUUUUGUUAUCUCCCUUAAUGGUGUCUUUGAUCUGGUAUAGUUUGACGAAUGAAAAGGUCGCUCGGGUCCCACUUUUCGAGUUACUCUCUCGUCAACUCUCUUUCCUCUAAAAAAUUUCUUCUCUUUUCUCUCUUGUGAUAUGAUUAUGUCAAAGCUUAAUAUCCAUGGUGGACAAGGAAAACAUGUGUUUGUCUUAAUACUCUGUCUACUUUUCGUCUUAUCGUUUUCUAUAGAACACAUAAUGGCAGCAAGAUGGAAAGGAAAAACAGCCAAAGCAAAAGCCCUAGCGGAGCCCAUACUACAAUAGUUUCUCGGCUCCAAUCCUCUUUGAUUGAAUCCAAUUCUCAAUGAAUCCUUUUAGGGAGCAGCGUUCUUCUUGCAGCACACGAAGAACAAACCGAGCUUUUCAACCACGCGUGUUUCGGCCGUCUCGUUAUCACCACACAGAAGAACAAACAGUGGUUUCAACUAUGCCACGAGGAAGCUUUUUACCUUUUCACCGUAAUGAAAUGCAUCAAGAUUGUAGGUCAAAAUAGCUGCGUAAAAAACAAGGAAGAGCUGUGGGAUUACAUGUCGUCCAAGAGAGUGAAUUUCCCGGUUCUGUAUAAAGCGUAUUCGCAUCUUCGUACGAAGAACUGGGUGGUUAGGGCGGGGUCUCAGUACGGAGUUGACUUUCAUUGCACUCUUCAUCUCAGUGGCAGUGUUGCAAAAACGUUGUUGGUUCUCCACAUUAGCAGAAACUGUAACGAUUGUGACGGUGCUAGUUCUUCUCCUUGGAAUAUUAAUUAUUACAGCGUCGAGGAAAGAAUCGUUGCCAGGUGAAAUCCCGAGCAAAGCCGGGAGAAUUGUACGGUUGCAGAGAAGGAAUCGUGUAAGUCGUCAUAAGCUUAACUUAACUCCUGUUUAUUGUACCAGUUACUAUGUUGUAAGAUUUCGCCAUCUUGUAUAAAUAAGAGAUUGCUGCAGAAAUUGGUCUGCUGAUUUUGGGCAGGAAUCUGCUGCAUGCACUGUAUCUAAGUAAAAGAUUUGCGAGUACAUCCAUAUCAUUUACUAAAUAUUUUAGAUUUUUUUAUUUUACUUUUUAUUUUUUGUUUUUCAUGUGCAAAUGUGAUCAGGAAAAAAAUAUUAUAGAGAAAACAAUAAGGCAAAUUAUGGAUACCUCCCUGAUGUAAGAUCAAAUUACAAAAAACCAUCUUAUUUCAGUACUUACAACUAUCCCCUCAACUAUGUAUAAUCUUACGAAAAACCCCCUCAUUCAGUAGGUAAUCUUGACACCGUAAGGAUGGACGUGUAUUAAAGGGGUGGUUGUAAUUACUCAAAUAUAAGGGGGGUUUUGUAAUUUGAUCUUACUUUAGUGGGGUGAUCAUAAUUUGCCCAAAAUAAUAUAAGUAAAAACCCAAAGAUUAAAUACUCUCUAAAAAUAAAUUGAAUUUGAAGUGAUUAAACAGCAAAAUAUUAAUUAACACUAUUAAUUAAACACCUUUCAUGGAUCCAUGUCUACUCAAUGAUGCAUUGUGCACAUCCAGUUGCUUAUAAACCUAUUUUAAACAUGUAACAGAAUAAACAACACUCUUACGUAGUUUACAUGUGCACCAUAGUUCUUAAACAGUUCCAUUACAAGACACGUCAUCACAUUAAUACAAAAUAUAUAGACAGUGUGUUUUUUUUCUUUCUUUUUUGUUUUUCCGAAAACACCAAAAAAACUGCGAAAUAACUCUACAUACGCGCGUUGCUCGUAAAAAUCUUUAAAAUCCAAACGCACCUCUAGAAAUGUAUCCUACUAGGCUGCGACUUCUCCAUUCUUGUCUCUCCAUAAGGCUCGUCAUUAUCGAUCCUUUUGUUGUGCCUAAAAACAGCACAAGCAUCCACAUAGAGUCUGACGAGGAUUAUCAAGAUAACUAUGUUAAUAACCGACACUUUUCUCCAGCUCUUCUUCAAGCUAGCCACUACCCCAGCUUUGCAAGAAUCGAACCCGUAGCAUAGUUGCUCCUGGUCGUUGCUCCAUUUUGUGCAAUCUGUGUCGGGCCCCACGAGGCCUCCACCUGGCGUCCACACCGUCUCAUUUAUGUACACGUAGCCGCAUGAUGUAGGCGGUUUGCAACAUCCAGACUAGCACAUGUAAAACCAAUGUUAAGCAUGCCAAGCUAAGAGUUAUAUUUGACUUGCCAAAAAAUCUAGAUUUGGUAAAAAAGUCUUCAUGUUAUAAUAUUAGCAAAAGAACCCCAUGGUGCAUUAUCUAGAUUUGCUAAAUGGUGUGUUUAAGGGGGUAGUCUGCUAGUUAAAAAAUAACAUCAUAAAUGAUUUUUGCUAAUAUAUACAUAACACGGAAUCAUAGGGAUGCUAAAUGCAAUAAAUUACCCCGUGUUAUCCUAUUAAGGCCUCGUGUGGUUGUCACAAUGGAAUAAGCCAAGAUAUACACAAUCUUAUUAAAUUCCGGAUUGUAUAACUAGACCAGCGGGUCCCAUUAAGUCAAAAUAAACAGAUAAAGAGCAUGGACGAAACCAAAUAAAAGCCCGUUAAUUAAUCAUGGCACAAACGAGAACUAGUUUCGAGAAAUAGAUACCGAGUGCAUAGAAGCACGAGAUAAGCAAAAAUAGUAUUAUAUGUUAUAUGCUUUCAAAAAAUAGUAUUAUAUGUUAUACCGAGUGCCGCCAACGUCACUUCCCACCUCUUUUUCAUCCAAUCGUUGAUUUGUCCCUUUCCAAUCACAUCCGAAUUGGAUAACUCAGGAAUUGUAGAGUCAUAAAAUUUUUCAAAGACGAGUUCCAACCGUGAUUGUUGGAAGGGCAGGACUUCCGCUAGAGCUCCACCGAACAAGAAGAUUCAGUCCAUCAAUUCUUCAAUAUGUUAUUGUUUUAAUUGUUUUUCUUCUAAUAAAGCUCGGUGAUGGUCGACGCUGUUUGUGUCUAACUUUGUUCAAUUUUUUCCCUUUCUAUAAAAUUUUGGGUCGAUGUUGAUUUCAAGUUCCUCUUCGGGCAAGGUUAGCCCUGACAUUAUGUGAAAUAAAUUUGCAUUUUUUGUGAUCUUUACAUGAAGAUCGAUGAUUUUCUGUGAUGUUUGCUGAUGGGUAGAGUCAUGUUGGUCGUGUGCAGACUUGGGUCGAUGGGAGCUGUUGUUACUGGUAAAGGCCAUGUUCCUAAUGGUUGUGCCUAUUGUUUUUUCGCAGUUUCAUUCGUACCUUUGUUUUGUCUUCUUUUGUCGGCAUGUAAUUUAUUUUCUAAAAUACCAUUUCAAUUUUUUUUUUUUAAAUUAUAUGAAUGGAUUCAGAUUUCAAUGAUCUCAUUUUCUUUUCUAGGUUGCAUGUUGGAUCCACAGAAAACCAAAUUGUUACGAAAUCAACUUCUUGGCUACAUGAUGACAUUGCUCAGGUUAUAAAUCAUGAUUAGCACAUUUAUACAAUAUUUAUCAUAAUUAAUUUGUUGUUCAGUUGUGCAUGUAUUUGAUUCAUAUGCUCACUUGAGAUUGGCAAUAGGGAGGGAUGUUCUCGCAAUUUAUUUGGCUAUUUUGAUUUUUUUUCUUUCACUAAAAGGUUUGAUUUCUCUGCUUCACUGUUUAUUGAAUCUUCAUAAUUACUUCGAGUUGCUAAUUCCUUCUACCUCAUAACGUUUUCGAGAUUAUGCAAGCAAUGCAUUCAUUUUACUGUUCUAAUUCUUUGCAGUCUACUCUAUUGGCUCCUUUCUUGCAGCAACCCCACUUUCAGUAAUUAGUAAUUCUAAUAGAAGAUACGGAAGUCAACACCAGCUCGACCUUCAGUAAUUACUUGUGGAGUUGGUUGGCUGUUAACGAUGAAAACCUAUUAUGAUUCUCUUUUUCCAAUUUUUAAUCAGAUUUCUUAUGAUUCUUAAUGUGAAUUUAGGUGGCCAGAGCUUUGCUUGAUUCUCUUUUUGGCAAUCUCACAGGUUCUAGUACAGUAUAGUAAGAAUCGAUACAAUAUUGCAAUAUUGUAAGAAUUGAUACAUAAACUCAAAAUUCAAAUAAAUCAUCUUGUUUAUAAAAUAUAUCUUUGAAAAAGUGUUUUUGGGUGUAAUAAAACAGAGAAAACGCACGUCUUUUGGCCAUGAAAAAAGCAGGAAGAGGGGGAGUUAUACGGAUAUCAUCAUGUUUCACGAUUUUCUUCUCCUUUUUUAGUAUAUGCAAAAUUAAUUGAAUACUACCACUCUGCAUUUUGGUCAGAAAAAAGGAUAUAAUCCUUUGACCUAUUUGCAGCUUCUUAUUGCAUGUUGUUUGGUUAUGUCGUAAUUAUAUUUAUUACUCAUUCUUAUCUCACUAUACAUCCUUACAUUUUGAAUGUUAGUCUACAUAUUUUUCAGGAAAGACGACACUUAUUCAUUGUUAUGCUUCUUCUCUAUGUUUUACACUGUUGUAUAGGCUGCACGCACUGCGUGGUUUUUUUUACUAGCUACCUAACAUGAUUAUAUUUUUUUCCAAAAACAAAUUUAGCCGCUUGUUCAUGGAUAUAACUAAGCCCUUUAGUUUGUAUUACACAACUUUAUUAUAACAUAUGCAAUUUUCUCUGUCUAGAUUUUCAUCCUGCAGGCAUUGGCGGUGAUGGUCUUUUCCGCUAUGGGACAAAUUUCCAUGAAAUUGAGGUUUGGGAACCAACACAUAAUUGUUGUAUCUUGAUUUUUCAAAAGGCUUGUCUACUGUGAGCUGAUGCUUUUUUGUUUCCAGAAAAUUGGUUAUGGUAACUUCAACCAGGUUUUCAAAGUCUUGAAGAGACUUGAUGGUUGCAUGUAUGCCGUAAAACAUAGCAUGAGACAGGAUGCAAAAAGGUAAUUUAAUUUAAUUUACUUGUAAUAAUCAGCUGCUUGUAUUUACGCCACUCGCUUUUUGCAGCAAACUUAUGUUUAACACUGUCACAGGUGCAAGGCUUUGAUGGAAGUUCAAGCUUUGGCAGCUUUAGGUUUGUUACAUUAUUAUAUUCUUUUUAUUUUUAUCCAAAGAUUGAGAUUUUUAAACUUUUCGAUUCCAAUUUUUCUCAGGGUACGUACCACGAGAAUAUAGUUGGCUAUUAUUCUUCGUGGUUUGAAAACAAGCAACUUUACAUCCAAUUGGAGCUAUGCGAGCACAACCUAUCUCUCGAUAGAAUACCUAAACUAUUCACAGAAAGAGAAGCUUUAGAGGCAAUGUAUCAGGUGAAUGAUUUUGAAUCUAUAACGUGACGUAAUUGUAGCUGAUUAUUAACUUUCUGUGGUUUGUUUAUUUUAUCUUGAUGAGUUAAAUAUUUAAUUAGAAUUGUUAAAGGCUGUUAGAUGGGAUUGACUAUGACCUUUCCCAGAGGAGAUUUUUCAUUGAAAAAAUUGCAUUCGUGCAGAUUGCUAAAGCAUUGCAGUUUAUACACGGGAGAGGAGUAGUCACUUGGACGUAAAGCCAGAAAACAUUUAUGUAAAAAAUGGAGUUUAUAAACUUGGUGAUUUUGGUUGUGCGACUGUCGUUGAUAAAAGCUGGCUAAUUGAAAAACGUGAUGCUCGGUACAUGCCCCAAGAAAUCCUGAACGAGAAUUAUGAAAAUCUAGACAAAGUUGAUAUAUUCUCGUCAGGAGCUUCCAUCUAUGAACUUGCAAGAGGGUCACCGUUACCUGAAUCAGGUUCUCAUUUCCUUACUUUUAGGGAAUGAAAGCUGCCCCUUCUUCCGUGUCGUUCAAUCCCGUUUCAGAAUUUAAUCAAGCUAAAUUACCUUCUGCUUUUAUGAUAUGAAAAGUAGGUCUUAAUCGAGGAUAUCCAAUCUGUCUUUACUAUUAAUGUUUGAUAAUUUUGGUGAAAACUAUCGUGAUAAUUAUGUUAAUAUAACAUUCGUUUCUUUGAGUUAUAUAGACUUGGUGUAACAACCUACAGAGCAAAAUUAAAAAUUCGAGUUUUCAGAAAACUAUAUGCAGGGAAAGCUUGAGUUGAGCAUUUUAAAUGUUAAUUAUUAAUUUAUAGUGAGCAUGUUCGAUAAAAGCGCUUUGCAUUGCUACAGAUUAACUUGCGUACUGGUAUUCGAUUUUCUUUUGAUUUGUUAAUCAUUCAGAUGAUGAUGGAUGCAGAUCCUGUUCGUAGACCAACAACCAAAGAAGUAGUUAAGAAUCCAUUUUUUUACAGGAUUGGAAAGAACAAAUAAAUCAAAAGAAAACAAGUAUUUAAUUAGGUUUCUAGCAAAACUUUGCCGCCGAGGUUCAAAUGUUUAAAUUUUUUUAGUCUAACAUUUUUUUUUGAUUCGGUAUUUUAUUUGAAAUAUGUUUUUAGAUGAUCAAUCUAUACUGCUACAACAAACUGCAGGAUGUGUUUGAAGUUGUUUCCCUUUCCUUUGAAGAUUCUAAGUAGCUUGUCAAUAAUUUCGCCACUACCCGGUGAGUUUCAUGAUAAUUACCACUGUUGUUCUGUUUUUGCUUUUCCAUUGUUACUACUGUUUUCUGUCGGUCUUUGAAUAUUAAUAUUCAAAUUAUGUGGUGAACAACAGGUUGUAGAGUUUAGACAAGUUAUAACUUUCCAAGUUCUCGUGUUAUUUAUCCUUUCGUGCAAACGUCUCAUCUUAGUGUCUACCUUUCUAAGGGGAAACAACUCCUUCGUUUGUUUGCUCGCUAUUUUUUUUUUCUUCAUUGAUAAUGGUAGACUGUUAUUUUUGGUCGAUUAUUUAUGUUUUAUAUUUAUUUUUUUGGAUGUAUGCACAUGGAUUCUGCUACCGAUUUUUAAUUUCCCUUGUCGAUUUUCAGUUGGUGUUUCAAUUUCAAUUGAAACACUUAGCUUUCAGAUCUGCUCGUGUGUGAUGGCUGCAGUGUGUGUCCUCGAAACUGCCUCGACCCAAGAACUGUUUAAAGGUAAUUUUUGUGCUUCUCGUAUUUUAUUCGAUGUUAGGAACAGUAAAAGUAAAUUAUGCCAUUUUACGUGUCUAUGGCUCUGAUGGGAAAAAUGGACUUCAAGGGCAGGCCCCCUUUGCGAUGCCGAAACUUCGCGGGCAUGCAUAUGGCUUUUAGUUUCAAUUUGUGAGAGUCACAUUGCGUGUUUAUUUGCUAUUUAUGCAUUGCCAAUUAACUAUGGGAGUUCGAUUGAUGUUACAAUUAAUUGUCCACAAUUUAGAAAUGACUCAAAGUUAGGUGCUAUCUAAUGGUAUAUAUAAUGGAGCAUGCUUUGUUUCUCUUGAACUUUUCAUAUAGUGAUGACCCUUUUUUCUACUUCUUGCAUGCUUGUUUUAUUUCUGUGGGAGUUAGUUUGCUUCGGUUAUAGUUGGACUUUAAAUUAUUUAUGCUUAUAUCUUUAUAUUCGUGAUUUUUACAAGUAUUUAUUUAAUUUUGACUCGAUAGUUUAUUCUAAAGGUGUGAUGAUAGGAGUCACAACAUGGGCUUCAAAUAUAGGGUUUGAUCUAAUCAGAUGUUAUUUUCAUACUUCGACUGAAUUGAGGUUCAGUUCUUAAUUGAAGCCUUGCUAAAUAACACGAUAAAAAUUGCCUUUUGCCUGGUAUUUUGGCUUUGUAUGUUGAAAACAUGCUGCAGAACCACCUCGUUGAUUUCAAAUUGCAGCAAAGUCUAUUGACCUUCUUGUUGGACAGAGCAGAAGUGUUAGUUUUUGCCUAUGCAUACGGUAACAAAAAUGGUACGUAAUUUCAUUUGUAAAUCAAUCCAUAUUACAGUACAAAAAACUGGUUAAAAUUGUUGAGCUUUUCUGACCCUUUUAUGGUUUCUUUGCAUAAUGCAUAUGUUAGUAUCUUAUAAUACUUGUGGAAUUUGCCUAAACACCGCCUACCAUGCAAUUAUUGAGAUUUUCCUAAACACUUAUUUCCUCCAUCAUAUAUCUCGAUCUUAUUUAUCAUGUUUUGAUUCUAUUGAUUAAUACUAUUGGUUCAUUUUUUUUAUCUUCUUCUUACAGUUUGUCCGUGUUAUUAUACGCCUCUGUCCUUUAUUUUCUUUGCCCUUCUUUUCACGAUGUGUAUGAUCGACCUGUUUGCUUCUUCUUUUCUCUUUUCUUUUGUUCUCGAUUUUUUUCUUCUCUUGCUUCUUUGUCCUCAAUCGUCGCCUGCAAUUGCUGAAUCGCCGUUGAAUAUUUUUCGAUUUUGCUUCCAGUUUUGGUUAUUCUCUAUGGGUGCAAGUUCCUGGGUCUGAAUUGGAUUUCUUACAAUCUUGUCAUUGGGUUUUUUUUUUUAAAUCAUUGAUUCUGUCAUGGUUAAUACAAGUAAUCUAUUUGUAUAGAACAUGCAGCCAUUUUUUCAUCUAUCUAACGAAUAUUGGAUUGCUAUUCUUGCACAAAAAGGCGAAAUCCCUCGCCCCCAGGGCCCCCAUCCCUUGGUCCGACAAGGAUUGAUGGAGGAAUGUAAAUCAUGGUAACUCAACGGCUCGUUAAGGUAGCGGACCUGGACCUGGUGCCCACAAGGAACCAACCCUCAUUGGAGUUGAAAUUCCCACACUGCGGAUGCCAGGAUUCGAUCCUAGGACCUGGCACCAACUUACCACCUAUGGAACCAGUUGAGCUACACCCAUGCGGGCAAUAUUGGAUUGCUAUUCUAUUUAUAUAUGCAGAUUUUUUCAAGAUAAAAGAAAAUUAGAUUGGCUGAAGAGAAUGAAGGUAGCUUGCGGUCACGGGAUUCAGUUUUUACACGACAAGGCGAAUUCACCAAUGAUGAACCUCGUCCUGAACUCAUCAAAAACUUUCCUUCACUUUUGUUAUAUAUACGUUCUGAAUGCUAACAUUUGACAGUUAAGAUAGCAAUUUAUUGUCAGAUCUUUCCGACUUCUUUAAUUCGAAAACCUGCACAUUAUUCCUUCUGCCGAACAAUCUUUGCCAAACAAUCUUUUAAUGUUUGACAUAAAAUAAUCUUUUAAUAUCGGACAUGAAUAGCCGGGAAUAGGCAUCACGCAGGGCACCGCGCCUUGCGCGGUGCUCGUUACUAGUUUAUAUAUAUAUAUAUAUAUAUAUAUAUAUAUAUAUAUAUAUAUAUAUAUAUAUAUAUAUAUAUAUAUAUAUAUAUAUAUAUAUAUAUAUAUAUAUAUAUAUAUAUAUAUAUAUAUAUAUAUAUAUAUAUAUAUAUAUAUAUAUAGAAUCCUAAAAUUUAAUAUAAGAAGAAAAUAUCUAAUGAAAUGACCCCCCAUAUAUGUUGUCAGGCCAUGUGAACAAGUUAUGGAGCACGUUCUUAGCAAUUACUCAAUCAAUCCUGGGAAAAUAAAUAAUGCCAAUUAUUAUCUCAGGAUAAAAUUAAAAUACUAGGUAAAAGAAAAAAAAAACUUCAAGUGUAGACAAUGACAAUAGCCCUUUGGCUUUUGGUAAAAGACACAAUAGAAAGUGAUACGUACAAGAAUCUAUGCAUAAAUAAUUAUUUUAUUUUAUUUGAUGAUAGCCUAGCUUUCGUAUUAUUGAUGUCGUUUUCGUUUUCUUGUAAUUCGCAUGGUUUUUUCUUCGACUAGCUAGGCCAUUUUACAUUAUGAUUAAAUGAAUGUUUGAUGAAUAAUAAAAUAAAAUUGGACAAAUUACGGCCACCCCCAGAAGUAAGGUCAAAUUACGAAAAAAUCCUAAUGUUUGGGUAAUUACAACCACCCUUUAACUAUGAUUGUUCUAACACGUCCACCCUUACGGUGUCAAAUUCAAUAGAAUCUAAAAGAUUCCAUGAAAUGUUCUCUAGUUUGUACUCAUUUUGUGCAAAAAUUCAGUUUUGGAUGCACCACAAUCUGAUAUUUACAAGUCAAGAGACACAUCUUAUGAUCAUCUUGUUUUAAAACGUGGAUCUAGAAUAGGAUAAAACGGGUACAGACGGAAGAAUAUUCCACUAGAACAUUACAAUAAAUUUGACACCGUAAGGGUGGACGUGUAAGAAAAUGGAAAAGUACAGUUUGCACCCCUGAACUAUGGGGUGUGUCACAAACACCUCCCUAUACUACAAAACGUAACAAAAAGACCCCUCCGUUUUUAAACCGUUUGUAAUGUGCUGAUGUGGCAGUUGACCCUCUCUUAUUUCAUUAUUUUGACAUUUUUACCCUUCACUUUGCUAUAUCUAUAUGAAUAAAAAGAUAUUUACAUUUUCAGUAUGAAGAUAUAUUUUUUCACCCCAAACUUAAAAUUGUAAAUAAGCAAAAUACUUAAAUUUAAAUUGAUUAUGUAUUCCAAUUUUAAUAAUUAUUUUAUUUCAUCCCAAAAUAUUUUAUAUCAUUAACUUAUUAAUAUAGUAACAUAUUCAAUUUAAUUAAUACAUAAACAAAAAAAUCAGAAGAAUAAAUAUUUUUUUUAGUGAGAGCAUAUGAAUUUUCUAAGAGCAUCUCCAAGAGUGUAAUGUAAACCUAUAUUAUACACAAUAUGAACAACCAAGAUCAAAAUAGUGAGCUCCAAGAGUAAAAUGCAUAAUUAACAAAUUGGCUAAUUUGUAACUUUGGCUUCUCAAAUUUGAGAAACCAAAACUACAAUUUAGCUAAUGCAAAAAAUAUUAAAAUAAUAUUAUAUUGUUCUUUAUAAUAUAUUUAUCAUUAAAAAGUAUUUUAUAUUGUCUUAUAUUUUUGCAAAUAACUGUACUAAAUAAGAAAUUUAUUAUUUUACUUAGUAUUAAUAAUAAAUAAAAUUAAAAAAUAUUUAUCAUUUUAAUUAACAUAAAAAUAUUUCAUAAUGAAUUAUAAAUUUUUUAAUGUUUAUUUAUAUAUAUCAAUUAAGUUAUUGAAAUUUCUUUUAUCAAAUUUAAAAUUAUUUUUGUAUACUUAUUAAUUAGUAUUAUUAUUUAUUAGUAUAUUAACUAAAAUAAAAGUCAAAUAAUUUUGUAAAACAAAAAUUAUUAAAUAUUCAACAAUUAAAUAUAUUGUUUAGAAUAAUACACAUUUUUAUUAAUAUAUAAUAAUAAUAAUUGAAUAUCAUGUAGAAAUUAUUUAAUAAAAAUAAUUAAAUAUUAUAAUUGUGUAAAAUAUAAACAAUGUUGUUGGAGCGCAAUGUUAAAAGUGGAGUGUUAAAACACUGUUCAUUUGUUAUAUUAUAGAUAUAGACAACCGUUUUUAGAUAAACUGUUGGAGAUGGCCUAACAAUAAGUUAUUACUCAAUUGAAAAUUUCCUCAAAUUCAAAAAACUUAAGCUCAAACUAAAGACCAUAAAUGAUUAAAGUAAAUUAAAUAUAAAAUUUAACAAAUUUAAUUACAGAAUAAAUCAACCCUUGCAUUCAAAUAUAGUUCACAUUUCGGCCACUCCAAUCAAGAAGCAAGAUUUAACCCAGAUGCAAUCAACCUAACAUUGCUUUAAAAUUUAACAAACCCACUACUUCCUCUGGCCAAGGAUGAAAAAAUAGUACGUCGUUGCAAGAAAAAAGGUCCGGCGAGCAGGGCCAUGGCUACAGGAAGUCGAAAACGACGGAGGAGUGAACUGGGUGAAACCGUAACGGAAAAAGAAGCUUGAGAGGGAUGAAACAACAUAGGGAGAGGAAGGGGAGAAAAAACCUCUGCCGGAAAAUAUUUUCGCCGGAACGAAUGGCAUGGAAAAUCGAGAACUUAAUCCCUAUUAGAGGGAUGAGAGAAGUAUGGGAAAUGAGGAAGAAAAAAAGCAGGAGAUUUGUUGGUGGGGGUGAUGCGUAGAAAAUUGUGCAUAUUAAUAGGAAAUUGGGUCCAACAUUUCAAAUAUAUUUGAAGGGUAAAGAAGUAAAUGCAUAAGAAAACUGACGGUAUAAGUUGUUUACACGUUGACCACAAAUUAUAGGGGUUAUUUUGUUACGUUUUGUAGUCUAGGGGGGUGUUUGUGACAGACCCCAUAGUUAAGGGGUGCAAACCGUACUUUUCCCGUAAGAAAAUACAUAGUUAAGAGGUGGUUGUAAUUAGCCAAACAAUAUGAACUAUUUCGUAAUUUAAUAUGUACCUCAGGAUGUGACCGUAAUUUACCCAAAAAUAAAAUAAAUUCAACCUUUUUGCAUUGCAAGAAGAAAAGCAACAAGAAGGCACAACAAGAAGGAUGUUUGAUCAAAAAGUUUAAAGGGAAAAAAUGGACUUUAAAUUUAACCAAAAAGCUCAUAUAAAUAUUUGGUUUAUUGGUAGUAAUAAAGUAGAACAAUGUAAUCUCUUUCUAGUUCAAAUCAAAGUGUUAUUACAAAACGACAACAGAAAUUUGUGGUUAAGAUAUCUUAUCCCCUAAUAAUAAUAAAGACUGAAUUUUUAUUUUAUUUUUAAAUAUAAAUAAAAAAAUGGGCAUGUUUACAUAAUCACCAAAUUAAGAACACUAAUUAAUUCAAAGCUCCAAACAUAUAUAGAUUAAUUAAUGAUUUAUAAUAGGUAUCAGAUUUUCAUAGAUUCAAUAAAUAAAAAUCAACAAUUAAAUUCAAAUUGUUUUUUAUUCUGCUACCGAUUAUAAAUCAGAACUCGAUUUUGCCCCAGUAACUAUCACUCGCGACCCGAUUCGAGAGCCAACUCGAAUAGUCCUAGAGCAAGUAGUCGAGGUAGGCCCGGUUCAUCAUGGGCUGGCCGGAACCCUUGCCGGUGACGGCGUAGGCGAAGAUGACGAAGCCGAGUAGGGUGGCAAUGAUGAUAAACAUGGCCCACCAGUAGAGGUACAUGAGGAAGUUUUUCCAGUAGCAGGCGCCGGCGAAUCCGGCGAGGGAGACGACCAUGAUGGGGACGCCAAUUAUUAUGAGCGGCCACUGGAAGAACUUCAGGCAGUCGGUCUUGUUCGCGCGGCUGCUCAGCCAUAUUCCGCCGCCGACGAUGGGGAUCGACAGGACGAAGGUGAGGAAGUUCAGGGCGCCUAUUAGGUGGUUGCUCGUUCUCAUGGCGGCGGCGGUGGCGGUGGUUGUAAAUUUUUUUGAAAUUUAAUUUUGUCUUACAAGAGAGAGAGAGAGAGUACUGCUGUAUUUAUUGGGGAGCAGAUAUAUAAUGGGAAAAAAGCUUUGGGGAAAAUCAAAAUUUGUGGGAAACAAAGAUAAGCAUGCUUUGGUACACAGUUAAUGACUAAAUUACCUUCUGCAGAAUGAGUGAUUUACUGAUUUUGUUUAAAUUUUGGUUUAAUGGCACUUUGCCCCCCCAACUAUCGUGUGUUUUACACGUAAUCUCUGGACAAAAAACAUUUACAACAUUUUACCUAAACUGUGCACGGUGCCUCAGUUUUACCAAUUCAGUUCAUUUCUCGUGCGUCACAUGUCCAUUCACUUCAAGUGUUUUAGGGCAAAAAGAAGAAGAAAACGAGGGGAAAUAGAAGUACGAAUAAAUUUGCACUGAAUGGACGUUUAUAACGCGACAGCGGGUUAAUAAUCAUGAAUCAUAUAUUUCAUAAUUGAGGGGUUUUGGGUGAGGAAUUCUUGCAUAGGGGGAAGAUAAAAUCCUAGGUCCGUUUUUAUUGAUAUUUUCUCGUGUUAAUUUGCUUUCAUAAUUAGUUUAAUUAUUUAGUUGAUUAAAUUUGACAAUUUUCGUAGGCUGGAUAAAAAUCAUAAUUGUUAGAAUUUGGUACUUAGGAUUAGAUAAUUUGAGUAUUCCCUAUGGGAUCGACAUCCGACUCUCAUUAUUGAUUAUUGAACCCCCUCUCUGGUUUUACUCAAAGUCUCGACUUUGUGUACCUUGCGUGCGAAUCAAAUGAAGUCUUCUUCAUUUUCUUGACAUUUGUGCUUGAUGGCUAGAGCCUAUAGUUGUUGCCUUGUUGGUAAAUUACGAUAUUUUUUAUCUCCCUUAAUGGUGUCUUUGAUCUGGCAUAGUUUGACGAAUGAAAAGGUCGCUCGGGUCCCACUUUUCGAGUUACUCUCUCGUCAACUCUCUUUCCUCUAAAAAAUUUCUUCUCUUUUAUCUCUUGUGAUAUGAUUAUGUCAAAGCUUAAUAUCCAUGGUGGACAAGGAAAACAGGUGUUUGUCUUAAUACUCUGUCUACUUUUCGUCUUAUCAAUUUCUACGGAACAGAUAAUGGCAGCAAGAUGGAAAGGAAAAACAGCCGAAGUAAAAGCCCUAGCGGAGCCCAUGUCCACAAUAGUUUCUCGGCUCCAAUCCUCUUUGAUUGAAUCCAAUUCUCAAGGAAUCCUUUCAGGGAGCAGCGUUCUUCUUGCAGCACACGAAGAACAAACCGAGCUUUUCAACCAGGCGUGUUUCGGCCGUCUCGUUAUCACCACAGAGAAGAACAAACAGUGGUUUCAACUAUGCCUCGAGGAAGGUUUUUACCUCUGCACCGUAAUGAAAUGCAUCAAGAUUGUAGGUCAAAAUAGCUGCGUAAAAAACGAGGAAGAGCUGUAGGAUUACAUGUCGUCCAAGAGAGUGAAUUUUCCGAUUCUGUAUAAAGUGUGUUCGCAUCUUCGUACGAAGAACUGGGUGGUUAGGGCGGGGUCUCAGUACGGUGUUGACUUUCAUUGCACUCUUCGUCUCUGUGGCAGUGUUGCAAAAACGUUGUUGGUUCUCCACAUUAGCAGAAACUGUAACGAUUGUGACGGUGCUAGUUCUUCUCCUUGGAAUAUUUAUUAUGACAGCGUCGAGGAAAGAAUCGUUGCCAGGUGGAAUCCCGAGCAAAGCCGGGAGAAUUGUACGGUUGCAGAGAAGGAAUCGUGUAAGUCGUCAUAAGCUUAACUUAGCUCCUGUUUAUUGUACUAGUUACUAUGUUGUAAGAUUUCGCCAUCUUGUAUAAAUAAGUCUCAACACCAUAAGUACAAAAUUUUACACCACAAAACGCGAAGAAUGAAGAUCAACGAAGACUCAAGCAUAGUUUUUCUUAUUUAUUUUAUUUAUUCUAUUUUGUUUAUCAUAAGAAUUACGCGUAGCUAAGUUUUUAAUCUAGGAUUUUGUCUGAACCCUAUGUGGGGAUGGUGAACCCGUUUUCUUGAGAUUAUGCAAUUAUGAUUUUAUGAUUAUUUCUUCUACUUGUUAUGAUUGUUAGUGCAUGAACUUGAUCAAUUUAUGUGCUUUAUCUGUGAUUAUUGGGAUUGACUAGACAGAGCUAUUUUGAUAAUUAUACGGUAAGUAUAAGAACCUUCGAGUAGUUUUCACCGGAUGAGUGUGUCAAUUGCAUGUGGUGUCGUAGACAUACAGAUAUCACCUUAGGUAGCCAUUUACGAGACUUGUUAGUUAAUGCUUUACUCAUUAUUUGUUUGCAUAGACAUAUAGUGAACCGUUUAUGAAUAAUAGACUCAUAAUACACGCGACAGCGGGUUAUGAGUAAAUUAGUGUCUCGGGUUACUAAUCAUGAAUCAUAUAUCUCAUAAUUGAGGGGUUUUGGGUGAGCAAUUCUCGCAUAGGGGGAAGAUAAAAUCCUAGGUCUGUUUUUAUUGAUAUUUUAUCGUGUUAAUUUGCUUUCAUAAUUAGUUUAAUUAUUUAGUUGAUUAAAUUUGACAAUUUAGCGUAGGCUGGAUAAAAAUCAUAAUUGUUAGAAUUUGGUACUUAGGAUUAGAUAAUUUGAGUAUUCCCUGUGGGAUCGACAUCCGACUCUCACGAGUCCACUUUUACUACUUGUUUGCGAUACGUGCACUUGCGUGUUAGGUAUUUAGCACCCAACAAGUUUUUGGCGCCGUUGCCGGGGAAUACAGCUAAAUUAUCUAUUUAUUCUAAUUUCAAAUUUGAGCAUUUUUUUUUACUUCAGCCAUUUAAUUUUAAUUUUAAUUUGUAUUUUUAAUUUUUAUUUUUUUGUUUUUGUUACAUGUCUGGUUACAAUCUUCGGGCACCUCAAACGGGAUAUGAAUGGCUUCCAAGUGACGAAUACCUCCAAAACACCUGUGAUAUGCCUCCGUUUUGUUCAGCAUGUGGUGGAAAUCAUUAUUCUGAUCAAUGUUGGGGAUCACCAAAAGCGACAAAUUUCAUCGAAAUUACCAACGGAGGUUAUUGGAAUACUUGCACCAGCACAUACGAGCAAAGCUUUCAAGACCAAGAUUUGAACGAGUUUCAACAUAGAGAGCCACAAUUUUCUGAUUUUCAAAAUUAUUAUCCCUCGCAGCAACAAACCACUGAUGAACAACUUGAUUUGGUAUCCCUCAUUGCCGAAUUCAUGAAGUCCACUCAAGCAUCAUUUCGAAACAUGGAGAUACAACUGGAAGAGAUGACGCUCAAAUUAAAAUCUGAGUCUCUUGAAAAUAUUCCAGACGAAAUCGGCAAUGGUUAUAUCAAAGAAAAUUCGGGUGAAGCCUGCGGUGAGAAAAUCUUCCAUGUCCAGGAAAUAGUGUCGAUAUGAGAGAAAUAGAAAUGACGAAGACACUUGAGGAUGAUGAAUCUGAGAAUGCAAUCGAGCUAAACUCCAAAGAUGUCUCGGAACAAGAGAAGAAGGAGAUGGAUGUGGUUAGUGCAAAUAUUCAAAUUGAGGAUCUUAUUGUUGUUCAUGACGUGGCUUUGAAGGCAUUAAUAGAGGUUGACAAGAAGGCGAAUGUGUUUGAAGUGGAGGUUAUACACAGACUUGAGGUUUUUGUGUACCGAUUUGAGGGAGCGGGUGAUGAAAAUCCCAUCUUGGCUUCGUACCGAUUUAUUACAACAAAAAAAAGACUACAAGUUAAGGUGGACCGUGACAUAUUGCAGUGCUAUCCAUGCAUUGAUUGCAAUUGAAGUGAUAAUGAUCAUGGAUGGAUGCGCAAUCUACAAGGCUUUGGAUUGGACAUAACGAUUUCCAGAAGCAAAGUCCGGCUGAAGACUUAAAAUUUAGCGCUUAUCGGGAGGCAACCCGAGCAUUUAUCGUUUUUGUUUUCUCAUAUUUUUCGUAUUUUUAGUUGUUUUUUAUUUUCUUAGAAUAUAUAUAAGCGUGCAAUCUAAUAAUUUAAUCAUGUUUGAAUUUUUAGGUCGAAAAAGGACAAAGAGUCCAGACUGCCGUCCGAAAAUCAAGCAAAAACCCGAGACGGCCGUCCGGAGAAGUUACGACGAAUUGUGAACCUACUGUUAGUGGGACGUCCGUCCCGAAAACAAUGCAAAACGUGGGACGGCCGUCCGGAAUACCCCUGAAAAAAAAGGUGUUUGCUUGAAAGUAGAAGAGAAGGAGGGGUGCAACACGUGGAGGACGUUUCAACUAAUCAAGGUGUAUUCUAUCCUUAAACUUCGUUUUAAUUACAUUGAGAACAAUGUAAAUUUUAAGUUUGGGGGUGGAAAAACAGUUUUUAUGUGCUUUAUAGGUUUUAGAUUGCAUGCUUUAGGAUUUUAUUUCUUUAUAGUCGUUUUCUUUUAUUUAUUAUUUUCUUUAAAAAAAAUUGCUUGAGUCGAACGCAUCGAUGAGUUAUGAUGAUGAGAGAUGAUCAUUGUGUGAUGAUGAAAUUGCUUGUUUUGUUGUGAUAAGGAUUAGAUGUUUGUUUAGCUUUCGAUUCAACGGAACAUAGAAACGACUUAUUGCUAGGAAUCACACUUUGUGCAUUGCUUUAGUUGAAUAUUUUGUAUUUUAAAUUUGGAGCUAAUUUGUGUUAGAUCAUGCUAUGUUCAGUUUUAGACCUCACCUUAGGAAAUUUAUGAUACGAAGUAUUGAGUAGUGAGUGAUUUGGGAUUAGAUUUGGGCCUUCUUUGAUCCGUUUGAGCCUUUCAAGCCGACCUUUUUAUCGAAAUUUUCCUUAGAACCUUGAUUUGAGCCUCGGAGAAAAGGUGUUCUUUCUUUUAGCCAAUGUGUAUAAGGUAGAAUAGAUGGAGAUUCUUGAAAAAUUACCCCUUGGAGUUCGGUUGAAAAUUUUUAUAAGGUCUCUCUUCUUCUUAAAAAAAAAAGACGAAGAAGUAUAUAGGCUUCUAUAUAUAUUUAUAAAAGAAAAAAAAAACAAAAAGAGAGAAGAAGAAGAAGAGACUAGAAGUGAGAAGAAAGGACUAGUUGUUGAAAUUAUUUUUGAAAGCUCGAUCUAUUGCCUCAAAAGCAAAAGUGGAGACUUUUGAACUUUUGAGAAACGAGUUAAUUAAAGUCCUUAGAGGUGAAUUCAUUGUUUCAAACGCCUAUCUUUCAGAUUUUGGCGUAAUCACCUCAAUUCAACAAUAAUAGCCACAUAUACCCAUAUUUCCUACCUCGAACCAAAGAGCCUAACAAUUGAAAGCCAAAAAGCCCAAUGAUCCCAAUAGCUUAAUGUUCGAUAUUAGUAGAGUAGAAUAAUUUGGUGAGUAUUUGGAGUCAAACAUAUGCAUGUAAGCAUAAAUUUUUUCUAUCUUUAAUUUACAAAUAUUGGAUGCUUGAAGCAAUUGCAUGAUUUGUGGUUUUUGGUUGUGGUAGGUGACUAAGUGCUUUUGAAUUUUGAACUUCCGAAUGCCUAAGAAUUUUCAUUAUAAUUACAAGUUCUGAAAACGUGGAUUUGGUCAUUAAUCUAUGUGAUGAGAUGCGGUAGUUGAGUUUUUUGCUUACGAUUAGAUUUUGCUUGAGGACAAGCAAAAGUUCAAGUUUGGGGGUGUGUUGAGUGUAGAUAUUACACUCAAUAUGUUUACUUUACGUGAAUCUUUUGUUUAGAUUUAAUUAUAUUUGUGCUUUAAUUGAUUGAUUUUGUGUUUUAUAGGUGAAAAAACGAGAAUUAAGUGUCCAUGAAGGAAAAAAAAGAUCAAAAAGAAAGGAAAAAGUUGCAAAUAAGGAAACAAAUCAAAUUAGAAGGAAUCUCGCCACAACAUUGAUAGUGUCCACCAUUUCGAGCAUAUCUCUCUCAUACAAACUCCGAAUUAGGUGAUUUUGACGGCAUUAGAAAGCUAAUUUCAAGGGAUACAAUUCUUAUUUACACAACAUUCCAAAAUUCGGACUCCAACAUGGCACAAAUUGACGAACAAAUCCUGAUGGGGGAAAGUGGCGAAAAUUGAUUCAUAUUAGGUUUCUACUACUUCUUAUCAAGAAAAGCAUAUAAAAGCAACAAGUCUCAACACCAUAAGUACGAAAUUUUACACCACAAAACGCGAAGAACGAAGAUCAACGAAGACUCAAGCAUAGUUUUUUCUUAUUUAUUUUAUUUAUUCUACUUUGUUUAACAUAAGAAUUACGCGUAGCUAAGUUUUUAAUCUAGGAUUUUGUCGGAACCCUAUGUGGGGAUGGUGAACCCGUUUUCUUGAGAUUAUUCAAUUAUGAUUUUAUGAUUAUUUCUUCUACUUGUUAUGAUUGUUAGUGCAUGAACUUGAUCAAUUUAUGUGCUUUGAUGAUGCUAAAAUAUAGCUCACCUAGGGUGGUGUAGAAAAUGAGCUGGGAGAGCAAAGCGGAUCAGUAGCAUGACGACUUGAUGAUCCUGAGGUCCCUGCGAAAUGAACACACGUGAACUACGCCGGAGGUUGAUCCGGCGGAAACCCCUCCGACGCUCAAGUCAGAUAUACGGAUUGCGGAGAUGGUAGAGAGAAUCAAACUCUAGCUUGUUCGUGAAUAAUGAAAAUCAUACCUUUACAAAUGAGUAAAACAUCUAUUUAUAUAUCGGUGAUUGGGUUGGGCUUACUUUGUUGGGCCCAAGCCUUACUUUGAAGGUGUUUGGGCUUCCGUGUAGUGGGCCUAAUUAGUAAAUAAAUAUGAGGGCCCAUUGGGCCGGCUCAUUUAUGUAUAUCAUUAAGCCCCCCAACUCUUGAUUCGAGACGGGGACUUGUGUAGAGGGGUCCGGGUCGUGUCUAGAGUUUAAUUGCGUCGUGGAUUGAAUAGUUUCCGUUGGCGGUGAAUUAAUUCCUUGAUUUAAAUAAGGGAUAAUUGUAUUUACUUGGCAGCGAGGUAUAUAUUUAAGGGUUUUAAAUAUUAUACCAGGGCCAGAUAAAUAGUCUCUUUUUGCGGUGGAAAGAAUUAAAAUUCAUCUCCUUCGUAAUAAAUAUGGGUAUGUACUUUUAACUUUAGGUCUUCUUUGUGUUCUCUUCUUUUAUUCUAUAGCGGUAGAGUAGAAAUUUUUUGUUAUCUUGAUUGCUUCUUUGGGGAAAAAUAUUUCUCAUGUCGAACCCGGGUAAUUCGAAACCCUUGCGAAUUAAACUUUGAGAUCCGGUUGAAGGGGGCAAGAAAAAUUUUGGUUCCGUGGGAAUGGAACGCGAGAAGGUAGUAGUAUCGGGUGGGGAAAUCGGAUCUGCGGUAGGUAGUGCACGAUGUUUGAAGAAAAGAGGGGUCUCGGCUGGGGGGAUAGGCUCGAGCCGAGUGGUUAAUCUGAGUGAGGGCGCGCACCUCGAGAAGGCGGCUGAGCCCCUUGAAGCCGCUGAGCUGGAGGCUCACACGGUAUCCGAGGAGAGGAGGUUCGGUGUAGCAGGCGCGUCGGGCGCGGAGAUCGGUAGACGCGCGCGCGUGUCGGGUACGGAGAUCGAAGGACGCGCGCGCGUGGACGUUGACUGCCGGGUGGUUUGCGCGCCUCCCGAGCGACGCGCGCGUGCAUCAGAGGGGCUGUGCCGAGGUGACGCGCGCGCGCUGCCCUAUCCCGGGGCGCGUGACGGCGCGUGUUGGACUGGAUUGGGGGCACGUGGCCCUGCUGCGGCUUGUGACGCGCGCGCGCGUGAGGCAGCCCCUCUUCGGCGGACGCGCGCGCGUGAGGGCGCGUUUGAAGGCCGUUUUCGGGCUGGGUCGGGUGAAAUUGAUGGGCGAAUCGCCGAGGCACUUGGUUGUUUAAAUGGGGUGAGUUUUGGACAACGAGAAAUCAUUGAAUCUUGGAUUGACGAUGUACAAGCGAGUUAUAAUGUUGAUAUUUGCCCUACUGUUGAUGAAGUGGAUUCCAGUAGACGUCGUUAUGGGCGUCAAGUCGUGGAUUUUGGGAGUGAUAGCGAUGAUUCGAAUCAAGCACCUUUGGCGAGUGAUCAUGCGGUGCCAAGUAGUGAAGUUGAGCCGAUGGUCGAAGAGGAGGAGGAAGAUGAUAUUCCACUGGGUGAUGUUGAGAUUGAUUCUAGGAGGCAAAAGAAACAUAAGUUGAUUAAUUUGGACUUAGUUUAUUUUGAUAGUAAACUGACGGAAGAGCAUUUGCAGUCUAUUCGUCGUUUAGUUGGAGCGCAUAGAAAUAUCGAGUUGUUGUUGCCUCAUAAGGGCGACCGGUUGUAUUCGCCACCCAAUGGGUUUCAUACGGUAUUCUUGGCGUAUGUGACGUGCACAUCUCAGAUUACUCCGCAUCCGACCUUGUUGAAGAUUUGCGAGGAAUUCAAGAUAGGGUAUAGUCAGCUAACUCCCUCUGCUGUUCUGAUGUUCGAGGCGUUUCACCAUAGAGUGUCUCGAGUAGGUUUGCCUAUUACUGUGAGUUUGUUCAAGGCGUUAUUUAUGUUACAUCGGCCCAAUAAGUGGCCUUUCUUUUGUUUUCAUCCUCGCGUUCCCUACCAAUUCGUGAAAAGUGUGAAGUUAUCCUUGGGGGGAAUGGAAGACCAAUUUUUUUUUAUGUGAAUGCUCCCACUUUCGACGUCCCCGUAGUUUGGAACCCUACGUGCGAGAGUUUCACGAGAACUGCGAAUAUGGUGAAGAGGAUAGAAGAGUCUAAGUUGUGUGAUGUGGAAUUUGACCCGAGGGUUUUGAUACCAAAGGCAAAGGGUUAGCACCGUAUAUCCUUUGAGUGAUUGAUUUUUUCGCUUCUAUUUUUUUUUUUUUUUUUUUUUGUAGUUCUUUGGUUGUAUAUACCCCAUGUCUCUUAAGUGUUUGUUAUCUUUUGUAGAUGGGGGUAUCACCUUUGCGGCACUUCGAGCUAAGGCGAAUGGGACGUCGAAAAAGGCAUCGAAGAAGGUUCCCGCCACGUUGGGAGGUUCUUCAGGUGGUUUGUCUCGUGAGACGGUCCAUGUAGAAACUCCUCGAGUUAUCGAAGAUGACCGUAGCAGUGCUGGUGAAGUGGAGGGGCGUCCACCGACGAGGUAUCGUGGCAAGGGAAAGAGGGUGGAUACCGAGUAAGUGGCUGUGCCUAAGUGUCCACGGGUAGACCCAGAGGAGACCUAUGCUUUCCAUGGUGGGGGAGGGAAACAGUUGUUUACCAAUGGCGUGAAUCGCGAUGAUAAGGAGUCGUAUUGGGAUGUGUCGGACCAUGAUUUGCCGAUGUUGAGUACCGAGGGAUUCGUUCGGGAGUAUGAUCGUGCUCGGAUGUCUGGUAAGGGCCCUUCUCACAUGUUGGAGUUAGCCGGUGGGGACAUAUGUCGGGUGAGUCCUUGUUUAUUUAAAACAAGAUUAAAUGUUACCUCAUCUCUUUCUUGUGUAAUUUUUUUUUUUAGUUGGUAGCGACUUGGAGAUAUCUGAUGGAGCAAGGUAGGAACGUGGAAGCUAGGAAGGAAGAGGAGCGGGCUCGAAGUCAGGCGCGUGAAGACGAACUUCUAAGCCAAUUGGAGAAAGCGUGGUCCGAUCUUACUCAACGGUCGGAAGAACUUGCCCAGAGGACAGAGGAGCUUGCUCAGAGGACAGGGGAGCUUGAGGUUAUCCAAGGUGAUGCGAAGGCAUAUAAGGAUGAUGUUCAUAAGUUGAACGAGUGUUAUGACCAGCUCAAAGAGAAAUAUGAAGUUGAGAAGGCGACGGGGAAGAGGUUCCUCGCGACGUUAGGUGGUGCGGCUUAUAGGGAGUCCAUCGUGGAGGAAACCAAGCUUAGCUUCCGAGGUAGUGAUGAGUGUGCUGCUAUGAUUGGGGAGCAUGCGUUGGCUGUGGUCUAUAAGCCAUUAGUUCGUGCUUGUCGCAAAUAUCUUCGCGAUGCGGGUAGUGUUAGUGAGAAGGUUAUUCGGGGGAUGGAGGCUGGUAUAUCCGAUGAAGAGGAGGAUGAGGUCGAUGUCAACGGCACGGGAACAGAGCUCGUUGAUGACAUUGUUGCUGAUGACCCCACUGUGGGAGCGUCUUCCGCCCGUGGUGGGGGAGUUUAGAUAUUUUUGAUAGGAUGGUUAAACUCUUUUUUAUUUAUUAUUGCUAUGGAUUUCUUAAUUUAUUUUUAUCGCUGAUGUAGAUGGGUAUGUCCACUACUGUUUCGUUUGAAUUUAUUCCUUGUUUGACAUUUGAAGUUUUGAUACUUAGUUAUUUAUUUUGACAUUGUCAAGAGUUAAUGCGCUGCUUAUAUGUAUUUACAUUUAGCAUUGUACGCGAUGUACUUGAGGUGGGGAUCAGUCUCCCAAGGUUUUUGUUAAGGGUCGUGCCCUUUGUUCGGACCGCUUGGGUCUUAAAUAUAUUUGUCCGUGGCCACGUUUUAAAAUUAACACCUCGUGAAACAAAUAAAGGGACUCAGAUGAUCCAGCUGGCCAGGCUAUAUGGAUUAUCUAAAUCUCUCUAAGUGUUUAUAGGGUGGUAUUGAAUUAGACUCAUGAUAAGAGGUAGUUUGUAUCGAUGUAAAGACACAGAGAGUAAAACGAAAAUUGUGAUUUAUUCGAUGAUAGCAAAGGAUAAUUGUUACAAGCCUAUGUGAGGCAAAUUUAAAUAAAUAGCUAAGUCGAUAGACCUACGUGAGGCGAAGGUAACUAACUACUGCUAAAGCAAAUAAAUUGUCUUGAUAAAAACUCUCCUAAGUGAUUGUGUGGCACUUAUUCUUCUUCCACGUCUUCCUUGUACUAGUUCGUUUCACUGUGCUGAUGGUAGAUUGACUUCUUUUGGCGUCUCUAUGCCUUUCAAGUAUAAUUGAAAAAAAAGAAAAUUUGUUUAAACACUUGUAUUGAAGAUUUAGUAGUUGAAGCUGUGGUGAUGUGUGCUGCACUUUCACGUACCCUACUACGGGGGUUGUUUUUUCUCUCUCGCACUCCGAGAUAUGAAAUCGACUCGUGAGUUGCUGUGUGCUCAUGCCUGCUAGUGGAAUUAUUUUUUCACGUUAGUAUGAAUACUCAAGAACACGCGUUUGGUGUAUUCUAGUGGAAGUAUUGUUACCCUUGGCGAUGUGGUAUGGAUGGUCCUCGCUCUUUGGGCCAUUGAUUGAGUAAUAUGCAUCCCCUCGUAAUUGGUUAUCAAUCUAUAAUAAGAUGGUGAGAUGUGAUUAUGAAUUACUAAUGUAAAUAAAUUCGCUAGCCCCCCAGUCUAGGUAGGGUGUUAACGCACCUAGUUAUGUAGUAGAAAAUUUCCAACCAUGUAGAAAGAGCUUUACAAGACGAGUGACGUGGAAGGUCGCGGAGCCUAAAGUGUAGAACCGUUUGAGGUUCCCUAUAUUCCAUGUUCUGGGUAUAGGGUGUCCGUCAGUGUUCUUGAGGCGAUAUGCUCCAGUGUUGACCACUUUUGUGAUUUUAUAUGGUCCUUCUCACUUUGGAUCGAGCUUACCAAUGGGGUGAGAGGCUUCAGCUUUCCGGAGGACUAAAUCUCCAACUUGAAAGGAGCGAGGACGGACCUUUGAGUUAUAUGCCUUGGCCAUGCAUGAUUUGUACAUCUGUUGCCGGAUGUAUGCGAUCUUUCGUAAUUCAUCUACAAGGUCUAGGCUUCCUCGCAUAGCUUCUUCAUUAGCUGCUGGAUCAUAAUUGGUGAUUCUCCAAGAUGGUUCACCUAUUUCAACGGGUGCUAUAGCCUCUGUGCCGAAAGCUAUAUUGAAAGGCGACUCUCCGGUUGUUGCGCGUGGGGUUGUGCGAUAAGCCCAUAGUGCGUUAGGCAAUUCUUCCAUCCAUUUCCCUUUGGCACUUCCCAGCCUUGUCUUAAGGUGUUGGAGGAUGGUGGGAUUUGUAACCUCUGUCUGGCCGUUAGCUUGUGGAUUUGCUACCGAUGUGAAGAAUUGGUUGAUUUCCAAGCCGAGGCACCAAUUUUUUACUUUGUCACUUCAAAAUUUGGUUCCAUUAUAUGAGAUAAUGGAACGUGGGAUUCCAAAGCGACACACGAUGUUUUUCCAUAGAAAUUGGAUGACUUCUUCUUCUCGGAUGCGUGCUAAGGGUUCAGCCUCCACCCAUUUGGUGAAGUAGUCCACUGCUACAAUGAGGUAUUUGCGUCCUCCUGUGGCGGGCGAGAAUGGUCCAACUAAAUCCAUUCCCCAUUGGGCGAAAGGGAUGGGGCUGUCAAUUGGUUGCAUUAAUGCUGCUGGCAGGUGAGGAAUAUUGGCAUGCUCUUGGCAAGGCUUACACCUCCGGACUAAUCUCUUCGCGUCUUCAUGCAUCGUUGGCCAAUAGUAGCCUUGCCUCAGUAGUUUGAGAGCUAAGGUUCUCCCGCUCAAGUGAUUGCCGCAGAUGCCUUCGUGUACUUCUCUAAGUACGUAAUCCGUUGUGGUCGGGUCGAGGCACUUGAGAUAGGGGAAUGAGAACCCUCGUUUGUACAAUUCUUCUCCCACUAUGACGAAGCGGGCGGCUCUUGUUUUUAACUUCCGUGCUUUAGUGGGAUCUGUUGGAAGUUCUCCCUUCUUGAGAUAUUUCAGGAUUGGGGUGAACCAGCAUGGUUCAUCCUCCUUGGUGUACUGUACUUCAGUGGCUGAAGUUAUCUCCGGCUGAGGUGAGAUGAGGAGCGUCACCUUCCGACUUCCGAUGCUGGCCAUGGAACUUCCAAGCCUAGCUAAUUUAUCAGCGUGGAUGUUAUUGGAGCGGGGCACUUGUUUAAUUUCGUAGCUCUCGAACUUGGAUAAUAGAGCGUGUGUGCGAGCUAAGUAUUUGGUCAUGGUAUCUUCUUUGGCCUCGUAAACUCCGAGUACUUGGUUAACGACGAGCUGAGAGUCGCUUUGGAUUAGGAGCUUGCGCGCUCCGGCUGCUUGGGCAAGGCGGAUUCCCGCUAUCAAUGCUUCGUAUUCAGCGACGUUGUUUUAGGCUGUGAAUUCGAACUCGUGUCCGUCAGGGUUUGUUAGGACGAUACCCGCCCCCCCUCUUGUGGCAGUGGAAGAUCCAUCGACGCUGACAGACCAGGUAGGUAGAGAGGUGCUUUCUUCUACUGAGGUCAUUUCGACUAGAAAGUCAGCCAAUACUUGCGCUUUGAUAGCGGGACGGGGUUUGAAUUCUAUCCCAUAUUCGCUUAGCUCAAUUGCCCAUUUUGCUAAUCGCCCGGAUGUCUCGGGACAUCUUAGUAUCUGCUUCAGAGGAUAAUUGGCGAGAAAAACCACUUGAUGCGACUGGAAGUAGGGUCGAAGCUUUCGAGCUGCGUUGAUGAGGGCGAGAGCGAGCUUCUCCAUAUUGGUAUAGCGUUGUUCGGCUCCUUGGAGGGCGCGACUUAUGUAGUAUAUGGGUUGAUGACCUUUUCCUCCAUCUCGGAUGAGGACUGCGCUGAUGGCAUCAGCCGAGGUAGCUAAGUACAGCAUGAGGGUGUCUCCCGGCUGAGGUUUUGUAAGCAAGGGUGGUGAUGCGAGAUAUAACUUUAGCUCAGUGAAGGAUUUUUGACAUGCCUCAUCCCACUCGAACUUUUUUCCUCCCCUUAAAAUCUUGAAGAAAGGGAGAGCCUUGUUCGCUGAUCUUGAAAUGAAUCUGUUCAGGGAUGCUAAACAGCCGUUGAGCUGUUGAACUUUCUUGAUCGAUGUUGGUCGAGCCAUGGAGGUGAUUGCUUCGAUUUUCGCGGGAUUAGCUUCGAUUCCUCGCUGCGAAAUCAUAUAACCCAAAAAUUUGCCUCCCCGAACUCCGAAUGAACAUUUGAGGGGGUUGAGCUUCAUCUUAUAUUUUCACUGGGUGGCGAAACACUGAUCCAGAUCAGUUAGGUGGUCCGAGACCUUGACACUUUUGACGAGCACGUCGUCGAUAUACACCUCCAUAUUCUUACCGAUCUGAUCUGCGAACAUGGCAUUCACUAGACGUUGGUAAGUGGCUCAUGCAUUUUUUAAUCCAAAAGGCAUGACUCGAUAGCAGUAGAUGCCUUGGUCUGUGACAAAGCUAGCCGUCUCUUGAUCUUCUGGUGCGAGCAAGAUUUGGUUAUACCCUUGAUAAGCGUCAAGGAAGCUGAGGAGCUCACAUCCCGAAGUUGAAUCGAUGAGUUGGUCGAUUCUAGGUAAAUGAAAUGGGUCCUUAGGACAAGCUUUGUUGAGGUCAGUGAAAUCCAUGCAUAACCUCCACUUUCCCCCGGGUUUGGGAACGAGUACUACGUUCGACAACCAUUCAGGAUACUGAACUGGUCAUAUAUGACCCGCCUCUAGAAGUUUCGCCACUUCUGCCUUGAUGUGCUUGUUGCAUUCGGGUCCAAAUGUUCGUUUCCGUUGUUUGGUCGGCUUCAACCUUUUGUCGACGUUAAGCCGAUGUAGAGCUACAUGAGGGGGGAUGCCCGACAAAUCUUGAGCUUUCCAAGCGAACACGUCUCCAUUGUGCCGCAAGAAUUUGACUAAUUGGUUCUCCAUCUCAGGAUCUAAAUCGGAUCCGAUGCGUAGGAGUUUGGAAUCAUCUCCAGGUGUGAGCUAUAUGAGCUUAAGCUCUUCGACGGCUGCUAGCUUGAUGCUGUCAUCUGGUACACUUGUGAGGAUUUCUUUAUUUUCCUCAAUGAUCGCGUUGACCCACUUCCGUUUGUCGGAUUUUUGGGUGUCGUCUCCCCUUCCGGAUGGUUUAGGCUUCUUGGAAGGUUCUCGUAGGGCCCUUGCAUAGCAUUCUCGGGCGAGACAUCUAUCUCCAAGUACUUCUCCCAUUCCAUAGGGAAUAGGGAACUUCCACUUCUGAUGGUAGGAGGAAGGCACUGAUUUGAAUGUAUGGAUUGAUGGCCUCCCUAGAAUGAUGUUGUAGGGGGAUGGCUUGUCGAGGACGAGGAAUUUGAUUAGUUUUGUGAUUCGACAAGGGUCUUCCCCUAAAGAAACGGGCAGCUCCACUUCUCCCAUGGACAAAAUGCCCUCUCCUGUGAAUCCUUUCAGGGGUGUGGAGAUGGGACUAAACCGGGCAUUAUCUAUGCCCAGCUGCUUAAAAGCGUGGAGGUACAUGAUGUCAGCUGAGCUCCACCGUCCACUAAUAUCUUCUUGACCAAGAAGUUGGCCACCAUUGUUGUUACUACCAACGCAUCGACAUGAUCUUCAUCUGGACCUUCAAGGUCGGAGUAGUUGAAGACUAUGCUAUGAUCAGGUCUUCGUACUUGAUAGAUGCGUGCGGAUGGAGAAGCACGUUCUUGAUUCAUGCGUGCUGAUCGAGCGAGGGUGCGUCUUGCAUUUUGUGAAUCGCCACCCGCCGGUUCUCCGGAGAUAAAGGAGAUGAUUCCCCGGGUAGGUUGGUUAUCGUUGUUAUCUGGGUCUCGUUGAUGACCCCCCUCCUCUCGUCGUUGUUGUUGAUCUCGAUUGUUAUCUCGGCGUGGAAGAUCGUCACGGCGCUUAUUUCGAGACUUAUCAAUGUAUUCGCCUAAGUGGCCUUGCUUGAUCAACCUAUGAAUCGCCACUUUGAGUUGUGCACAUUCCUUGGUAGUAUGUCCUCUAUCCUUAUGGAAUCGACAAUAGCGAUCCGACUUUUCUCGCUUUGCAUUUGGCUGCAUAGGAAGUGGAGUCUCUGCUAAACCUUUCUGUUCUAUUACGUGAAGGAUUUCAGUGAGGCGAAUGUUUAGCGGAGUGAAUCUGUUGUAGGAGGAAGAUGGUUGACCUUGAGGUGGAAGUGGUGGACGUCGAUCAUCCCGUCUCCUAUUGUCUUGUCGGUUCUCUUUUGUUUUUAGGAGGAGCGUUGGUAGAGGCUUCCUCUAUCCGGACGUAUUUUUCGGCUUGAUUCAGCAACUCCUCUAGGUUACCUGGGGGUGUUCCGGCGAAAGACUCUUUGAACUACCCGGUUUCAAGUUCUGCUGCAUAAUCCCGGAGAGCAUGUGUUGCCCUACACUGGGAACUUCAUGGACGGCUUCGACAAAACGCUUGUGUAGUUGCGGAGCGUUUCGUUAUCUCUCUGCACUACAGAGAAAAGGUGAGCAGGGGUCUUGGCAUACUGCUUGUUGAUGGCGAAUUGGUUGGUGAACCGAGUUGACAGCCGAGCGAAGGUGUCAAUCGAUCCUAUGGGCAGAGAGUUGAACCAAUUCAUUGCUCUCUUGGAGAGAGUGGUGCGGAACAUUUUGCACAUCGCAGCAUCCGUCGGGCCAUAUAAAUCCGCCAUGGCGCUGAAUUUCUCUAUAUGCUCUUGUGGGUCGGUGGUCCCUUCAAAUUGAGGUAAUCCCGAGAUCUUUACUCCUUGAGGUAAUACCUCGUUGAGGAUGUCUAUGGUGAAGGGACUGCGUCUUUUUGAGAUGGGCAUUCUUUCACCCAUUGGAUUAUUUGGGUGGGGGAAAAGAUUUUGGCGAGACAUUCUGCUGUUUACCUCGCCUUAUCCCUCAUUAAAGAGAGGGACUCUCUGUGGUGACGCAUUCCCCCGUGGGGGUGAGCGUUGACGCUGCUGUCUGGGCUGUGCCACUCGGUGAUUAGUAGAUAGCUGCACUCGGGACCGUGGGUCCGAGGUAGAGGAGGAGAGAUUUAUUUGAUUCUGGAUUGGCGGUGGGGCCACGGGUGGGGCUAUAGGUGGAGCUGGCGCUGGUAUCCCAUGGGGAGCGUUUUCUCCCAUCAUGGCGAUAUAUUGAGUUACGGCCUCUAUGGCAGCGCGAGUUGAGGCAUCUGCUAUCAUGCGUUGGAGUGCGUCCUCGGUUAUUAGAACCGUUCGAGGAGCAAGGAGUGGUGGAUCGGCGGGUAGUGGGUCCCGAGGAGGGAUCACCUGAACCUCGCGAGGUGGAUCCCCAGUACGUGGCACGUGGAGGAGGUGGCUCCGCGGCACGUGGAGGAAGUGGCUCCGCGGCACGUGGAGGAAGUGGCUCCGCGGCACGUGGAGGAGGUGGCAUGCCAGAUCCUCCACGGACUGGAAGGUUAUUAGCUGUAUCAUUUUCUCUCCGAGCAGACGCCUCAGGAGGAUCUUGUUGGCUACGCGAUCAGGUUUGCAUCGUUCCCACAGACGGCGCCAAAAUGAUGAUGCUAAAAUAUAGCUCACCUAGGGUGGUGUAGAAAAUGAGUUGGGAGAGCAAAGCGGAUCAGUAGCUUGACAACUUGAUGAUCCUGAGGUCCCUGCGAAAUGAACACACGUGAACUACGCCGGGGGUUGAUCCGGCGGAAACCCUUCCGACGCUCAAGUCAGAUAUACGGAUUGCGGAGAUGGUAGAGAGAAUCAAAUGCUAGCUUGGUCGUGAAUAAUGAAAAUCAUACCUUUACAAAUGAGUAAAACAUCUAUUUAUAUAUCGGUGAUUGGGUUGGGCUUACUUUGUUGGGCCCAAGCCUUACUUUGAAGGUGUUUGGGCUUUCGUGUAGUGGGCCUAAUUAGUAAAUAAAUAUGAGGGCCCAUAGGGCCGGCUCAUUUAUGUAUAUCAUUCUUUAUCUGUGAUUAUUAGGAUUGACUCGACAGAGCUAUUUUGAUAAUUAGACAGUAAGUAUAAGAACCUUCGAGUAGUUUUCACCAGAUGAGUGUGUCAAUUGCAUGUGGUGUCGUAGACAUACAUAUAUCACCUUAGGUAGCUGUUGGCCGAAAACCUACACGCAAGUGCACGUAUCGUACAAGUAAUAUAGUGGACAAUUAAGUCCGGAUAUCGAACCCACAGGGAAUAUUUAAUUACUCAAUCCUAGACGCUAAAUCCUAGCAAUUAUUACCAAACCCACCCUACACAGUCGAAUUUAGAGAGAAUUAACUAAAUUAAACUAAAUUAAAAAGCAAGCAAAAACAAGAAAGCAGUUUAAAACAAAGAUUUAAUCAGAGAAAACGAGCCUACGAUUUUAUUCUUCCCCCUAUGUGAUUAUUAUUCCCCCAAUUCCUUCAAUUAUGCAAGCAAUUAACCCAGAUUAUUAACCUGAGAUGCUAAAAUAAUCAUAACCCGCUACCGCGUGUGUUACGAUUCUAAUACUCUAGAUUCAAUUACUAUAUUCCUAUGCAAUUAAUUCUAGAAAACAGCAUUAAGCAAAAAUCUCAAUAAUGGCUACCGAAGAGAUUAACUAUAUUCCUAUGUUAAUACCACAAAGGCUCUUCUACCAUAGUUCUAAUUAUUAACCCGAUCUUCCGAUUCAUGCGAUUAACAAUAACAUAAAAGCACAUAAGGUGAUCAAGUUCAUGCACUUAAUAAAACAAGUAGAAGAAAUAAUCCGGAAUUAAAACUUGCAUAAAAUCAUAGAAAAGGGUUCAUAAAUCCCAUAUAGGGUUCCAAAUAAAAUCCUAGAAAUAAGUAGUUUAGCUACUCAUGAUUAAAGGAAAACGCAAUUAAAAUAAAUCAUAGACGAUAAAUCUAUGCUUGGAGUCUUCGAAUUCUUCGUCUUCGUUAUUGCUUUGUUGCUCUCCAAAUUGCGUCCAAAGAUGGCCCCCUAAUUGUGUGCUUGACUUGGUCUUAUAUAGGUUGGAAAACUUGGGGAAGAAGGUAGUUUGAGAACUUUUGCUUGUCCUCAAACUUGAACUUUUGCUUGUCCUCAAGCAAAAUCUACCAUUAAGCAAAUAACUCAACAAUAACAUCUCAUCACAUAGAUCAAUGAUCAACUUCACGUUUUCAGAACUUGUAAUUAUAAUGACAAUUCUUAGGCAUUCGCAAGCUCAAAAUUCAACAACACUUAGUCACUCAGCAUUACCAAAAACCACAAUUCAUACAAUUGCUUCAAGCAUCCAAUAUUUGCAAAUUAAAGAUAGAAAUAAUUUAUACUUACAUACAUAUGCUUGACUCCAAAUACUCACCAAAUUAUUCUACUCUACUAAUAUCGAACAUUAAGCUAUUGGGAUCAUUGGGGCUUUGUGGCUUUCAAUUGUUAGGCUCUUUGGUUCGAGGUAGGAAAUAUGGGUAUAUGUGGCUAUUCUUCUUGAAUUUAGGUGAUUACGCCAAAAUUUGAAAGAUAGGCGUUUGAAACAAUGAAUUCACCUCUACGGACUUUAAUAAACUCGGUUCUCAAAAGAUCAAAAGUCUCCACUUUUGCUUUUGAGACAAUGAAUCGAGUUUUCAAAAAUAAUUCAACAACUUGUCCUUAUUUCUCCCUUCUAGUCUCUUCUUCUUCUCUUUUUCUCUCUUUUUCUCUCUUUUUUUUUCUUUUAUAUAUAUAUAUAUAUAUAUAUAUAUAUAUAUAUAUAUAUAUAUAUAUAUAUAUAUAUAUAUAUGGAAGCAUAGAUGUUUGUCUUCUUUUUUUUUCUUUUUCUUUUUCUGUUCUUUUUUUUAUUUCGAGGAAGAAGAAGAAGGACCUUAUAAAAAUUUUCGACCGAACUCCAAGGGGUAAUUUUUCAAGAAUCUCCACCUAUUCUACCUUACACAUUGGCUAAAAGAAAAGAACACCUUUUCUCCGAUGCUCAAAUCAAGGUUCUAAGGAUAAUUUCGAUAAAAAGGUUGGCUUGAAAGGCUCAAACGAUUCAAAGAAAGCCCAAAUCAUAUCCCAAAUCACUCACUACUCAAUUCUUCGUAUCAUAAAUUUCUUAAGUUGAGUUCUAAAACCAAACAUAGCAUGAUCUAGCACAAAUUAAUUCCAAAUUUAAAAUACAAAACAUUCAACCAAAGCAAUGCACAAAGUGUGAUUCCUAGCAAUAAUUCGCUUCUAAGUUCCGUUGAAUCGAAAGCUAAACAAACAUCUAAUCCUUAUCACACAAAACAAGCAAUUUCAUCAUCAAACAUUGAUCAUCUCUCAUCAUCAUAACUCAUCGAUGCAUUCGACUCAAGCAAUUAUUUUUUUUUUAAUUUUUUUUUUCCGGAAAAAUGAUAAAAGCAAUAAAAAUAAAUAAAUCCUAAUGCAUGCAAACUAAAACAAAUAAGCACAAACACAUGUUUUUCACACCCAAACUUAAAAUUUUCGUUGCCCUCAACGAAAUUAGCACAAAGUAUAAGGAUAGAAAACACCUGAUUUAGUCGGAAACGAUGUCUUCGGGGUGUGAGAAUUUGUGGGAAAGAAAUUUGAUUUUCCUCUUGCGAAGAUGCCCUCUCUGUCUCUCGGAUGACCGUCCCGAUCGCAAUUCCGACCUUAAAAAUAAGAAAUCAAAUAAAUUAAUUAGAAUGCAUGCCUAUGAAAAUAAAAAUAAAACAUAAAAUUAAAGAAAAAUAUAAAAAACAGUAAAGCUCGUGUUGCCUCCCGAGAAGCGCUAAGUUUAAAGUCUUCAGCCGGAUGUUGCUUCUUGAAAUUUUUAUGUCCAAUCCAAAGCCUUGUAGAUUGCGCAUCCAUCCAUUGGCUUUAUAACUUCAAUUGGAACCAAUACAUGAAUAGCAUUGCAAUAUGUCAGGGUCCACUUUAGCUUGUAGUCUUUCUUGGAUGUAAUCAAUCGGUACGAAGCCAAGAUGGGAUCUUCAUCACCCGCUCCCUCAAAUCGGUACACAAAAGCCUCACGUCCGCGUAUAAGCUCCACUUCAAACACAUUCGCCUUCUUAUCAACCUCUAUUGAUGCCUUCAAAGCCACGUCAUGAACAACAAUAAUAUUCUCAAUUUGACUAUUUGCACUAACCACAUCCAUCUCCUUCUUCUCUUGUUCCGAGACAUCUUUGGAGUUUAGCUCAAUUGCAUUGUCAGAUUCAUCAUCCUUAAGCAUCUUCAUAAUUUCUUUUUCCCUCUCAUCGACACUAUUUUCUUGGUCUAAAGGACUUUUCUCACUACAAAUUUCAAACAGAUUUUCUUUGUUGCAACCUGAUAAGGAACUCAAAAUUGGAUUCGAAUUGGAAAAUAACUAUUUAAUUGGUAGAAGAGUUAUUUAUGGGCAUCGGUGGAGAUACCGAAAGAAAUUACGGAAAAAUAAGGGUUUUCAACGAACUCAAAUUGUAUUUGAGUACGAAACGAACUCUAUCUCAAGUAAAACGGCGUAAUGAACAAAACUCAUGAGCAUAGCUCAUGAAUCACGUCAAAUUUCAGCAAUCCAAGGUCGUUUGGACUCCUAAAAGUUCGUUUUUGCUAUUUUAGGUAAGUUUUAGAAAAUUAAUAUCAAAUCAUAGAAAAAUCGUAUUAGGAUUCCGUAAAUUGGGUUGUUCCCAAAAUUACGAGAUCUACUAGAAUUAGGAUUUAACUCGUUUUUGCCUUUUUUUGGUAAUUUUUAGUAUUUUCUUAGUUUAAUUAGGGUUUUCAGUUUUUUAGUAUAAAUAGCUGCCUUAGGACUUUAUUUUAAGAAGAAUUUCGAAUUUUAAUAAAAUCUUUAGAGUUUUCUCUAUUUUUCUGGUGGAUUCCAGAGUUUUCGGUGGAUUCCGAAUGUUAUUUUGUUCUAUAGGAUUAAUUCGUAGAAAUUAAUUCUUUACCGUGUUUCCGUCCUGCGUCAGUUGGCAUCAGUAGCGAGGUUUUUACUGGUUAGAUGGCGAAAGGUGCGAGAUAUGGAGACAACAACUACGUUGGCGAUGACCGCGGGGUUGAGAAACUGCAAAAUCUGCGGUUGGUGCGCGAGGGAUUUGCCCUUGACAACAACAACAGAAGGACUGAAUCUAACACGAUGAUUGCCGACGGUGUAGCCCGAGGUGCAUAUGUUAGACAGAAUUAUCAUGGACCUGUUCAACUUCAAUCAAGGUAUGAUGACUACUCAAAGGUGAGCCGCAACUCUUAUUUUGAAGAAAAUCCGCCUAUAAAGAGGCAAAAGGAUCGUGAUAAAUAUCGGGUAAGAGCUGAAAUUCCUUCUUUUAGUGGAAAUUUUCUUGAAGUUGAGGAUUUUAUCGAUUGGGUGUCAGAAGUCGAAAAUUAUUUUGAAUUGAUGGAUAUUUUGCCGAAUAAGAUGGUAAAAUUAGUUAGGUGUGAGUUAAAGGGUUGUGCAGCCGCAUGGUGGGAUGAAAUACAGAGGAAGAGAGCUAGACAGGAAAAGUUUCCAAUCCAAUCAUGGAGGAGGAUGAGGAGAAUGUUGAUGGAUCGUUUUUUACCCCUAGGUUAUGAACAACGUGUAUUUCAACUAUAUCGUAAUUGUUCGCAAGGGAGUAGAUCUGUUAACAAGUAUACUGCUGAGUUUAUGAGACUAGCAAACUUAAAUAACCUGCAAGAAUCCGAAAGUAUGGAAAUUUCAAGGUACUUGCAAGGAUUGAAUAUUUCAAUCCGUCUUAGGAUGGGGUGGCGCGCAUUCGACUCCCUUGAAGAGGCCCAAGAGUUAGCAUGUGAGGAGGAAUAUUAUCAGAAGCAAAAUAGAUACUCUAGAAAAACCGAAGAUGUUCCACCCGUUGUCAAAGUUAAGGAAGCACAAGGUACUUCGUUUGUUAUUCAACCUCCAAAUUUGGUGGAGGGUCACGACGUAGGUGUUGACGAAUUUGAAGAGGAAAUUGUCACAAAAGUUAAAAUUAGCGUAGCUAUGAUUAACGAUGACAUUAACGAAAUCAAGGUGAAAGUCGAUGAAGUUGAAGGAAGAGUCAAGGAGGUUGAAGAGAGCAUCAACAUAGUCGAAGAGAGCGUCAACGAGGUAGAAGAGAACGUUAGCAAGGUUGAAGAGAGAGAGUCGAUGAGUUUCAAGAGAGUGUUAAAAACAAAUUUGAGGAAGAAUUUGAAGUUGUAAAAUUUGUUCAAGAAGAGGAAGGUGCACGUGAAGAGAAGGAACAAGUGGAUUGCGUCGAGGUAUGUGAUCUAAUUGUAGAUAGUGUUUGCUGUGAAGUUCCUGUAAUGGAGAAAUUGGUGGAGCCAUUGAGAUUUUCGAUUAAGAAGCCAAUUUUUCCAACGCCUCGUUGGGAUGAAGAUUUUGUAAGCGAGAUUUUUGUCCCGGGAAUAUUGGUGGAGCACUUGAAGUUGUUUGCAAAGAAAUAUGCAUCGCUAUAUUUUGAUCAUAGCUCGAGGUCGAGCUCUUUUGAAGAAGAGGAGAUUGAUAAGGAACGCAAAAUUGGAUUCGAAUUGGAAAAUAACUAUUUAAUUCGUAGAAGAGUUAUUUAUGGGCAUCGGUGGAGAUACCGAAAGAAAUUACGGAAAAAUAAGGGUUUUCAACGAACUCAAAUUGUAUUUGAGUACGAAACGAACUCUAUCUCAAGUAAAACGGCGUAAUGAACAAAACUCAUGAGCAUAGCUCAUGAAUCACGUCAAAUUUCAGCAAUCCAAGGUCGUUUGGACUCCUAAAAGUUCGUUUUUGCUAUUUUAGGUAAGUUUUAGAAAAUUAAUAUCAAAUCAUAGAAAAAUCGUAUUAGGAUUCCGUAAAUUGGGUUGUUCCCAAAAUUACGAGAUCUACUAGAAUUAGGAUUUAACUCGUUUUUGCCUUUUUUUGGUAAUUUUUAGUAUUUUCUUAGUUUAAUUAGGGUUUUCAGUUUUUUAGUAUAAAUAGCUGCCUUAGGACUUUAUUUUAAGAAGAAUUUCGAAUUUUAAUAAAAUCUUUAGAGUUUUCUCUAUUUUUCUGGUGGAUUCCGAAUGUUAUUUUGUUCUAUAGGAUUAAUUCGUAGAAAUUAAUUCUUUACCGUGUUUCCGUCCUGCGUCACAACCAUUCUCGAUAUCGUCUGAAAUAUUUUCAAGAGACCUUUGGCGCUUGAAUUCUUCAAACUGUAACUCCAGUCUUCGGAUAGAUGCUUGAGUGGAUUUCAUAAAUUCUUCAAGGACGGAGUUCAAAUAACACUCCUGAACAGUGGGUUCUCGUGGCGUGUUGGUGUAUGUGUUCCAAUAACCGCCGUUGGUGUUAUCUAUGAAAUUAUUCGCUUUCGGUGCAUACCAACAUUGGUUAGUGUAAUGAUCUCCACCACAUAUUGAACAAAGUGACGACAUAUCAUAGGUAUUUUGGAGGUAUUCGCCAGACGGAAGCCAUUCAUAUCCCGUUUGAGGUGCGCGAAAAUUGAAACCUGACAUGUAACCAAAGAAAAAAAAAUAUAUUAAAAAAAAUUAAUUUGGGUGAAUCGUGAAAAUUGUUCAAAUUUAGAGCUAGAAUAAAAUAAAUAAUUAAAAUAUUUCCCGGUAACGGCGCCAAAAACUUGUUGGCCGAAAACCUACACGCAAGUGCACGUAUCGUACAAGUAAUAUAGUGGACAAUUAAGUCCGGAUAUCGAACCCACAGGGAAUAUUUAAUUACUCAAUCCUAGACGCUAAAUCCUAGCAAUUAUUAUCAAGCCCACCCUACACAGUCGAAUUUAGAGAGCAUUAACUAAAUUAAACUAAAUUAAAAAGCAAGCAAAAACAAGAAAGCAGUUUAAAACAAAGAUUUAAUCAGAGAAAACGAGCCUAGGAUUUUAUUCUUCCCCCUAUGUGAUUAUUAUUCCCCCAAUUCCUCCAAUUAUGCAAGCAAUUAACCCGGAUUAUUAACCUGAGAUGCUAAAAUAAUCAUAACCCGCUUCCGCGUGUAUUACGAUUCUAAUACUCUAGAUUCAAUUACUAUAUUCCUAUGCAAUUAAUUCUAGAACACAACAUUAAGCACAAAUCUCAAUAAUGGCUACCUAAGAGAUUAACUAUAUUCCUAUGUUAAUACCACAAAGGCUCUUCUACCAUAGUUCUAAUUAUUAACCCGAUCUUCCGAUUCAUGCGAUUAACAAUAACAUAAAAGCACAUAAGGUGAUCAAGUUCAUGCACUUAAUAAAACAAGUAGAAGAAAUAAUCCGGAAUUAAAACUUGCAUAAAAUCAUAGAAAAGGGUUCAUAAAUCCCACAUAGGGUUCCAAAUAAAAUCCUAGAAAUAAGUAGUUUAGCUACUCAUGAUUAAAGGAAAAACGCAAUUAAAAUAAAUCAUAGACGAUAAAUCUAUGCUUGGAGUCUUCGAAUUCUUCGUCUUCGUUAUUGCUUUGUUGCUCUCCAAAUUGCGUCCAAAGAUGGCCCCCUAAUUGUGUGCUUGACUUGGUCUUAUAUAGGUUGGAAAACAUGGGGAAGAAUGUAGUUUCCUUGUGCAAUUAGGAUUCCUUUACUGCGUUUUUUCGUCAUCUCGGACGGCCGUCCCGAAUUUUGUACUAAAACUCGGACGGCCGUCAAACAACCAGAGACUGCUUCUUGUUCUCAGACGGGGGUCCCGGAAUUUGAACUAAAACUCGGACGGGGGUCCGAGCUUUAAAUCUUCAGAAUUUUGAUUUUUUCACUUUUGGCCCAUAUUUUCUGCAAAAUUACAGUUUUGACCCCAUACUUUUCCAAUUCUUCAAUUUGUACCUAAAAUACAAUAAAUCAACUUUUUAUGCACCAAUUAUCGUUAAAAUACACCAAAAGCUCAAAUAAAAAGGUACGAUAAAGUGUAAAAAUAUACACUUAACAAUAGCCAUUUACGAGACUAGUUAGUUAAUGCUUUACUCAUAAUUUGUUUGUAUAGACAUAUAGUGAACCGUUUAUGAAUAAUAGAAUCAUAAUACACGCGACAGCGGGUUAUGAGUAAAUUAGUGUCUCGGGUUAAUAAUCAUGAAUCAUAUAUUUCAUAAUUGAGGGGUUUUGGGUGAGCAAUUCUUGCGUAGGGGGAAGAUAAAAUCCUAGGUCCGUUUUUAUUGAUAUUUUCUCGUGUUAAUUUGCUUUAAUAAUUAGUUUAAUUAUUUGGUUGAUUACAUUUGACAAUUUUACGGUGGCGGGAUAAAAAUCAUACAUGUUAGAAUUUGGUACUUAGGAUUAGAUAAUUUGAGUAUUCCCUGUGGGAUCGACAUCCGACUCUCACGAGUCCACUUUUACUACUUGUUUGCGAUACGUGCACUUGCGUGUUAGGUAUUUAGCACCCAACAAGUUUUUGUCGCCGUUGCCGGGGAAUACGGCUAAAUUAUCUAUUUAUUCUAAUAUCAAAUUUGAGCAAUUUUUUUUACUUCAGCCAUUUAAUUUUAAUUUUUUAUUUUUAUUUUUAAUUUUUAUUUUUUUGUUUUUGUUACAUGUCUGGUUACAAUCUUCGGGCACCUCAAACGGGAUAUGAAUGGCUUCUAAGUGACGAAUACCUCCAAAACACCUGUGAUAUGCCUCCGUUUUGUUCAGCAUGUGGUGGAAAUCAUUAUUCCGAUCAAUGUUGGGGAUCACCAAAAGUGACAAAUUUCGUCGAAAUUACCAACGGAGGUUAUUGGAACACUUACACCAACACAUACGAGCAAAGCUUUCAAGACAAAGAUUUGAACAAGUUUCAACAUAGAGAGCCACAAUUUUAUGAUUUUCAAAAUUAUUAUCCCUCGCAGCAACAAACCACUAAUGAACCACUUGAUUUGGUAUCCCUCGUUGCCGAAUUCAUGAAGUCCACUCAAGCAUCAUUUCGAAACAUGGAGAUACAACUGGAAGAGAUGACGCUCAAAUUAAAAUCUGAGUCUCUUGAAAAUAUUCCAGACGAAAUUGGCAAUGGUUAUAUCAAAGAAAAUUCGGGUGAAGCCUGCGGUGAGAAAAAUCUUCCAUGUCCAGGAAAUAGUGUCGAUAUGAGAGAAAUAGAAAUUACGAAGACACUUGAGGAUGAUGAAUCUGAGAAUGCAAUCGAGCUAAACUCCAAAGAUGUCUCGGAACAAGAGAAGAAGGAGAUGGAUGUGGUUAGUGCAAAUAUUCAAAUUGAGGAUCUUAUUGUUGUUCAUGAUGUGGCUUUGAAGGCAUUAAUAGAGGUUGACAAGAAGCGAAUGUGUUUGAAGUGGAGGUUAUACACAGACUUGAGGUUUUUGUGUACCGAUUUGAGGGAGCGGGUGAUGAAGAUGCCAUCUUGGCUUCGUACCGAUUUAUUACAACAAAAAAAGACUACAAGUUAAGGUGGACCGUGACAUAUUGCAGUGCAAUCCAUGCCUUGGUUGCAAUUGAAGUGAUAAUGAUCAUGGAUGGAUUCGCAAUCUACAAGGCUUUGGAUUGGAUAACGAUUUCAAGAAGCAAAGUCCGGCUGAAGAAUUAGAAUUUAGCGCUUCUCGAGAGGCAACCCGAGCGUUUAUUGUUUUCUUUUUUUUCUCAUAUUUUUCGUAUUUUUAGUUGUUUUUGAUUUUCUUAGAAUAUUUAUAAGCGGGCAAUCUAAUAAUUUAAUCAUGUUUGAAUUUUUAGGUCGAAAAACGGACACAAAGAGUCCAGACGGCCGUCCGAAAAUCAAGCCAAAACCCCAGACGGCCGUCCGGAGAAGUUACGACGAAUUGUGAACCUACUGUUUGUGGGACGGCCGUCCCAAAAACAGUGCAAAACGUGGGACGGCCGUCCGGAACACCCCUGAAAAAAAAAGGUGUUUGCUUGAAAGAAGAAGAGAUGGAGGGGUGCAACACGUGGAGGACGUUUCAACUAAUCAAGGUGUAUUCUAUCCUUAAAUUUCGUUUUAAUUACAUUGAGAACAAUGUAAUUUUUAAGUUUGGGGGUGGAAAAACAGUUUUUAUGUGCUUUAUAGCUUUUAGAUUGCAUGCUUUAGGAUUUUAUUUCUUUAUAGUCGUUUUCGUUUAUUUAUUAUUUUCUUUAAAAAAAAAUUGCUUGAGUCGAACGCAUCGAUGAGUUAUGAUGAUGAGAGAUGAUCAAUGUGUGAUGAUGAAAUUGCUUGUUUUGUUGUGAUAAGGAUUAGAUGUUUGUUUAGCUUUCGAUUCAACGGAACAAAGAAACGAAUUAUUGCUAGGAAUCACACUUUGUGCAUUGCUUUAGUUGAAUAUUUUGUAUUUUAAAUUUGGAGUUAAUUUGUGUUAGAUCAUGCUAUGUUCGGUGUUAGACCUCACCUUAGGAAAUUUAUGAUACGAAGUAUUGAGUAGUGAGUGAUUUGGGAUAUGAUUUGGGACUUCUUUGAUCCGUUUGAGCCUUUCAAGCCGACGUUUUUAUCGAAAUUUUCCUUAGAACCUUGAUUUGAGCCUCUGAGAAAAGGUGUUCUUUCUCUUAGCCAAUGUGUAUAAGGUAGAAUAGAUGGAGAUUCUUGAAAAAUUACCCCUUGGAGUUCGGUUGAAAUUAUUUAUAAGCUCUCUCUUCUUCAUAAAAAAAAAGAAAAAAAAAGAAAAAAAAAGACGAAGAAGUAUAUAGGCUUCUAUAUAUAUAUUUAUAAAAGAAAAAAAAAAAAAAAAAAAAAGAGAGAGAGAGAAGAAGAAGAAGAGCUAGAAGUGAGAAGAAAGGACUAGUUAUUGAAAUUAUUUUUGAAAGCUCGAUCUAUUGCCUCAAAAGCAAAAGUGGAGACUUUUGAACUUUUGAGAAACGAGUUAAUUAAAGUCCUUAGAGGUGAAUUCAUUGUUUCAAACGCCUAUCUUUCAAAUUUUGGCGUAAUCACCUCAAUUGAUGAAUAAUAGCCACAUAUACCCAUAUUUCCUACCUCGAACCAAAGAGCCUAACAAUUGAAAGCCAAAAAGCCCCAAUGAUCCCAAUAGCUUAAUGUUCGAUAUGAGUAGAGUAGAAUAAUUUGGUGAGUAUUUGGAGUCAAACAUACGCAUGUAAGUAUAAAUUUUUUCUAUCUUUAAUUUACAAAUAUUGGAUGCUUGAAGCAAUUGCAUGAUUUGUGUUUUUUGGCUAUGGUAGGUGACUAAUUGCUUUUGAAUUUUGAGCUUCCGAAUGCCUAAGAAUUUUCAUUAUAAUUACAAGUUCUGAAAACGUGGAUUUGGUCAUUAAUCUAUGUGAUGAGAUGCGGUAGUUGAGUUUUUUGCUUACGAUUAGAUUUUGCUUGAGGACAAGCAAAAGUUCAAGUUUGGGGGUGUGUUGAGUGUAGAUAUUACACUCAAUAUGUUUACUUUACGUGGAUCUUUUGUUUAGAUUUAAUUAUAUUUGUGCUUUAAUUGAUUGAUUUUGUGUUUUAUAGGUGAAAAACGAGAAUUAAGUGUCCAUGAAGGAAAAAAAUAUCAAAAAGAAAGGAAAAAGUUGCAAAUAAGGAAACAAAUCAAAUUGGAAGGAAUCUCGCCACAACUUUGACAGUGUCCACCAUUUCGAACUCCGAUUUAGGUGAUUUUGACGGCAAUAGAAAGCUAAUUUCAAGGGAUACAAUUCUUAUUUACACAACAUUCCAAAAUUCGGACUCCAACAUGGCACAAAUUGACGAACAAAUCCUGAUGGGGGAAAGUGGCGGAAAUCGAUUCCUAUUAGGUUUUUACUACUUCCUUAUCAAGAAAAGCCAAUAAAAGCAACAAGUCUCAACACCAUAAGUACGAAAUUUUAAAACACAAAACGCGAAGAACGAAGAUCAACGAAGACUCAAGCAUAGUUUUUCUUAUUUAUUUUAUUUAUUCUAUUUGUUUAUCAUAAGAAUUACACGUAGCUAAGUUUUUAAUCUAGGAUUUUGUCGGAACCCUAUGUGGGGAUGGUGAACCCGUUUUCUUGAGAUUAUGCAAUUAUGAUUUUAUGAUUAUUUCUUCUACUUGUUAUGAGUGUUAUUGCAUGAACUUGAUCAAUUUAUGUGCUUUAUCUGUGAUUAUUGGGAUUGACUCGAUAGAGCUAUUUUGAUAAUUAGACGGUAAGUAUAAGACCCUUCGAGUAGUUUUCACCGGAUGAGUGUGUCAAUUGCAUUUGGUGUCGUAGACAUACAUAUAUCACCUUAGGUAGCCAUUUACGAGACUUGUUAGUUAAUGGUUUACUCAUAAUUUGUUUGCAUAGACAUAUAGUGAACCGUUUAUGAAUAAUAGACUCAUAAUACACGCGACAGCGGGUUAUGAGUAAAUUAGUGUCUCGGGUUAAUAAUCAUGAAUCAUAUAUUUCAUAAUUGAGGGGUUUUGGGUGAGCAAUUCUUGCAUAGGGGGAAGAUAAAAUCCUAAGUCCGUUUUUAUUGAUAUUUUCUCGUGUUAAUUUGCUUUCAUAAUUAGUUUAAUUAUUUAGUUGAUUAAAUUUGACAAUUUUGCGUAGGUUGGAUAAAAAUCAUAAUUGUUAGAAUUUGGUACUUAGGAUUAGAUAAUUUGAGUAUUCCCUGUGGGAUCGACAUCCGACUCUCACGAGUCCAUUUUUACUACUUGUUUGUGCUACGUGCACUUGCGUGUUAGGUAUUUCGCACCCAACAAGUUUUUGGCGCCGUUGCCGGGGAAUACGGCUAAAUCAUCUAUUUAUUCUAAUAUCAAAUUUGAGUAAUUUUUUUUACUUCAGCCAUUUAAUUUUAAUUUUUUAUUUUUAUUUUUAAUUUUUAUUUUUUUGUUUUUGUUACAUGUCUGGUUACAAUCUUCGGGCACCUCAAACGGGAUAUGAAUGGCUUCCAAGUGACGAAUACCUCCAAAACACCUGUGAUAUGCCUCCGUUUUGUUCAGCAUGUGGUGGAAAUCAUUAUUCCGAUCAAUGUUGGGGAUCACCAAAAGCGACAAAUUUCGUCGAAAUUACCAACGGAGGUUAUUGGAACACUUACACCAACACAUACGAGCAAAGCUUUCAAGACCAAGAUUUGAACGAGUUUCAACAUAGAGAGCCACAAUUUUCUGAUUUUCAAAAUUAUUAUCCCUCGCAGCAACAAACCACUGAUGAACAACUUGAUUUGGUAUCCCUCAUUGCCGAAUUCAUGAAGUCCACUCAAGCAUCAUUUCGAAACAUGGAGAUACAACUGGAAGAGAUGACGCUCAAAUUAAAAUCUGAGUCUCUUGAAAAUAUUCCAGACGAAAUCGGCAAUGGUUAUAUCAAAGAAAAUUCGGGUGAAGCCUGCGGUGAGAAAAAUCUUCCAUGUCUAGGAAAUAGUGUCGAUGUGAGAGAAAUAGAAAUUACGAAGACACUUGAGGAUGAUGAAUCUGAGAAUGCAAUCGAGCUAAACUCCAAAGAUGUCUCGGAACAAGAGAAGAAGGAGAUGGAUGUGGUUAGUGCAAAUAUUCAAAUUGAGGAUCUUAUUGUUGUUCAUGACGUGGCUUUGAAGGCAUUAAUAGAGGUUGACAAGAAGGCGGAUGUGUUUGAAGUGGAGGUUAUACACAGACUUGAGGUUUUUGUGUACCGAUUUGAGGGAGCGGGUGAUGAACAUUCCAUCUUGGCUUCGUACCGAUUGAUUACAACAAAAAAAAGACUACAAGUUAAGGUGGACCGUGACAUAUUGCAGUGCUACCCAUGCCUUGGUUGCAAUUGAAGUGAUAAUGAUCAUUGAUAGAUGCGCAAUCUACAAGGCUUUGGAUUGGACAUAACGAUUUCAAGAAGCAAAGUUCGGCUGAAGACUUAAAAUUUAGCGCUUCUCGGGACGCAACCCGAGCAUUUAUCGUUUUUUUUUUUUCUCAUAUUUUUCGUAUUUUUAGUUGUUUUUGAUUUUCUUAGAAUAUAUAUAAGCGUGCAAUCUAAUAAUUUAAUCAUGUUUGAAUUUUUAGGUCGAAAAACGGACACAAAGAGUCCAGACGGCCGUCCGAAAAUCAAGCCAAAACCCCAGACGGCCGUCCGGAGAAGUUACGACGAAUUGUGAACCUACUGUUUGUGGGACGGCCGUCCCAAAAACAGUGCAAAACGUGGGACGGCCGUCCGGAACACCCCUGAAAAAAAAAGGUGUUUGCUUGAAAGAAGAAGAGAUGGAGGGGUGCAACACGUGGAGGACGUUUCAACUAAUCAAGGUGUAUUCUAUCCUUAAAUUUCGUUUUAAUUACAUUGAGAACAAUGUAAUUUUUAAGUUUGGGGGUGGAAAAACAGUUUUUAUGUGCUUUAUAGCUUUUAGAUUGCAUGCUUUAGGAUUUUAUUUCUUUAUAGUCGUUUUCGUUUAUUUAUUAUUUUCUUUAAAAAAAAAUUGCUUGAGUCGAACGCAUCGAUGAGUUAUGAUGAUGAGAGAUGAUCAAUGUGUGAUGAUGAAAUUGCUUGUUUUGUUGUGAUAAGGAUUAGAUGUUUGUUUAGCUUUCGAUUCAACGGAACAAAGAAACGAAUUAUUGCUAGGAAUCACACUUUGUGCAUUGCUUUAGUUGAAUAUUUUGUAUUUUAAAUUUGGAGUUAAUUUGUGUUAGAUCAUGCUAUGUUCGGUGUUAGACCUCACCUUAGGAAAUUUAUGAUACGAAGUAUUGAGUAGUGAGUGAUUUGGGAUAUGAUUUGGGACUUCUUUGAUCCGUUUGAGCCUUUCAAGCCGACGUUUUUAUCGAAAUUUUCCUUAGAACCUUGAUUUGAGCCUCUGAGAAAAGGUGUUCUUUCUCUUAGCCAAUGUGUAUAAGGUAGAAUAGAUGGAGAUUCUUGAAAAAUUACCCCUUGGAGUUCGGUUGAAAUUAUUUAUAAGCUCUCUCUUCUUCAUAAAAAAAAAGAAAAAAAAAGAAAAAAAAAAGACGAAGAAGUAUAUAGGCUUCUAUAUAUAUAUUUAUAAAAGAAAAAAAAAAAAAAAAAAGAGAGAGAGAGAAGAAGAAGAAGAGCUAGAAGUGAGAAGAAAGGACUAGUUAUUGAAAUUAUUUUUGAAAGCUCGAUCUAUUGCCUCAAAAGCAAAAGUGGAGACUUUUGAACUUUUGAGAAACGAGUUAAUUAAAGUCCUUAGAGGUGAAUUCAUUGUUUCAAACGCCUAUAUUUCAGAUUUUGGCGUAAUCACCUCAAUUCAAGAAUAAUAGCCACAUAUACCCAUAUUUCCUACCUCGAACCAAAGAGCCUAACAAUUGAAAACCAAAUAGCCCAAAUGAUCCCAAUAGCUUAAUGUUCGAUAUUAGUAGAGUAGAAUAAUUUUGUGAGUAUUUGGAGUCAAACAUAUGCAUGUGAGCAUACAUUUUUUCUAUCUUUAAUUUACAAAUAUUGGAUGCUUGAAGCAAUUGCAUGAGUUGUGGUUUUUGCCUAUGGUAAGUGAUUAAGUGCUUUUGAAUUUUGAGCUUCCGAAUGCCUAAGAAUUUUCAUUAUAAUUACAAGUUCUGAAAACGUGGAUUUGGUCAUUAAUCUAUGUGAUGAGAUGCGGUAGUUGACUUUUUUUUCUUACGAUUAGAUUUUGCUUGAGGACAAGCAAAAGUUCAAGUUUGGGGGUGUGUUGAGUGUAGAUAUUACACUCAAUAUGUUUACUUUACGUGGAUCUUUUGUUUAGAUUUAAUUAUAUUUGUGCUUUAAUUGAUUGAUUUUGUGUUUUAUAGGUGAAAAACGAGAAUUAAGUGUCGAUGAAGGAAAAAAGAUCAAAAAGAAAGGAAAAAGUUGCAAAUAAGGAAACAAAUCAAAUUGGAAGAAGGAAUCUCGCCACAGCUUUGACAGUGUCCACCAUUUCGAGCAUAUCUCUCUCAUGCGAACUCCGAAUUAGGUGAUUUUGACUGCAUUAGAAAGCUAAUUUCAAGGGAUACAAUUCUUAUUUACAUAACAUUCCAAAAUUCGGACUCCAACAUGACACAAAUUGACGAACAAAUCCUGAUGGGGGAAAAGUGGCGGAAAUUGAUUCCUAUUAGGUUUCUACUACUUCCUUAUCAAGAUAAGCCUAUAAAAGCAACAAGUCUCAACAUCAUAAGUACGACAUUUUACACCACAAAACGCGAAGAACGAAGAUCAAUGAAGACUCAAGCAUUGUUUUUCUUAUUUAUUUUAUUUAUUCUAUUUUGUUUAUCAUAAUAAUUACGCGUAGCUAAGUUUUUAAUCUAGGAUUUUGUUGGAACUCUAUGUGGGGAUGGUGAACCCGUUUUCUUGAGAUUAUUCAAUUAUGAUUUUAUGAUUAUUUCUUAUACUUGUUAUGAUUGUUAGUGCAUGAACUUGAUCAAUUUAUGUGCUUUAUCUGUGAUUAUUGGGAUUGACUCGACAGAGCUAUUUUGAUAAUUAGACGGUAAGUAUAAGAACCUUCGAGUAGUUUUCAUCGGAUGAGUGUGUCAAUUGUAUGUGGUGUCGUAGACAUACAGAUAUCACCUUAGGUAGCCAUUUAUGUGACUUGUUAGUUAAUGCUUUAUUCAUUGGUUUGCAUAGACAUAUCGUGAAUCGUUUAUGAAUAAUAAACUCAUAAUACACGCGACAACGGGUUAUGAGUAAAUUAGUGUCUCGGGUUAAUAAUCAUGAAUCAUAUAUUUCAUAAUUGAGGGGUUUUGGGUGAGCAAUUCUUGCAUAGGGGGAAGAUGAAAUCCUAGAUCCGUUUUAUAUUGAUAUUUUCUCGUGAUUAUUUUCUUUCUUAAUUAGCUUAAUUGUUUAAUUGAUUUAAUUUGACAACUUUGCGUAGGUUGGAUAAAAAUCAUAAUUGUUAGAAUUUGGUACUUAGGAUUAGAUAAUUUGAGUAUUCCCUGUGGGAUCGACAUCCGACUCUUACGAGUCCACUUUUACUACUUGUUUGCGAUACGUGCACUUGCUUGUUAGGUAUUUAGCACCCAACAAGUUUUUGUCGUCGUUGCCGGGGAAUACGGCUAAAUUAUCUAUUUAUCCUAAUAUUAAAUUUGAGCAAUUUUUCUUACUUCAGCCAUUUUAUUUAUUUUGUUUAAUUAUUUUAUUUUUUUUAGGUACUUUUUAUGCGACAAGGGAAGAAGAGAAUAAUCAUAGGGGAGAUGACCAAGAGCAACUUCAACUAAUUAGUCCACCACCUCGUCAACGAGCAUUGCAUGAGUACACCGUUCCAACACUCAAUGGGUUUCAAUCAAGCAUCCAGCAACCCCCCAUUGAAGCCAACAAUUUCGAAAUUAGAGCGGGACUCCUUACAAUGCUCCAAAAUAAUGGGUUGUUCAGCGGAUUAGCUCAUGAAGAUCCACAUCUCCACUUGGUCACUUUCUCGAAACGUGUGAUUCGCACAGUACCACCCGAAGCACUGCAACUCCGCAUAUUCAAGCACUCUUUACAAGGAGCAGCCCGAGAAUGGUUACAAACUCGUGUGCCGCACUCCAUCUCGUCUUGGUCCCAGCUAGCACAACUCUUCAUGAACACAUAUAACUCCCCAACAAAAACUGAAAGAAUCCGGAGAGAAAUACAGAAUUUCAUACAAGAAGCCGGUGAAGCGCUAUUCGAGACAUGGGAGCGGUUCAAACAAUUAAUUCGGAGAUGCCCGAAUCACGGACUUCAAGAGUGGCGCCAACUGCAAAUAUUUUACGAUGGAUUGCAAGACAACUCGAAGACCUUGCUAGACUCUGCAGCUGGAGGAAUGUUCAUGAGUUUGACCUACGACGAAGCAUACGAACUUUUGGAGAGAAUCGCUAGAAAUAAAUACAUGCGGGGAUCGGAUCGGUCAAAUAGACGAGAUGUCAAGACGGGAGGAAUUUUGGAGUUAGACGGGGUCACUGCAAUCACGGCACAAUUAGAGAAGCUAUCAAAGCAAGUUGAAGCUUUGCAGACUCAGCAAGUCUAUGCAAUCCAAGGUCCCGACCGGUGCUUAGAAUAAACGGAUUCUCUAAACUACGUGAAUGACACCAACCGACAACAGAGGAACCUGCACUCCAACAUUUAUAAUCCGGGAUGGAGAGACCACCCAAACUUUGGACGGGGAGGAAAUCAGCAAAGUCAAGGCCAAGCACCGCCACAAGGUCAACCUCAACCAAGACCUCAGCCAGCUCCCGGAUUCCAAAAUUCACCUCAAGCUCCGGCCCAAAAAGGAGAUCUCGCGAACAUCUUAGCUCAAUUCAUGACAUCAACUCAAGCUUCCAUUCGAAAUUUGAAAACACAGAUGGGUCAGCUUGCAACCCAGGUAAACGCGAGGCCAUCGGGAGCACUGCCGUCGAAUACGGAAGAUCCUCGGAAGAACAACAUAGAGCAGUGCAAUGCAGUAAGUUUGCGAAAUGGGAGGCAAUUAGAGAAAGGUCCUAAAGAGUACGUUGCACCACCGCCUAUUGAAGAGGAGCCCAAGAAAAAAACUGAGGUCGGGCCAAGCAACACAAAGAUCACAGUAAGUGAACCUACUCCCAAUGUACCCUUCCCUCAACGUUUUCAAAAUUCUAAGCUUGAUAUGCAAUUUUAGUUGUUUUUGGAUUAUCUUAAAAAGUUGCAUGUUAAUAUUCUUUUUAUUGAAGCACUUAAGCAUAUGCCGAAUUGGGUUAAGUUUAUAAAGGAACUUGUAUAGAAGAAGAUGAGGCUUCCGGAGUGUGCAACAAUAAUAGACUUAAAUGAGCAAAGUAGUGCUAUCCUUGCAAAUAAAAUUCCACCGAAGCUUAAAGAUCCGGGGAGUUGUACAAUUCUAUGCACAAUAGGUACUAGGUAUUUUGGGCGGGCGUUGUGUGAUCAAGGGGUGAGCGUAAAUUUAAUGCCUUUAUCAAUUUAUGAGAAAUUGAAUUUAGGAGAAAUUAAGCCCACUUCCGUGACCUUGCAGCUAGACGAUAGAUCUUUUACUCACCCUUUAGGUAUAGUGGAGGAUGUAUUGGUCAAGGUAGAUAAGUUUAUACUCCCGGCCGAUUUUCUAGUACUAGACAUAGAGGAAGAUGAAAAUAUUCCCCUUAUCUUAGGACGCCCCUUCUUAGCAACUAGUAGGUCAAUUAUUUAUGUAGGAAAGAGAGAGCUAACAAUGAGUGUGGGGGAAGAAACAAUGGUCUUCAAGGUGUACCGGGUGGAUGAAAAGCCUAUUAUGGCUAAUGGAUGUUAUCUUCUUGAUGAGGUAAGUGAUUCUCAACUUUUUCCUGUUAAAUUACAUGAUUUAAAAAAUUUUGUGGAUACUAAUGUGCAUGUAGGAGAACAAAAGAAAAAGGUUGAGUUGGUUACAACACCUACUCAAAACACCGUGAUAAAAGACGAUGUUGGCACGCCUCAUGACAUCAAGAAGAAUAAAUUCAAGGGCAUUCCUAAGCGAACCAGUAGAAAGAAGAAUCGGAUCAACCCAUUUAUUCAAGACUUUCUCCAAAAGGAAGUAAGGACAUGGGUUCAAAAGCUAAGGAAUUGAAGAGCAUGAACAAAGUCUGGCUGAAGACUGUAAACUUAGCGCUUCUCGGGAGGCAACCCGAGAUUUUCGUUUUUUUUUUUAUUUCUUUUUCUUGUUUUAUUUUAUUUAUUUAUUUUAUAAGCAUGCAAACUAAAAAUUUAAACAUGUUUUAAUUUUUAGGACAAAAAAUUGCAGCUCGGGAGCUCAUACGGCCGUCCCAAAACAAGGCAAAAGAUCACACGGCCGUGCGAGAAACAAACAGCUACUGCCCAAUUUUGGCAAUUCGCACGGCCGUGCGGAAAAUAGUUCAAAAUCUCAUACGGCCGUGCGAAGCUCAACAGAAGCAUAAUAAGAGCGAGGGUGGAGAGCAAACCGGAGAUGGCCACGACAACUUAUUCAGGUGUACUCUAUCCUUAAACUUCGUGCUAAUUACAUUAAGGGCAAUGUAAAUUUUAAGUUUGGGGGUGGAAAUUUACUUGUUUUAUGUGCUUUAAUUUUUAGUUUGCAUGCCUUAGGAUUUUUGUUUAUUUUACUUAUUUUAGUUUAUUUAUUACUUUCGGAAAAAACAAAAAAAUUGUGAUAAAUGCAUCGAUGAAUCAUGAUGAUGAAAGAUGGUUGAUGUUUAAUGAUAAAAUUGCUUGCUUUAUUUUGAUAGUGAUUGAACUUUGGUGAGCUUUUGAUUCAAAGUGUCGUAGGAAGGAGUCAUUGUUAGGAAUCUCGAAUUAUGCCUUGCUUUGGUUGAAACUUUUGUGUUUUAAAACGAGGAAUUAAUUUAUGUUAUAUCAUACGCUAUUCGGUUUUAGAACUUACAUUAGGAAUUUAUAAAGUGAAAUAUUAAAAUUUUGAGCAAUUUGGGAAGUGAUUUGGGCCAUCUUUGAACCGUUUGAGCCUUUCAAGCCUACCUUUAAAUUUUUAUCAUUCGAACCUUGAUUGAGCCUUGGAGAAACGGUGUUCUUUAUUUUAGCCAAUGUGUAUAAGGUAGAAUAAAUGGAGAUUCUUGAAAAAUUACCCUUUGGAGUUCGGUUGGAAAAUUUUAUAAGGUCCUUCUUCUUCCUCUAUAAAAUAAGAAAAAAAAACAAGGAAAAAAAAAAGAAAAAAAAAAGAAGAAAUAGAGAGAAGAAGAAGAGACUAGAAGGGAGAUGAAAGGACUAGUUGUUAAAUUUUUGUUUGAAAGCUCGAUCCAUUGUCUUAAGAGCAAGAGUGGAGACUUUGGAACUCUUAAAAAUCGAGUUUAUUAAAAGUCAUUAGAGGUGAAUUGAUUGUUUCAAACGCUUAUCUUUCAAAAUUUGGCGUAAUCACCUCAAUUCAAGAAACAUAGCCACAUAUACCCAUAUUUCCUACCUCGAACCAAAAAGCCCAACAUUUAUAAGCCAAAAAGUCGCAAUGAUCCCAAUAGCUCAAUUAUUUGAUACUAGCCGAGUAGAGAAAUUUGGUGAGUCUUUGGAGUUGAAUAUUAUUAUGUAAGUAUAAAUUUUCUCCAUUUUUAAUUUACAAAUAUGGGAUACUUGAAGCGAUAGCAUGGUUUGUGGUUGUUGGCAAGGGUGAGUGAAUACAUAUCUUUGAAUUACGAGCUUGUAAAUUUUUAAGAAUUGUCAUAAUAAUUGCAAGUUCUGAAAACUUGAAGUUGACCAUUAAUCUAUGUGAUGAGAGGCAUUUGUUGAAAGUGUUGCUUUGAUAGUUGCUAGUUUUUACUUGAGGACAAGCAAAAGUUCAAGUUUGGGGGUGUGUUGAGUGUGUAUUUUACACUCAAUGUAUACUUUCUUACGAGAAUUUUUGUAUACUUUUAUUGAUUUUAUAAUGCUUAAUGAGUGGUUUAUUGUAUUUUAGGUACAACUUGACGAUUUGGGAGUUCCGGGGGCAAAACGUGCCAAAAAAGGUCAAAAACGUUAAUACUAGUUUGAGGACAAGCAAAAGUUCAAGUUUGGCGUGUUGAGUGUGUAUUUUACACUCAAUGUAUACUUUCUUACGAGGAUUUUUGUAUACUUUUAUUGAUUUUAUAAUGCUUAAUGAGUGGUUUAUUGUAUUUUAGGUACAACUUGACGAUUUGGGAGUUCCAGGGGCAAAACGAGCCAAAAAAGGUCAAAAACGGAAGAAAACAAAAAAUGCUGAAAAUUGGCUGAAAAGUGCCCGCGCGGCCGUGCCAAAUUUAGCCUAUUUUUGGCACGGCCGUGCCAACUGCCGAAGAUGGGCAGAAGGUUUCGGCGAUUAUCGCGCGGCCGUGUGAGAUUUGCACUAAUUCUCGCGCAGCCGUGCCAACACACGCUGAGACAAUUUUGGAUUUUUAUUCACACAAGGAAACCUAAAAUCAUCUACCAAGUUGGGACAUCUAUUUAAGCCCAAACCAAGCACCAAUUAGAGGACUUUGGACACAUCCUUGGAGCGAGAGGAGCGAGAGAACGAAGAAUCGAAGACGGAGAAUUGACAAAUCUUCAUCACAAUUCUUCCUUUAUCUAUCUUUUCUUAAUGUAUGUCUUUUUAUAUUUUUAUUAUGUUUUUCGUAUAGAACAUGAGUAGCUAAGUUUUUAAUCUAGGAUUUUGGUGGAACCCUAUGUGGGGAUGGUGAACCCAUUUUCUUGAGAUUAUGCAAUUAUGAUUUUAUGAUUAUUUCUUAUACUUGUUAUGAUUGUUAGUGCAUGAACUUGAUCAAUUUAUGUGCUGUAUCUGUGAUUAUUGGGAUUGACUUGACAGAGCUAUUUUGAUAAUUAGACGGUAAGUCUAAGAACCUUCGAGUAGUUUUCACCGGAUGAGUGUGUCAAUUGCAUGUGGUGUCGUAGACAUACAUAUAUCACCUUAGGUAGCCAUUUACCAGACUUGUUAGUUAAUGCUCAAAUCAUAAUUGGUUUGCAUAGACAUAUCGUGAAUCGUUUAUGAAUAAUAGACUCAUAAUACACGCGACAACGGGUUAUGAGCAAAUUAGUGUCUCGGGUUAAUAAUCAUAAAUCCUAUAUUUCAUAAUUGAGGGGUUUUGGGUGAGCAAUUCUUGCAUACGGGGAAGUUGAAAUCCUAGAUCCGUUUUAUAUUGAUAUUUUCUCGUGAUUAUUUGCUUUCUUAAUUAGUUUAAUGGUUUAAUUGAUUUAAUUUGACAACUUUGCGUAGGUUGGAUAAAAAUCAUAAUUGUUAGAAUUUGGUACUUAGGAUUAGAUAAUUUGAGUAUUCCCUAUGGGAUCGACAUCCGACUCUCACGAGUCCACUUUUACAACUUGUUUGCGAUACGUGCACUUGCGUGUUAGGUAUUUAGCACCCAACAAGUUUUUGGCGCCGUUGCCGGGGAAUACGGCUAAAUUAUCUAUUUAUCCUAAUAUUAAAUUUGAGCAAUUUUUCUUACUUCAGCCGUUUUAUUUAUUUUAUUUUAUUAUUUUAUUUGUUUUAGGUACUUUUUAUGCGACAAUGGAAGAACAGAAUAAUCAUAGGGGAGAUGAACAAGAGCAACUUCAACUAAUUAAUCCACCACCUUCUCAACGAGCAUUGCAUGAGUACACCAUUCCAACACUCAAUGGGUUUCAAUCAAGCAUCCAGCAACCCCCCAUUGAAGCCAACAAUUUCGAAAUUAGAGCGGGACUCCUUACAAUGAUCCAAAAUAAUGGGUUGUUCAGCGGAUUAGCUCAUGAAGAUCCACAUCUCCACUUGGUCAACUUUCUCGAAACGUAUGAUUCGCAGAAGAUGAACGGAGUAUCACCCGAAGCACUGCAACUCCGCCUAUUCAAGCACUCUUUACAAGGAGCAGCCCAAGAAUGGUUACAAACUCGUGCGCCACACUCCAUCUCGUCUUGGUCCCACCUAGCACAACUCUUCAUGAACACAUAUAACUCCCCAACAAAAACUGAAAGAAUCCGGUGAGAAAUACAGAAUUUCAUACAAGAAGCUGGUGAAGCGCUAUUCGAGACAUGGGAGCGGUUCAAACAAUUAAUUCGGAGAUGCCUGAAUCACGGACUUCAAGAGUGGCGCCAACUACAAAUAUUUUACGAUGGAUUGCAAGACAACUCGAGGACCGUGCUAGGCUCUGCACCUAGAGGAAUGUUCAUGAGUUUGACCUACGACGAAGUAUACGGACUUUUGGAGAGAAUCGCUAGAAAUAAAUACAUGCGGGGAUCAGAUCGGUCAAAUAGACGAGCUGUCAAAACGGGAGGAAUUUUGGAGUUAGACGGGGUCACUGCAAUCACGGCACAAUUAGAGAAGCUAUCAAAACAAGUUGCAGCUUUGCAGACUCAGCAAGUCUAUGCGAUCCAAGGUCCCGACCGGUGCUUAGAAGAAACGGAGUCUCUAAACUACGUGAAUGACACCAUCCGACAAUAGAGGAAUCCGUACUCCAACAUUUAUAAUCCGGGUUGGAGAGACCACCCAAACUUUGGAUGGGGAGGAAAUCAGCAAAGUCAAGGCCAAGCACCGCCACAAGGUCAACCUUAACCAAGACCUCAGCCAGCUCCCGAAUUCCAAAAUUCACCUCAUGCUCCCGCCCAAGAAGGAGAUCUCGCGAACAUCUUAGCUCAAUUCAUGACAUCAACUCAAGCUUCCAUUCGAAAUUUGGAAACACAGAUGGGUCAGCUUGCAACCCAGCUUAACGCGAGGCCAUCGGGAGCAGUGCCGUCGAAUACAGAAGAUCCUCGGAAGAACAACAUAGAGCAGUGCAAUGCAGUAAGUUUGCGAAAUGGGAGGCAAUUAGAGCAAGGGCCUAAAAAGUCCGUUGCACCACCGCCUAUUGAAGAGGAGCCCAAGGAAAAAACUGAGGUCGGGCCAAGCAACACAAAGAUCACAGUAAGUGAACCUACUCCCAAGGUACCCUUCCCUCAACGUUUUCAAAAUUCUAAGCUUGAUACGCAAUUUCAGUUGUUUUUGGAUAAUCUUAAAAAGUUGCAUGUUAAUAUUCCUUUUGUUGAAGCACUUAAGAAUAUGCCGAAUUGGGUUAAGUUUAUAAAGGAACUUGUAUCGAAGAAGAUGAGGCUUCCUGAGUGUGCAGCAAUAGUAGACUUAAAUGAGCAAAGUAGUGCUAUCCUUGCAAAUAAAAUUCCACCGAAGCUUAGAGAUCCGGGGAGUUGUACCAUUCCAUGCACAAUAGGUAUAGGUAUUUUGGGCGGGCGUUGUGUGAUCAAGGGGCGAGCGUAAAUUUAAUGCCUUUAUCAAUUUAUGAGAAAUUAAGCCCACUUCCGUGACCUUGCAGCUAGCUGAUAGAUCUUUUACUCACCCUUUAGGUAUAGUGGAGGAUGUAUUGGUCAAGGUAGAUAAGUUUAUACUCCCGGCCGAUUUUCUAGUACUAGACAUAGAGGAAGAUGAAAAUAUUCCCCUUAUCUUAGGACGCCCCUUCUUAGCAACCGGUAGGUCAAUUAUUGAUGUAGGAAAGAGAGAGCUAAGAAUGAGUGUGGGGGAAGAAAUAGUGAUCUUCAAGGUGUACCGGAUGGAUGAAAAGCCUAUUACGGCUAAUGGAUGUUAUCUUCUUGAUGAGGUAAGUGAUUCUCAACUUUUUCCCGUUAACUUACAUGAUUUAAAAAAUUUUGUGGAUACUAAUAUGCAUGUAGGAGAACAAAAGAAAAAGGUUGAGAUGGUUACAACACCUACUCAAAACACCGUGAUAAAAGACGAUGUUGGCACGCCUCAUGACAUCAAGAAGAAUAAAUUCAAGGGCAUUCCUAAGCGAACCAGUCGAAAGAAGAAUCGGAUCAAACCAUUUAUUCAAGACUUUCUCCAAAAGGAAGUAAGGAGAUGGGUUCAAAAGCUAAGGAAUUGAAGAGCAUGAACAAAGUCUGGCUGAAGACUGUAAACUUAGCGCCUCUCGGGAGGCAACCCGAGAUUUUCGUUUUUUUUUUUCUUUUUCUUGUUUUAUUUUAUUUAUUUAUAUUAAUAAGCAUACAAACUAACAAUUAAAACAUGUUUUAAUUUUUAGGACAUAAAAUUGCAGCUCUGGAGCUCAUACGGCCGUCCCAAAACAAGGAAAAAGAUCACACGGCCAUGCGAGAAACAAACAGCUACUGCCCAAUUUUUGCAAUUCGCACGGCCGUGCGGAAAACAGUUAAAAAUCUCAUACGGCCGUGCGAAGCUCAACAGAAGCAUAAUAAGAGCGAGGGUGGAGAGCAAACCGGAGAUGGCCACGACGACUUAUUCAGGUGUACUAUAUCCUUAAACUUUGUGCUAAUUACAUUGAGGGCAAUGUAAAUUUUAAGUUUGGGGGUGGAAAUUUACUUGUUUUAUGUGCUUUAAUUUUUAGUUUGCAUGCCUUAGGAUUUUUGUUUAUUUUACUUAUUUUAGUUUAUUUAUUGCUUUCGGAAAGAAAAAAAGUUUGUGAUAAAUGCGUCGAUGAACCAUGAUGAUGAAAGAUAGUUGAUGUUUAAUGAUGAAAUUGCUUGCUUUAUCUUGAUUGUGAUUGAACUUUGGUGAGCUUUUGAUUCAAAGUGUCGUAGGAUGGAGUCAUUGUUAGGAAUCUCGAAUUAUGCCUUGCUUUGGUUGAAAGUUUUGUGUUUUAAAACGAGGAAUUAAUUUAUGUUAUAUCAUACGCUAUUCGGUUUUAGAACUUACCUUAGGAAUUUACAAAGUGAAAUAUUAAAAUUUUGAGCAAUUUGGGAAGUGAUUUGGGCCAUAUUUGAACCGUUUGAGCCUUUCAAGCCUACCUUUAAUUGUUUUUCAUUCGAACCUUGAUUGAGCCUUGGAGAAACGGUGUUCUUUAUUUUAGCCAAUGUGUAUACGGUAGAAUAAAUGGAGAUUCUUGAAAAAUUACCCUUUGGAGUUCGGUUCGAAAAUUUUAUAAGGUCAUUCUUCUUCCUCUAUAAAAUAAGAAAAAAAAACAAGGAAAAAAAAAAGAAAGAAAAAAAAAAGAAGAAAGAGAGAGAAGAAGAAGAGACUAGAAGGGAGAUGAAAGGACUAGUUGUUAAAUUUUUGUUCGAAAGCUCGAUCCAUUGUCUUAAGAGCAAAAGUGGGGACUUUUGAACUCUUAAAAAUCGAGUUUAUUAAAAGUCAUUAGAGGUGAAUUCAUUGUUUCAAACGCUUAUCUUUCAAAAUUUGGCGUAAUCACCUCAAUUCAAGAAACAUAGCCACAUAUACCCAUAUUUCGUACCUCGAACCAAAAAGCCCAACAUUUAUAAGCCAAAAAGUCCCAAUGAUCCCAAUAGCUCAAUUAUUUGAUACUAGCCGAGUAGAGAAAUUUGGUGAGUCUUUGGAGUUGAAUAUUAUUAUGUAAGUAUAAAUUUUCUCCAUUUUUAAUUUACAAAGAUGGGAUACUUGAAGCGAUAACAUGGUUUGUGGUUUUUGGCAAGCGUGAGUGAAUACGUAUCUUUGAAUUACGAGCUUGUAUAUUUUUAAGAAUUGUCAUAAUAAUUGCAAGUUCUGAAACAUGAAGUUGACCAUUAAUCUAUGUGAUGAGAGGCAUUUGUUGAAAGUGUUGCUUUGAUAGUUGCUAGUUUUUGCUUGAGGACAAGCAAAAGUUCAAGUUUGGGGGUGUGUUGAGUGUGUAUUUUACACUCAAUGUAUACUUUCUUACGAGGAUUUUUGUAUACUUUUAUUGAUUUUAUAAUGCUUAAUGAGUGGUUUAUUGUAUUUUAGGUACAACUUGACGAUUUGGGAGUUCCAGGGGCGAAACGAGCCAAAAAAAGUCAAAAACGGAAGAAAACAAAAAAUGCUGAAAAUUGGCUGAAAAGUGCCCGCGCGGCUGUGCCAACUGCCGAAGUUGGGCAGAAGGUUUCGGCGAUUCUCGCGCGGCCGUGUGAGAUUUGCACUGAUUCUCGCGCGGCCGUGCCAACACACGCUGAGACAAUUUUGGAUUUUUAUUCACACAAGGAAACCUAAAAUCAUCUACCAAGUUGGGAUAUCUAUUUAAGCCCAAACCAAGCACGAAUUAGAGGACUUUGGACACAACCUUGGAGCGAGAGGAGCGAGAGAACGAAGAAUCAAAGACGGAGAAUUGACAAAUCUUCAUCACAAUUCUUCCUUUAUCUAUCUUUUCUUAAUCUAUGUCUUUUUAUAUUUUUAUUAUGUUUUUCGUAGAGAACAUGAGUAGCUAGUUUUUAAUCUAGGAUUUUGGUGGAACCCUAUGUGGGGAUGGUGAACCCGUUUUCUUGAGAUUAUGCAAUUAUGAUUUUAUGAUUAUUUCUUAUACUUGUUAUGAUUAUUAGUGCAUGAACUUGAUCAAUUUAUGUGCUUUAUCUGCGAUUAUUGGGAUUGACUUGACAGAGCUAUUUUGAUAAUCAGACGGUAAGUAUAAGAACCUUCGAGUAGUUUUCACCGGAUGAGUGUGUCAAUUGCAUGUGGUGUCGUAGACAUACAGAUAUCACCUUAGGUAGCCAUUUACGAGACUUGUUAGUUAAUGCUUUAUUCAUAGUUGGUUUGCAUAGACAUAUCGUGAAUCGUUUAUGAAUAAUAGACUCAUAAUACACGCGACAACGGGUUAUGAGUAAAUUAGUGUCUCGGGUUAAUAAUCAUGAAUCAUAUGUUUCAUAAUUGAGGGAUUUUGGGUGAGCAAUUCUUGCAUAGGGGGGAGAUGAAAUCCUAGAUCCGUUUUAUCUUGAUAUUUUCUCGUGAUUAUUUGCUUUCUUAAUUAGUUUAAAUAUUUAAUUGAUUUAAUUUGACAACUUUGCGUAGGUUGGAUAAAAAUCAUAAUUGUUAGAAUUUGGUACUUAGGAUUAGAUAAUUUGAGUAUUCCCUGUGGGAUCGACAUCCGACUCUCACGAGUCCAAUUUUACUACUUGUUUGCGAUACGAGCACUUGCGUGUUAGGUAUUUAGCACCCAACAAGCUUCCAUCUAUGAACUUGCAAGACCUGAAUCAGGUUCUCAUUUCCUUACUUUUAGGGAAGGAAAGCUGCCCCUUCUUCAUUGUCGUUCAAUCCCGUUUCAGAAUAUAAUCAAGCUAAAUUACGUUCUGCUUUUAUGAUAUGAAAAGUAGGUCUUAAUCGAGGAUAUCCAAUCUGUCUUUACUAUUAAUGUUUGAUAAUUUUGGUGAAAACUAUCGUGAUAAUUAUGUUAAUAUAACAUUCGUUUCUUUGAGUUAUAUAGACUUGGUGUAACAACCUACAGAGCAAAAUUAAAUAUUCGAGUUUUCAGAAAACUAUAUGCAUGGAAAGCUCGAGUUGAGCAUUUUAAAUGAUGUUAAUUAUUAAUUUAUAGUGAGCAUGUUCGAUAAAAGCGCUUUGCAUUGCUACAGAUUAACUUGCGUACUGGUAUUCGAUUUUCUUAUGAUUUUUUAAUCGUUCAGAUGAUGAUGGAUGCAGAUCCUGUUCGUAGACCAACAACCAAAGAAGUAGUUAAUAAUCCAAUUUUUUACAGGAUUGGAAAGAACAAAUAAAUCAAAAGUAAACAAGUAUUUAAUUAGGUUUCUAGCAAAACUUUGCCGCCGAGGUUCAAAUGUUUAAAUUUUUUUAGUCUAACAUUUUUUUUUGAUUCGGUAUUUUAUUUGAAAUAUGUUUUUAGAUGAUCAAUCUACACAGCUACAACAAACUGCAGGAUGUUUUUGAAGUUGUUUCCCUUUCCUUUGAAGAUUCUAAGUAGCUUGUCAAUAAUUUCGCCACUACCCUGUGAGUUUCAUGAUAAUUACCACUGUUGUUCUGUUUUUGCUUUUCCAUUGUUACUACUGUUUUCUGUCGGUCUUUGAAUAUUAAUAUUCAAAUUAUGUGGUGAACAACAGGUUGUAGAGUUUAGGCAAGUUAUAACUUUCCAAGUUCUCGUGUUAUUUAUCCUUUCGUGCAUACGUCUCAUCUUAGUGUCUACCUUUCUAAGGGGAAACAACUCCUUCGUUUGUUUGCUCGCUAUUUUUUUUUCUUCAUUGAUAGUGGUAGACUGUUAUUUUUGGUCGAUUAUUUAUGUUUUAUAUUUAUUUUUUUUUUGGAUGAAAGCACAUGGAUUCUGCUACAGAUUUUUAAUUUCCCUUGUUGAUUUUCAGUUGGUGUUUCAAUUUCAAUGGAAACACUUAGCUUUCAGAUAUGCUCGUGUGUGAUGGAUGCAGUGUGUGUCCUCGAAACUGCCUCGACCCAAGAACUGUUUAAAGUUAAUUUUUGUGCUUCUCGUAUUUUAUUCGAUGUUAGAAACAGUAAAAGUAAAUUAUGCCAUUUUACGUGUCUAUGGCUCUGAUGGGAAAAAUGAACUUCAAGGGCAGGCCCCCUUGCGGAUACCGAAACUUCGCGGGGAUGCAUAUGGCUUUUAGUUUCAAUUUGUGCGAGUCAAUUCGUUGAAAGUAAUAAUCAUUGCGUGUUUAUUUGCUAUUUAUGCAUUGCUAAUUAACUAUGGGAGUUCGAUUGAUGUUACAAUUAAUUGUCCACAAUUUAGAAAUGACUCAAACUUAGGUGCUAUCUAAUGGUAUAUAAUGGAGCCUGCUUUGUUUCUCUUGAACUUCUCAUAUAGUGAUGACCCUUUUUUCUACUUCUUGCAUGCUUGUUUUACUUCUGUGGGAGUUAGUUUGCUUCGGUCAUAGUUGGACUUUAAAUUAUUUAUGUUUAUAUCUUUAUAUUCGUGAUUUUUACAAGUAUUUAUUUAAUUCUGACUCAAUAGUUUAUUCUAAAGGUGUGAUGAUAGGAGUCACAACAUGGGCUUCAAAUAUAGGGUUUGAUCUAAUCAGAUGUUAUUUUCAUACUUCGACUGAAUUGAGGUUCAGUUCUUAAUUGAAGCCUUGCUAAAUAACACGAUAAAAAUUGCCUUUUGCCUGGUAUUUUGGCUUUGUAUGCAGAAAACAUGCUGCAGAACCACCUCGUUGAUUUCAAAUUGCUGCAAAGUCUAUUGACCUUCUUGUUGGACAGAGCAGAAGUGUUAGUUUUUGCCUAUGCAUACGGUAACAGAAAUGGUACGUAAUUUCAUUUGUAAAUCAAUCCAUAUUUCAGUACAAAAAACUGGUUAAAAUUGUUGAGCUUUUCUUACCCUUUUAUGGUUUCUUUGCAUAAUGCAUAUGUUAGUAUCUUAUAAUACUUGUGAAAUUUACCUAAACACCGCCUACCAUGCAAUUAUUGAGAUUUUCCUAAACACCUUCUAGCAUGAUCUUAUUUCCUCCAUCAUAUAUCUCGAUCGUAUUUAUUAUGUUUUUAUUCUUUAUUUAUUAAUACUAUUGGUUCAUUUUUUUUAUCUUCUUCUUACAGUUUGUCCGUGUUAUUAUACGCCUCUGUCCUUUAUUUUCUUUGCCCUUCUUUUCACGAUGUGUAUGAUCGACCUGUUUGCUUCUUCUUUUCUCUUUUCUUUUGUUCUCGAUUUUUUUCUUCUCUUGCUUCUUUGUCCUCAAUCGUCGCCUGCAAUUGCCGAAUCGCCGUUGAAUAUUUCUCGAUUUUGCUUCCAGUUUUGGUUUUCUCUGUGGGUGCAAGUUCCCGGGUCUGAAUUGGAUUUCCUACAAUCUUGUCAUUGGGUUUUUUUUUUAAAUCAUUGAUUCUGUCAUGGUUAAUACAAGUCAUAUAUUUGUAUAGAACAUGCAUCCAUUUUUUCAUCUAUCUAACGAAUACUGGAUUGCUAUUCUUGCACCAAAAGGCGAAAUCCCUCGCCCCAGGGCACCCAUCCCUUGGUCCGACAAGGAUUGAUGGAGGAAUGUAAAUCAUGGUAACUCAACGGCCCGUUACGGUAGCGGACCUAGACCUGGUGCCCACAAGGAACCAACCCUCAUUGGAGUUGAAAUUCCCACAUUGCGGCUGCCAGGAUUCGAUCCUAGGACCUUGCACCAACUUACCACCUCCGGAACCAGUUGAGCUACACCCAUGCGGGCAAUAUUGGAUUGCUAAUCUAUUUAUAUAUGCAUAUGUUUUUCAAGAUAAAAGACAAUUAGAUUGGCAGAAGAGAAUAAAGGUAGCUCGCGGUCACGGGAUUCAGUUUUUACACGACAAGGCGAAUUCACCAAUGAUGAACCUCGUCCCGAACUCAUCAAAAACUUUUCUUCACUUUUUUUAUAUAUACGUUCUGAAUGCAAACAUUUGACAGUUAAGAUAGCAAUUUAUUGUCAGAUCUUUCCGACUUCUUUCAUUCGAAAACCUGCACAUUAUUCCUUCUGCCGAACAAUCUUUGCCAAACAAUCUUUUACUGUUUGACAUAAAAUAAUCUUUUAAUAUCGGACAUGAAUAGUCGGGAAUAGGCAUCACGCAGGGCACCGCGCCUUGCGCGGUGCUCGUUACUAGUAUAUAUAAUCCUAAAAUUUAAUAUAAGAAGGAAAUAUCUAAUGAAAGGACCCCCCAUAUAUGUUGUCAGGCCAUGUGAACAAGUUAUGGAACACGUUCUUAACAAUUACUCAAUCAAUGCUUGGAAAAUAAAUAAUGCCAAUUAUUAUCUUAGGAGAAAAUUAAAAUACUAGGUAAAAGAAAAAAAAAACUUCAAGUGUAGACAAUGACAAUAGCCCUUUGGUAAAAGACACAAUAGAAAGUGAUACGUUCCAGAAUCUAUGCAUAAAUAAUUAUUUUAUUUUAUUUGAUGAUAGCCUAGCUUUCGUAUUAUUGAUGUCGUUUUCGUUUUCUUGUAAUUCGCAUGGUUUUUUCUUCGACUAGCUAGGCCAUUUUACAUUAUGAUGAAAUGAAUGUUUGAUUAAUAAUAAAAUAAAAUUGGGCAAAUUACGGCCACCCCCAGAAGUAAGGUCAAAUUACGAAAAAAUCCUAAUGUUUGGGUAAUUACAACCACCCUUUAACUAUGAUUGUUCUUACACGUGAUGAUGUAUUCCAAUUUUAAUAAUUAUUUUAUUUCAUCCCAAAAUAUUUUAUAUCAUUAACUUAUUAAUAUAGUAACAUAUUCAAUUUAAUUAAUACAUAAACAAAAACAAUCAGAAGAAUAAAUAUUUUUUUUAGUGAGAGCAUAUAAAUUUUCUAAGAGCAUCUCCUAGAGUGUAAUGUAAACCUAUAUUAUACACAAUAUGAACAACCAAGAUCAAAAUAGUGAGCUCCAAGAGUAAAAUGCAUAAUUAACAAAUUGGCUAAAUUGUAACUUUGGCUUCUCAAAUUUGAGAAACCAAAACUACAAUUUAGCUAAUGCGAAAAAUAUUAAAAUAAUAUUAUAUUGUUCUUUAUAAUAUAUUUAUCAUUAAAAAGUAUUUUAUAUUGUCUUAUUUUUUUGCAAAUAAAUGUACUAAAGAAGAAAUUUAUUAUUUUACUUAGUAUUAAUAAUAAAUAAAAUUAAAAAAAUAUUUAUCAUUUUAAUUAACAUAAAAAAUAUUUCCUAACAAUAAACUGUUUGAGAUGGCCUAACAAUAAGUUAUUACUCAAUUGAAAAUUUCCUCAAAUUCAAAAAACUUAAGCUCAAACUAAAGACCAUAAAUGAUUAAAGUAAAUUAAAUAUAAAAUUUAACAAAUUAAUUACAGAAUAAAUCAACCCUUGCAUUCAAAUACAGUUCACAUUUCGGCCACUCCAAUCAAGAAGCAAGAUUUAACCCAGAUGCAAUCAACCUAACAUUGCUUUAAAAUUUAACAAACCCACUACUUCCUCUGGCCAAGGAUGAAAAAAUAGUACGUCGUUGCAAGCAAAAAGGUCCGGCGAGCAGGGCCAUGGCUACACGAAGUCGAAAACGACGGAGGAGUGAACUGGGUGAAACCGUAACGGAAAAAGAAGCUUGAGAGGGAUGAAGCAACAUAGGGAGAGGAAGGGGAGAAAAAACCUCUGCCGGAAAAUAUUUUCGCCGGAACGAAUGGCAUGAAAAAUCGAGAACUUAAUCCCUAUUAGAGGGAUGAGAGAAGUCUGGGAAAUGAGGAAGAAAAAAACCAGGAGAUUUGUUGGUGGGGGUGAUGCGUAGAAAAUUGUGCAUAUUAAUAGGAAAUUGGGUCCAACAUUUUAAAUAUAUUUGAAGGGUAAAGAAGUAAAUGCAUAAGAAAACUGACGGUAUAAGUUGUUUACACGUUGACCACAAAUUAUAGGGGUUAUUUUGUUACGUUUUGUAGUCUAGGGUGGUGUUUGUGACAGACCCCAUAGUUAAGGGGUGCAAACUGUACUUUUCCCGUAAGAAAAUACAUAGUUAAGAGGUGGUUGUAAUUAGCCAAACAAUAUGAACUUUUUCGUAAUUUAAUAUGUACCUCAGGAUGUGACCGUAAUUUACCCAAAAAUAAAAUAAAUUCAACCUUUUUGCAUUGCAAGAAGAAAAGCAACAAGAAGGCACAACAAGAAGGGUGUUCGAUCAAAAAGUUUAAAGGGAAGAAAUGGACUUUAAAUUUAACCAAAAAGCUCAUAUAAAUAUCUGGUUUAUUGGUAGUGAUAAAGUAGAACAGUGUAAUCCCUCUCUAGUUCAAAUCAAAGUGUUAUUACAAAACGACAACAUAAAUUUGUGGUUAAGAUAUCUUAUCCCCUAAUAAUAAUAAAGACUGAAUUUUUAUUUUAUUUUUAAAUAUAAAUAAAAAAAUGGGCAUGUUUACAUAAUCACCAAAUUAAGAACACUAAUUAAUUCAAAGCUCCAAACAUAUAUAGAUUAAUUAAUGAUUUCUAAUAGGUAUCAGAUUUUCAUAGAUUCAAUAAAUAAAAAUCAACAAUUAAAUUCAAAUUGUUUUUUAUUCUGACCUCAAUAGGGCUGAGUUUUCUGAUGUAAAACAUCUCGGCAGAUUCAGGAACGCCCCCAAUAUUUCUGCCCAUCUUUCUGCAUGCGCGUGAAUCCCUAAUGCAGGACCCGAUUUUGCCCCAGUAACUAUCACUCGCGACCCGAUCCCAGAGCCAACCUGAGUAGUCCUGGAGCGAGUAGUCGAGGUAGGCCCGGUUCAUCACGGGCUGGCCGGAACCCUUGCCGGUGAUGGCGUAGGUGAAGAUGACGAAGCCGAGUAGGGUGGCGAUGAUGAUGAACAUGGCCCACAGGUAGAGGUACAUGAGGAAGUUGUUCCGUAGCAGGCGCCGGCGAAUCCGGCGAGGGAGACGACCAUGAUGGAGACGCCGAUUAUUAUGAGUGGCCACUGGAGGAACUUCGGGCAGUCGGUGUUGUUCGCGUGGCUGCUCAGCCAUAUUCCGCCGCCGAGGAUGGGGAUCGACAGGACGAAGGUGAGGAAGUUCACGGCGCCUAUUAGGUGGUUGCUCGUUCUCAUGGCUGCGGCGGUGGCGGUGGCGGUGGUUGUAAAUUUAUUUGAAAUUUAAUUUUGUCUUACAAGAGAGAGAGAGAGUACUGCAGUAUUUAUUGGGGAGCAGAUAUAUAAUCGGAAAAAAGCUUUGGGGGAAAUCAAAAUUUGUGGGAAACAGAGAUAAGCAUGCUUUUGUACACAGUUAAUGACUAAAUUACCCUCUGCAGAAUGAGUGAUUUACUGAUUUUAUUUAAAUUUUGGUUUAAUGGCACUUUGCCCCCCAACUAUCGUGUGUUUUGCACGUAAUAUCUGGACAAAAAACAUUUACAACAUUUUACCUAAACUGUGCACGGUGCCUCCGUUUUACCAAUCCAGUUCAUUUCUCGUGCGUCACAUGUCCAUUCACUUCAAGUCUUUUAGGGCAAAAAGAAUAAAAAACCGAGGGGAAAUAGAAGUACGAAUAAAUUUGCAGUGAAUGGACGUUUAUACCCUAAAAAACCCAUAUGCAGACGAGAAAUGAACCGAAUUGGUAAAAUUGAGGCACCGUGCAACAAUUUAACGAGUUCAGGUAAAAUUUUGUAUAUUUUUUUGUUAAGGGGGUAACGUUAAAAGCACGCGAUAUUUUUGGGGGCAAAGCGCCAUUAACCCUUAGAUUUUUGUUGAAACAAACUUUUACAAGGAAAUGACUAGAUUAUCCUCUGAAAAUUGUUGUAUCCAACAAAUUCAAUGCAAAUAAUAAGUGUGUCCCUGAAAAUCGAGCAUAUUUCCUGGAAGUAAAAUAUGGAACUAAAAAGGAUAUUUUCAAAAAUUACAAUUAUUGCCUAUUAAAAACCACUCAAAUGUUUGUGACCCCACCAUACAAAAAUAGUUGCACAUGCAUAUGAGUUUCCCCCAUGCAAAGAAGGUCAAGUGGUCGGUGGUUAGAAACAGUGGGUCCUAUUAAGAAAUCAUUUUAAAUUAUUACUAUGUUGAAACUCUUGCGACAAUGAUCAAAAUUAAUAAUCUACUCUUUUUUUUUAUAAUUAAAUUAAUAAUCUACUUGAUAAAUAAUAAUACUAUUCAAUAAUUUGAUAUGAAGUUAUCAGCACUUUCAAACCAUAGUUUUGCAAAGACUUUAAGGCGUGUUUGAUGCCUUACAACCUUAAAAAAUUUAAAAUAAAAAAAAAUAUUUAGUAAAUAUUGCGUUAUUCAGUACAGUUUUGGUAUACUGGACAUCAAUACCGUACACCGUACUAAUACCGAAAUUCAAAAAUAAAAUAUCAGUGUUGAUUUAAAUUGUAAUUAAAUUGUACAAUCUUAUUCGAAUCUUAAUUGAAUUAUCAGACUGGACUUUAAAAAAAAUUAUCUAGGCCUCCAUCAAUAGUUAGAAGCCCAAUUUAGAAAACAUAUAUUAUUUCUGGCCCAAAUUUAUCUAUAAAUUACAGAAAUUCUAGGGCUUCAAAAUCCACAAUUCUGCCGCACAAAGCCUAAUCUGAGAUUCACGGCAGAACAAGAAACUGAGAGACACACAAAGCGGCGAGCUUUGGAGCUAUACGUGUUUGUUGUAUCGUUGAAAACUCGAGCAGUUGUCGAUCUUCUUAUGUAAGUUCUUGUAUUAACUGAAGCUUGAAGAUUUUCUAAAUCUGCUUUUUUUUUUUUGUUUUGUCUUGAUGAAGCUUUGUGAAUAAAUUUUGUUUUGUUGAUAUGGUGUUUGUAAUUUAGCCCCUUUUGGAUUUAUUUAUAUUAGAAAAGGCUGUGGAUGAAUUAUUUGCAGAAAUUGUUUAUUGUGCAUGCUAGGUGUUUGAUGAAUUGAUUUGUGGUAUUAUUAUUGUAAAAAGUCCAUCUUGGCAAAUCAGUUGAGCCCUUUUAAGAGCAAAUGAGCUGCCUUGAAUGCUAAUGGACUAAUAUUAAAUCUCUCUCUUUCUCUUAACUAUUUUCCGCUUCUUCAAAUCUGUUAAGUUUGCAUAUUAGUGGAGAUGAAACAUAUUAAAAAAAAUAUUAAAUAGUUGUUUGUUAAAAUUCUGAAUCUUUUGUAUGCAAGGUGUUUGAUGAAUUGAUUUUUUGGUGUCGAAUUUAUUUUUUUCUAGUCCAUCUAGGCAAGUCAGUUGAGCCCUUUUAAGGGAAAAUGAGCUGCUUUUGAAUGCUAAUGGACUUACAGCUAAAUCAUCUCUUUUUUUUGUUUCUCACCACUCACCGGAACACAGUAACCGGUAACCGCCGCCGGCUCGCAUCAACACCACCGCCGCUUCUGGCCGUCCGACGUCCUCAAUGAAUCCCCUAUUCAACUGAAAUCACGCGUUUCAGCGUUCGUCGUCCAAUUUUGACCGGAAAAGCGGCGAUCGAACGCUACUGCAGCGGCAAUUGAAAUUUGAGUCUUCAAUUUUAAUGUAAAUGGAUUUCAUCUCACAUUUACGAUCUAAAAUUGAGUGAAUGGUCCUUACACUGGGUUUUGGGCAGUUGAGAGUUGAGUUUGUUCCCUUCGGGCAUCGAUUUCUAAAUUUAUUCCCAAGCAAUCAGUUUUCUCUGUGGUGGAUUUGAAUAAUUGGAGUUGUUGAUGUGAACUGAGUAGUAUUGCCCAGCUAGGUGGUAUUGCCAUCGGAAGUGGCCCGGAAUUGUGCAUUCUUAUGGAAUUAACUGUUAGAUUAGAUUACAACAUUCUACGAUAGAUUAAGAUCGGUGGGAUAACCUUCUCAAUCUGGGCAGGUUGUUUUAUUCUACGUAAAUGUGGGCAGCUCGUUUUCUAGUUUAACAUUGGUUUUUUUUUUGGGACAUGUUUUUUUAUGUGUUAGGAGAUGUUUUCAGUAUAUUCAAACGUCUAAUUUGGCGUGCUAUUAAUUUUACAAUUACAAUAUAUGUAAAAUGUUGCAAUUUUACGAUCGGAUUAUUGAACCCCCUCUCUGGUUUUACUCAAAGUCUCGACUUUGUGUACCUUGCGUGCGAAUCAAAUGAAUUCUUCUUCAUUUUCUUGACAUUUGUGCUUGAUGGCUAGAGCUUAUAGUUGUUGCCUUGUUGGUAAAUUACGAUAUUUUUUAUCUCCCUUAAUGGUGUCUUUGAUCUGGCAUAGUUUGACGAAUGAAAAGGUCGCUCGGGUCCCACUUUUCGAGGUACUCUCUCGUCAACUCUCUUUUCUCUAAAAAAAUUCUUCUCUUUUCUCUCUUGUGAUAUGAUUAUGUCAAAGCUUAAUAUCCAUGGUGGACAAGGAAAAUAGGUGUUUGUCUUAAUACUGUGUCUACUUUUCGUCUUAUCGUUUUCUAUGGAACAGAUAAUGGCAGCAAGAUCGAAAGGAAAAACAGCCGAAGCAAAAGCCCUAGCGGAGCCCAUGUCCACAAUAGUUUCUCGGCUCCAAUCCUGUUUAAUUGAAUCCAAUUCUCAAGGAAUCCUUUCAGGGAGCAGCGUUCUUCUUGCAGCACACGAAGAACAAACGGAGCUUUUCAACCACGCGUGUUUCGGCCGUCUCGUUAUCACCACACAGAAGAACAAACAGUGGUUUCAACUAUGCCACAAGGAAGCUUUUUACCUCUGCACCGUAAUGAAAUGCAUCAAGAUUGUAGGUCAAAAUAGCUGCGUAAAAAAUGAGGAAGAGCUGUGGGAUUACAUGUCGUCCAAGAGAGUGAAUUUCCCGGUUCUGUAUAAAGCGUAUUCGCAUCUUCGUACGAAGAACUGGGUGGUUAGGGCGGGGUCUCAGUACGGUGUUGACUUUGUUGCCUAUCGGCACUACCCGACUUUAGUGCACUCUGAGUACGCUGUUAUAUCCUCUUCUACAGAAGAAGGAAACGAAAAUGGACGUUUGAAGGUUUGGUCUGAUUUUCAUUGCACUCGUCGUCUCUGUGGCAGUGUUGCAAAAACGUUGUUGGUUCUCCACAUUAGCAAAAACUGUAACGAUUGUGACGGUUGCUAGUUAUUCCCCUUGGAAUAUUAAUUAUUACAGCGUCGAGGAAAGAAUCGUUGCCAGGUGGAAUCCCGAGCAAAGCCGGGAGAAUUGUACGGUUGCAGAGAAGGAAUCGUGUAAGUCGUCAUAAGCUUAACUUAACUCCUGUUUAUUGUACCAGUUACUAUGUUGUAAGAUUUCGCCAUCUUAUAUAAAUAAGCGAUUGCUGCAGAAAUUGGUCUGUUGAUUUUGGGCAGGAAUCUGAUGCAUGCACUGUAUCUAAGUAAAAGAUUUGCCAGUACAUCCAUAUCAUGUACUAAGUAUUUUAGAUUUUUUUAUUUUACUUUUUAUUUUUUGUUUUUCAUGUGCACAUGUGAUCAGGAAAAAAUAAACAAUAGGGCAAAUUAUGGAUACCUCCCUUAUUGAGAUUCAAUGGAAAAUGAGCAAGAGAUCCAAAUAAAUGAUUAUUCUUUUCACAUUAAUUCUCUCCAAAAAUCAAACAACUGAUAACCAAAUAUAAUAGAAACCUCGAUAUAAUAGCCAACCAACAUAAGUUGAUAAUAUAUAAACGAAAAUAAGUUACAGAAAAUAGUGGAAAAAGAAAACAUAAGAAAGAAAGAGGCAAUCGAUAACAAGUUAAAAAAAACAAGGUAAAAAAGGGAAUAUAUACCAAUGAAAGAGGGCAAUUGAUAUGUACUCGAAGAGCCUUUCCAAUUAUCUGAGUAUCAGAGGAGGAAAUCUUUCGUCUCUUUCUUUUUGCCUAGCAUCAAUAAUCUCAAUUCAAUAACUCGUAACAAAAAUAAGGAGAAGACAAGGAGAAAAUAAAAGAAAACAAAUCAAUAAAAAAGUUCAAUCAAUAUGUAUUCCAAGAGUUAUCCAAUUGUUUGAGCAUAUGUGUGUGUGAAACUUAUUCUUGCCUCUUUGUUCAAAUGGAUAUCAAGACUCUCCAACUCAACAAUACCUUAUUCCCAAAAUAAACGAAAUAAGGGAUAAACAUAAUGCAAAAAUAAACCUAACCUUUUGCCAAUGUUUCUAGUCUGAAUGAAAAUCCUUGAAACUUUGUUCUUGCAAAACAUAUAACAUAAAACAUAAGAAAAUAGGCAAGUUCAACAAACAAUCAAGUGACAGAAAAUGAUAAUGGAGAUCCCUUGAGAGCUUAAGUACAAUACAAAGAAUAUGAACGAUUAACUUUAUAAGGAACUAUAACGGAGACGAAAUAAUACCGGAAUAGUCUUGACUAUAGGUUUGUUACAAGUCAGCCUUCCCCUGUAGCAACCAAACAUCUUCAAGCAAUUAUAAAAAAAAAAUACAUUGCAAAAUCUUAGUGAGUAUCAUCAAAAUUUAAACAAAGUAAAUAGUUGCAAAAGAAUAGUCAGUAUCAUCAAAAUUGAGCACUGUAUCAUAAUACAAAUGCACAAUCACUAACUCAAAUGUAGAAUCCAGAGAAAGAGCGAUGACUUGAUUUUGCAGAAAUCGUGAAUCAACUUAACACUUCUAUGAAGAAUUGAUUCACAUCAAAACUCAACGGCCUCGUUGUCCCUCUUUCGUCAAUGGAAAAAAAAUACCUUGCUUUGUCAUGUCCACCACAACUCAAAAGUCAAUUAAACUCUUACAUGGAAACUCAUCAACCGCUCAACAUUCACUGCCAUAGUUGCCGUGAAACUAAAAAUUUAGGGAAAACGUUCCUAAUCCUAUUCUUAAAUUUUUUUUGUCGAAUUUAAAUGUUCUUUAAAACCUAGUUUCAAAUUAUUAAAAGAUAUGCGAGAGAGACAAAAAUCGAUUGCCGUCAAACUGAAAAAGGGGGAAAACAUUCCUAGCCCUAACCUCUUUUUGCCGAACGGAAAUUGUCUGCAAACCCUAGUCGCAGGAAGAUUGAAACGAUUUCGCGGGGGGGGGGGGGGGAUAGUUGGGGGGGGGGGAAUUUUAAGAGAAAAUGGAGGAACUAACCUGCAUAAUUUUUUACUCAAUAAACUCUCCCCUUCUUUAUUUAUUUAUUUAUUUAUUUAUUUAUUUUAUCUCUUACGGUAAUUCAACUUGAAGGUAUAAAUGCCCCUAAAGGUUUGGUAAUUACAUGCAACUUAUGAAAUGUCCCAACAAUCUAUAUUUGGGACACUUAUAAAAUUAUGUCCCUAACAAAAUGUCGUAAUAGAUGAUUUUUGUUGUAGUGACACCCUUACGUAGUUUACAUGUGCAGCAUAGUUCUUAAACAGUUCCAUUACAAGACACGUCAUCACAUUAAUACAAAAUAUAUAGACAGUGUGUUUUUUUUCUUUUCUUUUUUUUUUUCCGAAAACACCAAAAAAACUGCGAAAUAACUCCACAUACGCGCGUUGCUCGUAAAAAUCUUUAAAAUCCAAAGGCUGCGACUUCUCCAUUCUUGUCUCUCCAUAAGGCUCGUCGUUAUCGAUCCUUUUGUUGUGCCUAAAAGUAG